UUUUUUUUUUUUUUUUUGUAAGUGGGAAGUUUAAAUUUAAAACCUUCUACUUGUCAUCUCUCCAAUCUUACCAUCCAACCACAACCUCCCCCCUCCAACAUAAUUAUUACUAGCUAUCGAGGCACACUCGAUGAGCGUGUAACUUGUUAAAAAAAUAUUUUUAAUCGAAAGAAUCACAUAAAUGGUGCAAGUGAAUAUAACUAUUUUAUGUAAUAUGUAAUCAAAAGUGUAUUGUAUAGAAAUAUGUACAAUGAACCAUAUGAACAUUAAAAUUUGGGAGAAAAGGUUGAUUGAUUAAAGAAGAAUGGAGACUUUCAGAAGAUGGUUUGGGAAGGAAAAAAAACCAUUGAUUAAGGAGAACGUGAGAAUUGGAGGGACAUAUUUUUGGUUAAAUAGAAGUUGUGUGUCAGUUGAUAAUAGAGAUAAUAAUUAAUGGAUAAUAGAGAAGGGUAAAUUUAAAAACACAUAAAGUUAACAGCAAAUUAACUACUUACACAGGCUUCAUUAUUGUAAAGAUAUGGAAAGGGACAAAAUUUAUGAUGACCCAUGUUCAAGGGGCUAGAAUUAUAAGAGUACGUAUGCUAACAACAAUCUUUUACACAUAAAACUUGCAACAAAUAAAAAAAAAAAAGCAUGCGAAAUUGUAAAGGUCCCAAGUCUGAACUCGAACUUAAUUCUGAAUCAGACAAAGUCAAAGCAAACCACUCGAUGUUGCAUAUCCUGUGCAACGAGGAUUGGUGUCUGCAAUUGAAUUUUUUAUUCUCUAUUUCUUUUUUUUUUAAUGUCAUAUAUAUCCAUGUAACAUCAUGUUUAAGCUAAGGUAAACUAUUUAGGGAGCCCUUGUACCAUUUCAAUUAUCCCAAAUUGGACUAUUAUCUACUAUUUUAAGUCUCAAAUUGACCAUUUAAUAAUAAACCAUGUGAAAUAUUGACUUUUCAGUCUAUUUCAACCAUUAGAUCUAUUAAAACAUUGCCCUUAGAUCCAUCAACUUUUAUGGUGGAUAUAUCCUAAAGGAUCAAAUUUUGACUCUUUUUAUUAUUAAGAGGCUAAUUUAAAAUUUAAAAAGAUAAAGGACCAUUUUAAUGCAAUUGAAAUAAUUUAAGAACUCCCUAAAUAGUAUUGUAAUAGGAAGAGAGCAACUGUUACAUUGGCUUUUUAAUCCAAGAGCACUUUUUAAAGGUGGACAUUACCAAAGUGCUUUAUAACACGUUUGUACGAACAAUAGUGUAUAUUUUCUAGUUGUUUAUUUACGCCUAAUGCAAUUAACUAGUUAAUUAACAAUGCUUAUGUGAUGAUAAGAUUCAGUCUUUGAUGUAGCGAAAACUAGAGAAUAUGUAUAAAUUAAAACUCUCAAUUUCAUACCCCAUUUUCAAUUUCGUACAAUUUUUGGGAUCUCUCAAAGUAUCCUCAAGGUUAAUUAGUUGUAACUUGUAACUUUUCCUUUUACUUAACAAUUAAAAUAAUCAAAGGCGUAUUUUCCGAAUUAAAUUUUUAUUGAAUGCCAUGAGAUAUCACUUGGAUGGAAAGAUUGGAAUUAUUCUUUUCUCAAAAGCUUCAACAAUGCUGGAGUUUUCGCUUUAUCCUUGCCAUGCAGCCGAGUCAAACUAUGAUUGCCGCAAAUAAGAUACCACCAAUUUGCAUUACAGACAUGUGUGUAUAUAUGUAUAUAUGUAUAUAUACAUGUAUAUAUGUAUAUAAAUACUGUGUGUGUAUAUAGGGGAGGGAUGAAACUUAAGAAAUUGAGAAAAAAUAGGGAGAUUUGAAUCCAAAACGUUUAAUUCUUGAAAUUUUAACCUUAACUAUUAGAUCAAUCUUUGAUAAUGUAUAUUAUAUAUCUCUUGUCCUACUCAAAUUUCACACAUGUAAAUCACUAGCCAUAGAGCUCAAGAUGUUUAAAUUCAAAAGAAAUCAUAAUUUGCACGACAAAGUCAUUCGUGGUCCAUGUGUUGUUGGGACCAAUCCAUAAACAAUCUUAUUCACAGACAAAAAGAAAAAAAAAAUCUGCUAAUAAUAUUUUGUAUAAAAGUCAGAGCAUAUGUCCAUUUUAUUCUAUGAAUGACUUCGUUAACAGGUAGAAUUACUAUUUUUUAAACACUUUCAGAUGAAGUGUUUCACAUUUAGUUUCUAAUUAUAAGUGGUAAUUAAGGUUAGUAAAAUCUCAAGGGAGGUUUGUAAAAUUGUCCUUGAAUGUCAUGAAGCAUAUGCGAAAGAUUUUGUUUCACCAUAAUUUUUGAUGCCUAAACCAAAAUUUUAAAUAUCGAUUUAAUGACGGGACAAAAAUAUUGAAAUUAUUCUUUUUUUUUAAAAGCUUCAAGAUCAAGGCUGGAUUUUUUUUUAAAAAAGUUUUGUAAUGCAUCCAAGUCAAAUUGUGCUUGCUGCUAAUUAAUUAAAUACCAAUGUGUAUUAUCACUUCUCCAACUUUAUUUUCCCACAUGUAAAUCACCAUCAAUAAAUCUGGAGAUGUAUAGUACAAAUUCAAAAGAUCAUAACUUGCACGACAAAAAUGAAUUUGUGGUCCUUGUUUUGUUGGGACCAAUCUGAUAAUAUACCUUUUUUUUUUUCUUGAAAGAUUCAACCUGCCUAGCUAUUGGAAUAUUGGACAUUGGCCACCUAAUUGUUAUCGAAACCUUGUUCUGUACUCUAUAUAUAAACCCAAGCCUCAUCUUUACUUCUCCUACACUACUUAAAAAAAAGGUUACUCAAAAAUGGGAAACUGUCUCCCAAUCCCCUCUUUCUUACAAAAACAAAGCAAAUCUUUGCCCAUUGACACCAUUUUCAAGUUCCCCUCUCCAAUACCCACAUGGUCAUCAGGUUCUAAUCAAUUUAUCUUCUUGUUUUCUUCCAUUUUUAGACAAUUCAAGAAAAAUUAAAAGCAAGCAUGGUUCACUAAAUUUCCAGUCUUCUUAACUUAAAAGAGAAAUCUGACCAUUUUGAUUUUUUUUCUUCAUUUGGUAUUUUUUUUUCUACUAGACUGAUUUUUAAUUUGAAACAACAGCGGCUAAGUGAUGUAAAUUUGUAUAUAUAUUUCCUUUUCAUUACUUGACUAAUGCAUUUGAGCUUGAAUGACAGAGGGUGGCUUUGCAAGUGAUUAUAUUGAUCUAGGUGGACUCCAAGUGCACCAAAUAUCAACCUUCAAUAAAGUUUGGACCAUAUAUGGAGGAGGACCAGAUAAUCUUGGUGCAACAUUUUAUGAGCCAUCCCAAAUUCCAGAUGGAUUUUUCAUGCUUGGUUCCUAUAGCCAACCUAACAAUCAACCCUUUUUUGGUUGGAUUCUUGUUGCAAAAGACACCUCCACUGAUCAAUCAUCAAGCAAUGAAACUCUCAAGAAACCAACUGAUUACACUUUAAUCUGGAGCAGUGAGUCCUUGAAGACCAGCCAAGAUGGCCAUGGCUACAUUUGGUUGCCAGUAGCACCUGAUGGCUACAGAGCCGUUGGCUAUGUUGUGACCGCGACACCCGGACAAGCCUUCUCUUGAUAAAGUCCGAUGUGUUAUCUCUGAACUCACUGAUGAAUGUGAAGCUGAAAACUGGAUUUGGGGCGAAGGCAAAACAAGCAGUGAUAGUGAUUUCAAUGUGUACAGUUCAAGGCCUAGUGUUAGAGGGAUACAAGCGCAAGGCGUCGGUGUAAAUACAUUCAUAGUCGAGAAUGAAUCAGAUGAUAAUUCUUCUUCAACAACCAUAGCUUGUUUGAAGAAUAACAACUUCAGCAAUUUUUCAUCCAUGCCUAAUAUGCAACAGGUUGAAGCAUUAUUUCAGGCAUAUUCUCCUCGGAUAUUCUUACACCCCAAGGAAAAUUACUUUCCCUCUUCAGUCAAUUGGUAUUUUGAGAAUGGUGCAUUAUUGUAUACCAAGGGAGAUGAGUCAAAUCCUGUUGCCAUCCAAUAUAAUGGUGCCAAUCUACCCCAGGGAGAAUCCAAUGAUGGAGCUUACUGGCUGGACCUACCUGUUGACGAAAAUGCCAAAGAAAAAGUCAAGAAAGGAGAUCUACAAAGUGCUGAGGCUUAUAUCCAGAUUAAACCUAUGUUAGGUGCAACAUUUACAGACAUUGCAAUUUGGAUUUUUUACCCGUUUAAUGGUCCUGGAACGGCUAAACUUGGAUUAAUCGACAUCCCAUUAGGCCGAACUGGCGAACAUAUUGGAGAUUGGGAGCAUUUGACCCUAAGAAUCAGCAAUUUUAAUGGGAUUUUGUACAAGGUUUAUUUUUCAGAACAUAGCAAAGGAAUAUGGGUAGAUGCACCACUACUUGAAUUUCAUGAUGGUACUAAUAAACCAGUCGCAUAUUCGGCAUUGAGUGGCCAUCCAAACUAUCCAAAACCAGGGCUUGUUUUGCAAGGGGCAGGUGAUGUUGGAAUAAGAAAUGAUGCAGCAAAGGGUGACAAGUUUUUGGACACGGGAGCAAAGUAUUCAAUAGUUUCAGCUGAGAAUCUUGGCUUGGGAAUUGUUGAGCCACCGUGGCUGAAUUAUUUGAGAAAAUGGGGUCCUGAUAUUGUGUAUGAAUCUGGGGUUGAAGUUCAGAAAGUGGAAGGAUCGUUGCCUGAAAAUCUGAAAUCUGCAUUUGCAAGAUUGGUGAAUAUUUUGCCUAAAGAAGUUUAUGGGGAGGAAGGUCCUACCGGUCCAAAGGUGAAAGGUAGUUGGAGUGGGGAUGAAAGAUCAUAAAAAUAUAUGGUAGAGGCUUAGAGCCCACAUUUCAAAAUAUCACAAUGCAUUCAAGUCAGAUACCUUUUUUUUCCUGGUCAUUUUUUGGGUGUUAGUUACAGCUUGUCUCAUAUAGCAUUGAUUCUUCAUUGGACAUAUCUAUUCUUUUUCUGUUUGGCUUGUAAUUCUCUGGAAAAUAAAUGAUAAGAAACACCUUCAUGUACUUUUCUUUUCCAAGAUGUGAUUAAAUUAAGCAUAAUGUUUCCACAUGAAACACCUUCAUUAGUAAUUUAAAAAUCCACAGGUUAUACAAACAUUAUAUGCAGUUAGUUUGUACAGUCACAUUCUUGAACCAAAUUAACCACUCCAACGUCCAAUUUUAUCAGGAAGUUUAUGAAGGUAAAGCGAUAAAAAUAGUACUACCUAUUGUAAUCGAUAGUUUAUGCAUAGCCAAUUUUAGCUAAGAAUACAACAAACUAAGGGUCCGUUUGUUUCGGGUGAAAAUGUUUUCCAGGAAAAUAUUUUCCUAAUUUCCCGUGUUUGGUUGCACAAAAGUUACUGAAAACAUUUUCCUAUGUAAAAUAUUUUCACUCAUCUUAUGGAAAACAACUUCCCUUCCAAACUUACUGAAGUUGUUUUCCGAAAUGCAUGCAUCCCGCCUGUAGUAUGUUUCAAACUUACUGAAAACAUCUUGUAGUAUGUUCUUUUUUUUUUUUAGUGUAAAUAGGAGAAUUCGAACUCAAAACCUCUUCCUUACACUCCCUUCCCCGUACCACCCAACCCAACCCUCCCACUAGUAUAUUCAAAAUAAUAAUAAUAAAAAAAACCUCAUCCUGCUCAUCCUAUGCUAGUAAUUAAUUAUGUAUAAUAGGGACAUUCUUUUCUAGAGAAACUUUCAGCAGUGAGAGUGCAAGAUAUAUGUUAUAAUAAGCAUUGCAUGUAAUUGAUAUUUGACACUAAAUGGCCAGCAAUUUGUUUAUUACUUAAGGAGAUAUUUUUUAUUCAUAUAUACAUUUCUCCAAGAUUUUUAAAAUUAAACAAUGAGAUAAAUUUUCUUAUUCUGCAUGGGAAAGAAGUAUGUAGUUAUAAUGUGUAGAAAGUAAAGAUAGAGAUAAAAGUGAAAAUAUUUCAAAAGUUAAAUAAACACCAGAAAAAUGAAGUAAGAAAAUAUUUUUAAUAAACUAACCAAACACCUGAAAAUGAUGAAAGGGAAAUGAUUUUCAUGGAAAAUUACUUCCAUGGAAAAUAUUUUCCCAAGGAAAACAUUUUACUUCCAACCAAACAGACCCUAAAAAGAAAAAAAGGAAUUAUGAAAUUUCUUAUCAAAUUCGUACAUGAGAAUGAGAAUAUAAAUCCCAUACUUGAAUACACUGGAACUCUACGUACAAAUACACUUCGUUAACUCUAGUAAGUAGCCAUCAUCGACAGCCCAAUGUUGCCAUUUGGCUCUCUGCAGUGUUAAGAGUCUCGUGACUAACUAGUCUAAUAUUUAAAAUUAACUGAGAUGAAGCUGAAAAUAGCCUGGCUACUAGAAUUCAAAGAAUAAAUCGUGCAAGGCAAUGGUAAUCAUCUUCAUUGUCGUUUUGCUUUGUUGAAUUACACAGUAAUAUGAUAUUUAUUAAUCUUGGGUAAAUUACAUAUAACCCUUGGGGUUUCGUCUAUUGCCAUAUGAUCCCUAAUGUUUCAAUCCACUUUACCCUCCUAUGAUUUUAUGUAAAAUGAAAAUUUGACGAAAAAUAACCUAUGUAACAUUGUUAAUUGAAAUACCAAUAGUGCCCGUUAUUAAAUAUUAAAUCAAUUAACGAUUUAACUAUCUCAUAUAAAAGUAUAGGGGGAUUAUGUGGAUAAAUGUAAAUACACAAGAGGUAAAGUGAAUAUUUAUACAAAUUAUAAGGGAGUUACAUGAAGAUUAAAAUUUUAUCACACGUGCUUUUAGAACGCAUUUGGUAUAAAAGCUGUAACUGAUUGUAUAUUUCGUCUAUUUUAUACUUUACAUAAAGCCAUAGGGGGGUUAUGUAACUAUUUUGAAACACAUGUCAAAUCACAGGCGGAUUAUAAGUAAUUUAUCCAUUUUACCCAUUAAUCUUCUAUCUCUUCUAGUAGCAGCUAAGUUGCCAUUAGAAUAAGAGCAAAUGGCCAAGAUAAUCACCAAACUAUUUAAAAUGGCACGGUCUGGUCAUAAAACUCUUUUUUUAGCCAAAAAGGUCACUCAACUAUUUAAAAUAGGACUAUUGGGUCAUGUUGGCUAAUUUAACAGCUAAACUAAUCGAAAAGAAGCAUAUUUGACCUGCUAUUUUAAGUUAUUAGGGGAAAAAGUCCUAAAUUACAGGUCAUUUUCGGUUGAUUUAGCAAAGAAUGACCUGAAAUGUCUAUUUUAAAGAGUCAAGUGACCUUUUUAGCAAAAAAAAAAAAAAUUAAUGACCAAAUUGUACCAUUUUAGAUAGAUUAAUGAUCAUUCUGGCCAUUUACUCUUAAAAUAAUAAAGUGGUGGACAAAUUGUCCAUUUUGAUUGAGGUAUAUACCCGCGCCCAUGAGCGGAGCCACAACAACUCAAUCUUUUAGAAUUUUUAGAAUAGCCACAAAAAAUUUAACCUUUCUAUUAUUGCCCCAUUUUUCCUUCAGCACCCCCCCCCCCCAAAACAAAACCCGGGCGCAGAAAUUUGAUAAUAUUCCCUUUAACCCCACAAUUGUCCCUCAAAAAUUUUAAAAUAUUUUAUGGUUACCACUAUCAUUUCUACAAUGCAAUAUUAAAAUAAAAUAUAUUGUAGGAUAUUAUUUUUAUUUUCUUUCUAACAAAUUUUAUUCACUUAACAUUAAACUUUUCUUAAUUUUAUGAAUUACAAGUUAACCAACAUUCAUUUGAAACUUUUUGAUCUACUGCAGAAUGGGAUUCGGCCCUCGAUCCAAUUCUACUCACUCGUGGAUUCCAGGCCAGAUGUUUUAUAACAGUUAGAUUAUUCUGAAGUAUUUUAGCACCUUUUCAUGUUUAAAAGUGAUUCAUUACUAGUUUUUUGGUGUUUAAAACGUAUGAGAUUGAACAAGUCUCUUAACAUCAAUACUAACUUUGAGAACUUGAUAUAUGCUAUCAAAACUCUCCCUCUUCUUGUUGUAUUUUAGAAGUAAUUUGCUAUAUUCCUAUAGCAAAUACUCAGUGUAGUAAGGGCAAAUAGUACCUGAAGGAUAAUAUCAUUCUUCUUUUGUUUUGUGAAAUUUGGUACUGCAAAUUUUUGCAUUUUUACACUUUGUGUACAUCAACACAAGUAUCAUUUUAAAACACUGUAAAAUCUGAGUGGAAUAGAUACCCAAGACCCUGUGCUUGUUGCUGGAAGAAUGGUGAAGCCAUAGGAGGAGAAGCACUGCUAUAUUGGCUUUUUAUUUAGUCCAAAUGCGUUGUUUUUGAAUUAAAUAUAUCUAUUCAAUCACAUAAGACAUCACUUGGAUGGAAAGAUUGGAAUUGGUCCUUUUUCAAAAGCCUCAACAGCAAUGCUGGAGUUUUUGCUUUAUCCUUCCCAUGCAGUCGAGUCAAACUGUGCUGGCUGCAAAUAAAAAACACCACCAAUUUGCAUCAUACAUAUCUUGUUCAACUCAAUUUUCACACUUGUGAAUCACUAGCGAUAGAGCUCAAGAUAUAAAAAUUCGAAGGAUCAUAACUUGCACGACAAAAUCAUUCGUGGUCUAUGUUUUGUUGGAACCAAUCUAUUGUUUUUUUUUAAUUUUUUUUUGUAGGGGAUGGAUUAAAUUGAAGAAGUGGGGAGGGGGUUAAAGAGGGAUUUGAACCCUAGAACGUCUAAUUCAUGAAAUUCAAUUUAGCUAGCAGAAUCUGUUAAAGAUCUUGCUUACGAAAAAAGAAAAUAAUCCUUUGUGUAAAACUUAGAGCAUAUGUCCUUUUCUUCUAUGAAGAGUGACUUCGUUGACAGGUAGAAUUAAUGAUUUUUAAACGAUUCAAGAAAAAGUGUUUAACAUUUAGCUUCUAAUUAUAAGGGGUAAUUGAGGACAUUUAAUUAACUUUAUAGUCUCAUAAAUCUCAGCCGGAUCUCGAGGAAGCAUAUGCAAAAGACUUUUGUUUCCCCAUAAUUAGAUGUCUAAACCAAAAUUUUUAGGAACUUAAGCACAUGAUCCAGCUAAGUAAUUGGAAAGAUUAGAAUCAAUGCAGAUCUGGCCCUCCAAUGGAUUGAGGACUACGUGCAUUGCUUUACUUUAGCAAAUAAUUAGACAAAAGAGAUUGGAAUUUAUUCUUUUCUCUUUUCAUUUAAGCAUCAAGAGCAAGGCUGGUGGUUUUGCAAGGCAUUCGAGUCAAACUGUGCUUGCUGCAAACUAAUUAAUUACCAACGUGUAUAACCACAUCCUGCUUAGUUUUCCCACGUGAAAAUCACCAUCAAUAAUUCUCGAGUGCAUAAAUUUAUAGGAUCAUUGACUUGCACGGCAAAAUGAUUGGUGGCCUGUGUUUUGUAGGGACCGAUCUAACUAUUGGGAUAUUUGACUUUAGCCAUCUAAUUUUUAUCCAGACCGUUUGUUGCUUUAUAUAUAGAAACUGAAGCCUCCUCUAUACUUCUCCUACACCACUUUGAAAACGUUAUUAAAAAUGGGAAACCGUCUCCCAGCCACCUCUUCCUCAGAAAAACAAAGCAAAUCCCUGCCCAUUGACACCAUCUUCAAGUUCCCCUCUUCAAUGCCCAAAUGGCCAUCAGGUUCUAAUCAAUUCAUCUUCUUGUUUUCUUUCAUUUCUAGACAUUUCAAGAAAAGUUAAAAGCAUAUGUGCAUGGUCCACUAAGUCUCUAGUCUUCUUAGCUUAUAAUAGAAAUUUGACCAUGAAGCUACGAUAUGAUUGUUCAAUUGACUAUCUUCAUUUGGCCAAUUUGAUUUUAUUUCUCUUAGAUGUAGAUUUGUAUAUAUUUCCUUUUCAUUACUUGACUAAUGCAUUUGAGCUUGAAUGACAGGAGGUGGCUUUGCAAGUGAUUAUAUUGAUCUAGGUGGGCUCCAAGUGCACCAAACAUCAACCUUCAACAAAGUUUGGACCAUACGUGGAGGAGGACCAGAUGAUCUGGUGCAACAUUUUAUGAGCCAUCCCAAAUUCCAGAUGGAUUUUUCAUGCUCGGAUCCUACAGCCAGCCUAACAAUCAACCCUUUUUUGGUUGGAUUCUUGUUGCAAAAGACACCUCCACUGAUCAAUCAUCAAGCAAUGAAACUCUCAAGAAACCAACUGACUACACUCUAGUCUGGAGCAGUGAGUCCUUGAAGACCAGCCAAGAUGGCCAUGGCUACAUUUGGUUGCCAGUAGCACCUGAUGGCUACAGAGCUGUUGGCUAUGUCGUGACCGCGACACCGGACAAGCCUUCUCUUGAUAAAGUCCGAUGUGUUAUCUCUGAACUCACUGAUAAAUGUGAAUCUGAAAACUGGAUUUGGGGCCAAGGCAAAACAAGCAGUGCUAGUGAUUUCAAUGUGUACAGUUCAAGGCCUAGUGGUAGAGGGAUACAAGCUCAAGGCGUCGGUGUUAAUACGUUCAUAGUCAAGAAUGGAUCAGAUGAUAAUUCUUCUUCAACAACCAUAGCUUGUUUGAAGAAUAACAACUUCAGCAAUUUUUCAUCCAUGCCUAAUUUGCAACAGGUUGAAGCACUAUUCCAGGCAUAUUCUCCUUGGUUGUUCUUUCACCCCAAGGAAACUUACCUUCCCUCAUCAGUCAAUUGGUAUUUUGAGAACGGUGCAUUAUUGUAUACCAAGGGAGAGGAGCCAAAUCCUGUUGCCAUCCAAUAUAAUGGUGCCAACCUUCCCCAAGGCGAAUCCAAUGAUGGAGCAUACUGGCUGGACCUACCUGUUGACAAAAACGCCAAAGAAAGAGUCAAGAAAGGAGAUUUACAAAGUGCUGAGGUGUAUCUCCAGAUUAAACCUAUGUUAGGUGCAACAUUUACAGACAUUGCAAUUUGGAUUUUUUACCCGUUUAAUGGUCCUGGAACGGCUAAACUCGGAUUGAUCGACAUCCCAUUAGGCCGAAUUGGUGAACAUAUUGGAGAUUGGGAGCAUUUGACACUAAGAAUCAGCAAUUUUAAUGGGAUUUUGUACAAAGUUUAUUUUUCAGAACAUAGCAAAGGAAUAUGGGUAGAUGCACCACUACUUGAGUUCCAUGAUGGUACUAAUAAACCAGUGGCAUAUUCGGCAUUGAGUGGCCAUCCAAACUAUCCAAAACCGGGGCUUGUUUUGCAAGGGCAGGUGAUGUUGGAAUAAGAAAUGAUGCAGCAAAGAGUGACAAGUUUUUGGAUACGGGAGCAAAGUAUUCAAUAGUUUCAGCUGAGAAUCUUGGCUUGGGAAUUGUUGAGCCACCAUGGCUGAACUAUUUGAGAAAAUGGGGUCCUAAUAUUGUUUAUGAGCCUGGGGUUGAAGCUCAGAAAGUCGAAAGAUUGUUGCCUCAAAAUCUAAAACCUGCAUUUGCCAGAUUGGUGAAGAUAUUGCCUAACGAAUUUUAUGGGAGGAUGGUCCUACUGGCCCAAAGGUGAAAGGUAGUUGGAGUGGGGAUGAAGGAUCGUAAAAGAAGGCCAAUUAAAGACUUAGAGCCCACAUUUCAUAGUAUCACAAUGCCAUUAAAAUCAGAUACAUUUGUAUUUCCUUUGUUAUUGCAAUGUUGAUUCUUCAUUGGAAAUAUCCAUUCUUUUUAUGUUUGGCUUGUAAUUUGUUGGACAAAUAAAUGAUAAGAAAUACUUUUACGUAUUUUUCUUUUCAAAAUUGUGACUAAAUUAAGCGUAAUGUUUUUCUUCUUGUUACCUUCGUUAGUAUUAAAAAAAACAGAAAUUAUGCAAACAUUAAUUAUAUGCAGUUACAUUAGGAGCCUUGUUUUUUCACAUUCUUCUAACUAAUUUGCCACUCCAUUGUCCAAUCUUCAUCAAAUUAACAUAGAAGUUUAUGAGGGUGAAAUGAUAAAAACUAAUAACUAUUGUAACUCGUAUACUCGCUGAAAUUUUUAUAUUAUUUCAAGUGUCAGCCUCUUAGUGGUCGAUGAAGUUUUUAAAAUUUUUUUUUGGACAACAAAAGACUGAAUUUGCAUUACUUCAAAUAGUAGACUCGUCACAAAUAGCGCACGUAAAAAAGUUUUAUUCCUGGCCAAUUUUUGCUAAGCAAAUAACCAAAAAAAAUUUUUAUCUGCUCAAAAAAUAAUAACAUUUCAUUUAAAAUUCGAAUUUGACAUCGACAAUAUACAUCCCAUACUUGAAUUAAACCAUUUGUUUGGAUUGUAGUUUUCUGUAAAAUUUUUUUUAUGUUUUUCAUAAACACGUUUUUCAAUCACUUUUUUAUCUCACAUAAAUCAAAUUGUUACAGUAUUUUUUUCUGCGAAAACUCCUAAAAAUAAUAAUCUAAAUGGGAAGUCUACGUACAAAUACAUUUCAGUGAAGUCUAGCCAGUAGCAGCCAUUGACUAUCCAAUGUGGCCAUUGGCUCUCAGAAGAGACAUGCCUAACUAUUUUAAAAUUGCAAAUUAAUUGUGAUGAUGCUGAAAUUGAAAGAAUAAAUCGUCAAAGUCAAUGGUGAUCCACGUGGGACAAGUAUUCUCUUCUUCAUUAUCGUUUUGGUUUUUUUUUAUUCUUGAUUUAUUAAUUUUUAUUCUCUUUCAGCAGCAGUUAAGCUGCCUCUAGAAUAAUAAAUUGCUAAAUGAAUUGUAAGUAUACAUUGGUAAUGAACAAUAGAAAACAAUAAAGUAUGACUUAUUUAAUGAAAAAUAAACAAUAAACAGUAGAGCACUGAAUAAAUUAUCAAUAAAUACUCAGUCAAUAAUUGAAUAAAAAUAUAGAAAAAAGGCAGCACAGAAUUGCAGCCACAUUUGGGUACUUUCUUUUUCUUAUGGCUCUUAAAUAUGAUCCUUUCAUAGAUAACGACAUUCUUAAUUGGCAAAAAGAAAAAAUUAUUCUUAUUGCUUAUAUAUGCAUCGAAGAGGUCAAUCAUUUAAUGUUUAUUCUAUUUUAAUGUUUACUUAUGUUUGAGUGUUUGUAAUUGCGCUCCUUCUUUUUUUUUUUUUUAGCAUUGUGCAUAAUUAACAACAAUCCCCCAUAUUUCUUGGAAAAGUAUAGGAAUACGAUACUCAAAAUUGCAAGUGAGAAAUUAAUUAAUUUCACUUAACAUGUGUCCCAUUUAAUUAUCCCUUAAUAUGUGUGGAAAAUUUUAAGUCACAAACCUUCACUUGAUCUCCUAAAUUUGGACAAUCUUAGUAAUACAAUAUUAAAUUUCUCUUUACAUCUCUUUUCUUGCCCUCAUUCUACUUGAUGCAUAUAUGCUACUAGAAAUUUGUCCGUGCAUAUAUUGCACGAGGUAACAAUUUAAUGGAAAUGCGUGAUAUUAUUUUAGUUGCAUUUGGGAUGUCAAUGUAUUUUAAAGUAUUAUGAUCAAAUGGAGAAAUUUUUAAAAAUUAAGUAAACAAGUAAUUGAAGUGAAUAUUAAUUAUCUAUUAUUGUAUAAAUUUAUUUUACAAUGAUAAGCAAAGAGGUAUUUGUUGUAAAUUUAGCGACUCCAAACCUAAAAGUGUAAUUUCAUAAUAUUAAAAAUAUUAUAUUUAAUAAGGCUCAUCAAGGCUAUGAGAUUGUAGCCCUAAUUCAACAAUUUAUCUAGUUCAUUUUCUUCAAUUAGUUUGAUGAAAAAUAGCAAAUUAUAUAUCGAAUCAAUAUUGGUUAUCAAUUAUCUCCAUUUGGCUACUUAAUUUCUGCUUUUUUUAAUGAAUCCUAAUAAUUGAAAUUAACGAAUUUGACCAAGCUAACAUUGUUUUUUUUAAUAAAUAUUUUUUAAUAUAAAUAGAGGGCUCGAACCUGAGAUCUCUCACUUACACUCGCUUCUCUCGAAUCACCCAAUCCCUCCAUUGUUUGGUUACUUAUUACUUUAGCAUUAAAUGUUCGACCUCAAGUAUUUUGACCAUAAAGAGGAAAAAGUUGUAAACAUAUGUUACAAUUUCAAGGCUUACGCAUACAGUGUUGCCAUAGACCUUGUGAUGGUCCAUUUAACUUCUUAUAUGUUCAAUGGCUCGUACCAAAAGAAUUUUCAAUCACCAUUUUAUCUCAAAUAUAUCACAUCACAAAAAGUAUUACAAUAUUACUUCAAAUAAUUUUUUCAAAUAAUCUCCUUUCCAAGCAAAAACAUACAUAUUCCAUCGUUUAAAAGCGGUAUAAAAUUUGCCGCAUCCUCGGCAGUAGAAUCCCAAAAACUUGAGCCUCAAUAGAAGAUUUUACAAUUGAUUGCGAAGUAAAUCAAACAAAUCAAAAUGCAAAAUUUAUACUCGUGAGGAAUUUUGGAGUCACGGGACCAAUAGGAAGCCAUUUAAUCUCUUCCCUUUAAAGCACCGCCAAAAACUUGAGGAGGGUGGAUGCAACGUUAUUAAUCCCACAUCGGCCAACGAGAGGAAGAGUCGGCAAUGGCGAGGCUAUAAAUAAUGUAACCCAAUACAAAGAAAAGCAUACCUUUCUCGGCCUUUUGGCUAAGAUCAAGUGUAGUAUCUGUUCUUAUCAGUUUAAUAUCUGAUACGUGGGCCAUUGGCCCACACGAUAUUAACUCAAUUUUUUAAAGGGGAGAGCCCAGUUUGGUAGCUUGCUACCGGGGCUCUCGAGCGUCGCCUUGGCGUGGCACUAAAGCCUGGGCCUGGCGCACCCUACCAAGUCUAGUUGAAAACUUGUUUGCGAAGAAGCCCAGCUAAGUGGGCUAGGUUUUGCAAUGACAAAAUUUAGUUAAUCAUUUGCAAGAUUUGGAAGGGAAGGUAGCUCCACAUUCAUCUCAAAUUUUAGAUAUGGUACCCAGCUUUUAGUUUCAAACUAUUUCUUGGCCUAAGAAAAGUAAAAAUUCUCUCUAUAAACAUAUUUGAGUCCUUUAGUUUUAAGUAGAACUGUUAAAUGGAAUGAGCAUGAUUGCUCGAUAAGGCUCGAGCUUGUUAAUUAUGAUAAAUUAGUCGAGUUCGAGAUAUGCUUGUUUAAUUAACAAGUCGAGUAAGUUCAAUUCAUUGUUAUUUGUAGUUCGAUUAGACUUGAUAAAAAAGAAUAUAUGUGUUAUUUAUUUUACAAUUCAAAAAUAUAAAAAUUAUAAAUUAUAAAUUUUUAUUAGGGUUAAUUUGCACGACCUGUGCAAGCUCGGCUCGUUUGUGAUAAACAAGCUCGGCUCAAUAUAUCUAACAAUAUAUUGAGGUUGUAGCAAAAGCAUUUUGUUGUGGCUAAUUGUUUUGUUGGCUAUGCUUUUGCUAAUUGUUCUACUCUUAAUUGGGCACAUAAAACAUAAUUGUGCAACAAGUUUAAACAUAUAAAUUUUUCAUCAUUCUAUUCAAAUUACUUCUUUGGCCGGGGAGUGCCAAAUGCUGUGGUUGAUAAGUGCCGUGGACGAAUUAGCCAUUGGCACUGAUCUUAUUGCCCCUAGCAAAGGAGAUGAAAUAGGGAUACGUGGGUGAAGAAGUCGGCUCCAUUUGAUUUUCAUCAUUCUAUCUUAAUGUUGUUUACCUACAAAAAAUUACUGUAAAUCACGACAUUCCUUAACGAUAUAUACAAAUAUGAGAAUUUCUAAAAUCAAGAAAGUGAAUCAUCUUUUACUUUUUUUCCAUCGUUUAAGUCACAUAUCGCUUAAUAUAUGAAUUUUUUUAAAAUACUUACUUUGAUGCAUGUCGUUUAGUACUCCCUCCGUCCCAAAAUAAGGGACGUUUUUUGGGAUUCUAACUUAUUAUGCAUAGUUUAAUCAAUUUGAAUGUGAGACAUUUUUUUCCAAUUGUGCCCCUUUGACCGAUAUCAAAUCUUAAUUGUUGUCUAUGGUGAUGUGAAAAGAAUCUGUGGGUCCAUGUAAAAUGUAAGCUCUUUUUCAUGCUGUUGCCAAGCACGGGCCUAUUUAUGGCCAUCAAAAUUUUUGGUGCUGUCCACGCACCUUUUUUUGGAUGUCUAUUUAUUGCUUUUGUGGGUUCCAUCAUACUUGUUUUUUAUUUUAUCAAUGUCUCUUUUGAGGCUACAAAUGGAAUGUUAGAGAAAAAAAUUGUAGUGUGACUCAAAUUUUGGGACAUGAAAAAAGGUGAACUAUGACAAUAACAAUGGGACAGUUAGUAGCUAGCAAGAGGUGAGAGAUGAAGUAACAGAGACCUUCAACCUUGAUCCCUAAUUAGCUUGAGGUUAACAAUUACACGCCAAGAUUUUAGUUCUUUGUCCCAUAUUACAGUGUCAUUACAUUCGAUGCUCGUCAUUUUCUUCAAGACGUGGGAAUACUCAGUCAAUAAUUGAAUAAAAAUAUAGAAAAAAGGCAGCACGGAAUAGCAGCCACAUAUAUAUAUAUUUUUUUUUGUCAAAAUUGAACAAGAAUAAUUCUAACCUUAAAUCCACAGUAAUACCAAAAGCCGGUAACUUCUGGUACCAUUGAGGAGACUAUAACUACACUCACACAGUAAUAGCAGCCACAUAUGGGUACUUUCUUUUUCUUAUGGCUCUUAAACAUGAUCCUUUCAUAGAUAACGACAUUCUUAAUUGAAAAAAGAAAAAAUUAUUGUUAUUGCUUAUAUAUGCAUCGAAGAGGUCAAUCAUUUAAUAUUUAUUCCAUAUUUAUAGGCAGAAUAAUUGAUAUUUUUUCAUAACAAAUACUUAUGGGAUGGGCUAAAUCCACGUUACCUCAUCUAAAUCCACACCCCUAGCAUUAAGAUGACAAUAAAGUCCUUAGGAGAUUUAUAGAAACUUUUUUCAAUACAAAGCUUUUUUUCAUAUAGCAAGAGAUGUUUAAAAAACUAAUCACAAAUUUUAAUUAAUCAAAAUUGUUUGAUACCAUCAUCUUAGUUAUUGAUCCGGUGUUUUCUAGAAUUAUACUUAAAUCAACUUUGAAGUACAAUGCACCAAAAAGGUAAAAAUAUUUUUUCUUAACACAAUUAAAAAAAAAAAUCUCUCAUCUCCUUUUACAUGAUAAAAAGAGAUAAAAACAUUUUCUUCACCAACUAAGGGAAAAAAAAUAAAUGCCAUCAAAGUGAAUUAAAAAAAUAUUAGAAAUUUUAAGAUCAUUCAUAAUGGUGUAAUUUUAAUGCAAAUUAGUAUCAUCUAUUUUCACCAAAAAGACUAUUUUUUGAUGGAAAAAGUUUCUCCCUAUAAAUCCUACGGGUUUUUGGGUCAAUUUAGUUAUAAGUGUAUGGAUUUAGAUUGUGGAGGUGUGGAUUUAACCCCACCAUACUUAUGUUUGAGUGUUUGUCAUUGCACUCUUUUUAGCAUUGUGCAUAAUUAACAACAAUCCCCCAUAUUUCUUGGACAAGCACAGGAAUACGAUACUCAAAAUUGUAAGUGAGAAAUUAAUUAAUUUCACUUAACAUGAGUCCCAUUUAAUUAUCCCUUAAUAUGUGUGGAAAAUUUUAAGUGACAAACUUUCACUUGUUCUCCAAAAUCUUGGACAACCUUAGUAAUACAAUACUAAAUUUCUCUUUACAUCUCUUUUCUUGCUCCCAUUCUUACGUAGACACCACAUAAUCACAUCCUAAUUGAUGCAUGUAUGCUACUAGAAUUUUGUCCGUGCAUAUAUUGCACGAGAUAACAAUUUAAUGGAAAUGGGUGAUAUUAUUUUAGUUGCAUUUGAGAUGUCAAUGAUAUUUUAAAGUAUUAUGAUCAAAUGGAGAAAUUUUUAAAAAUUAAGUAAACAAGUAAUUGAAGUGAAUAUUAAUUAUCUAUUAUUGUAUAAAUUUAUUUUACAAUGAUAAGCAAAGAGGUAAUUGUUGUAAAUUUAACGACCCCAAACCGAAAAGCGUUUGGUAAUUUCAUAAUAUUAAAAUAUUAUAUUCAAUAAGUCUCAUCAAGGCUAUAAAAUUGUACCCCUAAUUCAACCGUUUAUCUAGCUCAUUUUCUUCAAUUUGUUUGAUGGUCAAUAGCAAAUUAUAUGACGAAUCAAUAUUGGUUAUCAAUUAUCUCCAUUUGGCUACUUAAUUUCUUCUUUUUUUUUAGUGAAUCGUAAUAACUGAAAUUAACGAAUUUGACCAACCUAACGGUGUUUGGUUACUUAUUGCUUUGGUAUUAAAUGUUAGAUCCCAAGUAUUUUGACCAUAAAGAGGAAAAAGUUGUAAACAUAAGUUACAAUUUCAAGGCUUACGAUACAAUGUUGUCAUAGAACUUUGUGAUGGUCCUUUUAACUUCUUAUAUGUUCAAUGGCUGUACCAAAAGAAUUUACAAUCACCAUUUUAUCUCAAAUAUAUUACAUUACAAAAAGUAUUAUAAUGUUACUUCAAAUAAUCUCCUUUCCAACAAAAACAUACAUAUUCCAUUAUACCAAAAGAAUUUUCAAUCACCAUUUUACCUCAAUUAUAUCAUAUCAGAAAAAGUAUUACAAUGGGUCUGUUUGGAUUAAGAGGUUUUCAAAAAAAAUUUCAAAUUUUGGGUCCGUUUGAUAACAUAAAAAAGUGCUGAAACUGAAUCUUUUCAGACAUUCAGAUAUUUUGAGUGUUUGAUAAAUGAAAAUCUAUAUGCUGAAUUUGUUAAGUAGUUGCUGAACUUGUGUGUAUUUUUUUCAGUACAAGAAUUCUAACUGAAUGCUUAAUUCUGAUAAGAAUCAAUAAAAUUACUUCAACUAUCUUAUCUUAUCUACCAAAUAUAUUCUUAUUUGUUAAUUAUACUCAAAAUUUUUAUCUAAUUAAACAACCUGAUAUUCUCUAUCUAAUGGUUUUCUAUUUCUCUUUUCUCCCUUUUUAAUGACUUUCACAUCUUCUCCUUACUCCUCAUAUAAUAUAUUUUAUAUUUAUAUUAAUUUGAUUUAGAAAUAAAUAUUGUCAUUUUCAUACCUAACAAUUUUAAACUAAUUAAAUCAUAGGUUCUAUUUCUUUUUUAAAUGAAAAGACAUAAGGGCAAAAUUGUUAAGUUAAACUUAUUAAGCAUUCAGUUAUAAAUAUUUAUCAAAUAGUAUAAAUAGGUUUAGCAUUAAAAUUCAGAUAUUCAUAUAUUUCUUUUCAGUGCUUAAAAUUCAGCAAAUUAAUUAUUGUAAUAUUCAGAUUUCAGAAUUCAGACUUCAGAAUUCAGAUUCAGUUUAUCAAACGGAAUCUUUGUUUUGCUUGUAUCAUACACAUAAUUUCCAACCACUUUUUUAUUUCAUAUACAUCACAUUAAAUAAAUAUUUCAAAUAAUCUUCAAUCCAAACAAACCCAUACUUCAAAUAAUUUUUUCAAAUAAUCUCCUUUCCAAGCACAAACAUACAUAUUCCAUCGUUUAAAAGCGGUAUAAAAUUUGCCGCAUCCUCGGCAGUAGAAUCCCAAAAACUUGAGCCUCAAUAGAAGAUUUUACAAUUAAUUGCGAAGUAAAUCAAACAAAUCAAAAUGCAAAAUUUAUACUCGUGAGGAAUUUUGGAGUCACGGGACCAAUAGGAAGCCAUUUAAUCUCUUCCCCUUUAAAGCACCGCCAAAAACUUGAGGAGUGUGGAUGCAACGUUUUUAAUCCCACAUCGGCCAACGAGAGGAAGAGUCGGCAAUUGCGAGGCUAUAAAUAAUGUAACCCAAUACAAAGAAAAGCAUACCUUUCUCGGCCUUUUGGCUAAGAUCAAGUGUAGUAUCUGUUCUUAUCAGUUUAUAUCUGAUACGUGGGCCAUCGGCCCACACGAUAUUAACUCAAUUUUUUAAAGGGGAGAGCCCAGUUCGGUAGCUUGCUACCGGGUUCUCGAGCGUCGCCUUGGCGUUGCACUAAAGCCUGGGCCUGGCGUACCCUACCAAGUCUAGUUCAAAACUUGUUUGCGAAGAAGCCCAGCCUAGUGGGCUUGUUUUUGCAACUACAAAAUUUAGUUAAUCAUUUGCAACAUUGGAAGGGAAGGUUGCUCCACAUUCAUCUCAAAUUUUGGAUAUGGUACCCAUUUUUUUCCGUUUCAAACUAUUUUUUUGAUAUAAGGAAGUAAGAAUUCUCUAUAAAUAUAUUUGAGUCCUUUAACGUGAAAUUUUUUAUGGUACCGAUAAAUAUUGCAUAAAUAUAUUGUCGGAUUUUGUUGUGGCCAAUGCUUUGGCUAAUUGUUUUGUUGGCUAUGCUUUUGCUAAUUGUUCUACCCUUAAUUGGGCGCAUAAUACAUAAUUGUUCAACAAGUUUAAACAUAUAAAUUUUGUAUCAUUCUAUUCAAAUUACUUGGGGAGUGCCAAAUGCUGCCUUUGAUAAGUGCUGUGGACUAAUUAGCCAUUGGCACUGAUCUUAUUGCCCCAGCAAAGGAGAUGAAAUAGGGAAACGUGGGUGAAGAAGUCGGCUCCAUUUGAUUUUAAGAAUUUGCACACAAAGGGAAUAACAAGAUAGUGUUAAUGUUGUUUACCUACAAAAAGUAACUGUAAAUCACGACAUUCCUCAACGAUAUAUACAAAUAUGAAAUCUUUAAAAUCAAGAAAAUCUAUUAUCUUUUAGUUUAUUUCUGUCGCUCAAAUCAUACAUCGGUUAAUAUAUGAUUUUCCUUAAAAUACUUCCUUUGACGCAUGUCAUUUAGUAUAUAAUAUUUCCAUGGGUUAGUAGCUAGUAGCUAGCAAGAGUGAGACAUGAAGUAACAGAGACCUUCAACCUUGAUCCCUAAUUAGCUUGAGGUUAACAAUUACACGCCAAGAUUUUAGUUCUUUGUCCUAUAUUUCAUCGUGUCAUUACUUUCGAUGCUCGUCAUUUUCUUGAAGACGUGGGAGUAGUUUGGCGUUUCAUGUCCUAUUGAUUAUGUUAAAUUCUCCACGGAAUGUUCUUAUUACUGACAAAAACCAUGGAAAUAUCCCCGAAGAUGUUACGCUAUCUGUGUCUCAUCUGAUUAAUAUUAAUUUCUUGAGAAGAAGGCAUGUCUGGUUCAAGAAUCAAGGGUUGCUAAUUACUCGAGCCAUGCAUCAAACUAAAAGCAUAUGGUUUGAGCCUUGUGUUUCUUGUCGAUCCUUUGAGGGAAGAAUAUAAUUUGUUGUUUGCUACCAGAUUCUUACAAUCAAGAAGUAGCUAAUCUAAUUAUCUGAGUAACCUAUGAAAAAGACUUCUAGCCAAAUAUGAUUAACCAUCUAUUGGUCACUUAUAGUAGCUUGAUUCUCACAAGAAAACUUCAAGGACGUCACGAAAAUGCAACAUCACCAACAGUACUUUAGCAUCCUUUCAUCAAGUCCUAAAGAUGUUUAACUUUUAAAUUGAUGUAUAAAAGUACUCAUUGCUCUUUCUUUCCUCAAUUUGUUUUUGUAUUGCUCAUGAAUUGAGCACAAGGGAAUCAAUUUGGCAUAUCUCAUCCUUCUGGCUCUAAAAGUUUCAAAAAUCCUGUCCAUUUACUUGCAUAAGUAGUUAAUUCUGGUGCAAGUUUUUGCUAAAAAUGUGAGUUAGAAGAACCAGAACAAAGAAUAAACAAAUAACAAAAUCAUGAGUAAGAAGAAAAAGCAGAAAACAUUACACUUAAAUAGCUUGCAACACUAGGUUAUAAGAAACCUUGUGAUUGGACCAAAAGAUCAUAACUUGCACGAGAGUAUAAAUUCAUUUCUUGGUGUGUAGAUUUUGUGGAGUGAACUUUGUCUUAUAUAUCAACUUUCUAAUGAAUUGGCUCCCCAUGUUUGCAACAUGCAUUUUCAUUGUCAAGUUUUCGUAAUCUUAAUUUGUUUUGUAAGCUCUAGUCUUCUGUGCAUUCUUCUUGGUCCUCCAUUUACCAGACCCGCAAUGAAAGAAAGCAAUUUGCCAGUACUUUCCACAUUUGAAUUUCCCUUUCCAUUACCAACAUGGCCUCCUGGUUAAUAUCAUUCCUUAUUCUACCUUAAAAUUAUUGGAUGAUAUCUUAAGUCAUUUCUAACUCAUAACCAUUGUUGAUUUUUCCUUUUUUUGGUGCAUAAAAUAGGUGGUAGCUUCGCUAGAGGAUAUAUGGACCUAGGAGGACUUCAUGUGUACCAAAUUACAACUUUCAAGAAAAUAUGGGCAGUGUACCAUGGUGGACUGAAGGACCUUGGAGCUACAUUUUACGAGCCUUCAGAAAUACCAGAGGGAUUUUUCAUGCUUGGAAGCUAUAGCCAACCUAAUGAUCAACCUCUUUUCGGCUCAUUACUUGUCGGAAAAGAUGUCGCUAACGGCACCGGUCAGCCGGAAACUCUAAAAAGCCCUAUCGAUUACACACUAGUCUGGAGCAGUGAGCUGUCCAAAAUCAGGCAAAGUGGCCCUGGUUACAUUUGGUAUCCAAUUCCUCCUGAUGGUUAUGAAGCUGUAGGUUAUGUUGUUACUAGCGCAUCAGAGAAGCCUUCCCUGGAUAAAAUCCGAUGUGUUCGGUCUGAUUUCACUCAUGACUGUGAUAUUGAGAAAUGGAUUUGGGGUGAAAGUUCAUCAAUUAGUGCUGAUGGAUUCAGUGCAUAUAGUCUAAGACCAAGUGCUAGAGGGACCCUGGAUCAAGGUGUACCUGUUGGUUCAUUCAUAUUCAUGAAAAAUUGGGAUGCAGAUGCACUCACAUCUGUAUCUUGCUUGAAAAACAACAAUUUCUCCUUGUUUUCCAUUGAAUCCACGCCCAAUCUAAGGCAAAUUCAUGCACUAUUUCAGACAUAUGCUCCAUUGAUAUACUUUCAUCCCCAAGAAACUUACCUUCCCUCUUCAGUAAAUUGGUUUUUUUCCAAUGGAGCGUUACUAUACACAAAGGGACAAGAAUCAACCCCUAGUCCAAUCAAAUCCCAAGGUGAAAAUCUUCCACAAGGUGGUUUAGAUGAUGGAAGAUAUUGGCUGGACCUUCCUGCUGAUGAAACGUCAAAAGAGAAACUCAAGAGAGGCAAUUUUCCAGGCUCUAAGGCAUAUCUUCAUGUGAAAUCAAUGUUUGGUGGAACAUAUAGUGACAUAGUUAUUUGGAUUUUCUGCCCAUUCAAUGGACCUGGGAUGCUUAAAUUUGGACCUAUUGAUAUUUCACUAAGCAAACUUGGAGAACAUGUUGGUGACUGGGAGCACAUGACUCUAAGAAUCAGCAAUUUUAAUGGAAUGCUGCAAAAAGUUUUUUUCUCCCAACACAGUUCUGGAACAUGGAUUGAUGCAUCAAUUCUUGAAUUUCAAAAUGGAAGUAACAAAUUUGUGGCCUAUUCAUCUUUGCAUGGCCAUGCAUUUUAUUCAAAGCCAGGUUUGGAUUUACAAGGUGCUGCUGGAUUUGGAAUAAGGAAUGAUAUGGCUAAAAGCAACUUAAUUUUGAACACUGGAGAUAGGUAUGUGAUAGUUUCAGCUGAUUAUCUUAGUCCACCAAUUGUGAAGCCACCAUGGCUGUACUAUGCUAGAGAAUGGGGACCAAGAGUGACAUACAACCUUGGUCUUUUAGUGAAAUUUGUGGAAAAUAUUUUGAUAGGAGUAUACAAAUCAAUUUUUCAAAGUUUGGUUAAUUUAUUUCCAAAUGAACUUUUUGGAGAAGAAGGUCCCAUUGGCCCCAAGAUGAAAAGGAAUUGGAAGAAAGAUGAACUUUGAGUUAGAUGGCAAAGUGGUAGAAAUCUCACUUGGUUCAAGUAAAUUCUCAAUUGCAUCUAUGGAGAAAAGAAAGAAACGAAUUCAAUUGUACAGUCAAAAGACUUCUUUUUUUUUUGGCCCCUUAGAUUUUUAGGUCUUUCAGUUUUUUUUUUCAUUUAUUUAAAGUUUGUUUUGGAUGACAUACUUAAAAAUUAGUUUUGAAACUCUUAGGGUUGCAAGAUGUAUAUUGCUAGACUUACCACUUAUGUCUAUACCUUUGUACAGAUUUUAUUUCGAUCAAUUUGAAUGGAGUACAUUCCUAAUUUGAUCCAAUCUCCUUUGGAAUACAGAUUGUUACAAUUAAAGGACUUUAUUGACCCCAAGAAACCUUGCUUGUUAGAACAUUGAGUUUUUCUUUGGAAAAAAUACACUUUCUAUCCUCAUUGUUUGGGAGUUGGAUCAAUUAGGUCCCUUAUUGUGUCAGCAGAAACACAUUUAGUCCGGUAACUUUUGUUUGUUGACCAAUUAGGGACAAUUGAUGCUUAAUCACUCCAUUUGGAUUGAAAUUAAUGUCUAAUCACUUAAUUUGGAUGGAAUAAAAUGUGGGGGGAGGGGAGUGGGAUAAAAUUCAUGAGACUCGACCUAUUUCAAUUUCCUUCUAAUUCUUUAUAGCCAAUCAUUUGGCACAUUUAUCCUUUUUUUUCAAAUUUUAAUGAAUUUUGUGUAAUAAAUUUUGAGAUUCUAAUGAAUUUUGCCUCUACCAAUUCUUUUCACUAAUGAUACGUCCCCUAGCGUACUUUAUUCUAUCCAAAUUUAGUGAUUAAAAUGUCAAUUUUAGCCCAAAUUGAAUGAUUAAAAUAUUAGAAGAGGGUUGAAUUGAGUGAUACGGUAGAAGCGACUGUACGUAGAACGUUUUUUAUUCAAAACCUCCUAUUUACACAACAAAAAAUCUAAAAUUCAAAAAAAAAAAGAAUGAUUAAAUGUCAAUUAUUUCUAAUUGAUCAAAAAAUCAAAACUUUAGGGACUAAAUAUGUUUUCAUUGAAAUUACCGGGACUGAAUUGAUCCCACCCCAAGCACUGGGCUGAAAAGUGGACAUUUUCCAAUCUCUUUUGGGUUGAGACAAAAACCGGAUAUAAACACUCAAGACGAGCCACAGCUAAUUGUCAAAAAGUGGGAAUAUUAAGAAGACAAAUACUUCUAUGAAUCUGGUCUAUAUGCUGUCAGCGGUAAACCUUGUAGCUAUCAAAUAUUCAAGCCAUCAUUGUAAUUAGGGGUGAACAAACGGUACAAAUUCGGUAAUUCGAUUAGUUGAAUUCGAUUAUUUGAUUUAUAAAAAUCUAAACCGCUUUCAAUUUCGAAUUGGUUAUAAGCGAAUUCAUUUCGCAACCGAUUUCGAAUUCGGAAAUGGUAAUGAAUUCGGCCUAUUAAAAAAAAAACUGAUGAGAUAACCUGUUAUGGUCCCGAAGGAAGUGAUUGUGUAAUUUUUAAUUUACAAAUUGGGGCUCCUAAAUUAUAAUACAUUCAUUAUGUUCCUCAAUGAUUUAAAAAUUAUUACUGAUUUGAUCCCCAAAUUUAUUCAUAAUUUAACACAUUACUUAUGUUCUAAUCAUUUUGUGGUUUAAUUGGCAUUUUUUUGAUCACUUAUACCUAGAAUCCUUAGUCUAUGAUUUAAGGAACACAUAAAAAGUGAUUAAUUUAAAUUAGAAUAAACCUUAGACUGUACAAAUGAUUAGUGAUAAUUUAUGAAUUUAUAAUUUACAAUAAUUAAUAAUAAGUAAUAUUAGUUACAAACUUACAAAUUACAAUGAUUAGUGAUAAGUUAUAUUAGUUACAAACUUAUAAUUUAUUUCAAAUCAAAAUAAAACUUAUUUACUUACACUAAUAUCUAAAUCGUAUGUAUUCAUUUACUUAUAAUUUAUUGUGAAAGUCAAUACACUAAUACAUUGAUUUGCAAUUCAUAUGUCUUCACUUACACUGCUUAGUUGUCUUGUUUAUAUUUAAAACCUUAAGAUUAGUGAAAACAUGAAUGAUGUAUCAAAUUACCAAUAUCUAAAUUCUAAUUACUAAUUAUGUUUAUUGUUUAAUUUUUAUAUUAUACAUAUAUGUAUUAAUUAUUAUCUAAUUCUAGUCAUGUUACUCAUAUAUAAAAUAAUAUGUAUUAUAGUUAUGUUAUAUUGUUAUGUAUUACUAUAUAUUUGUAUUAUUAUAAUCAUAUAACAAUUAACAAAUACUAAAAUAAUAGAUUGUACAUUAUUAUAUAUUAUUAUUAUUAUAAGUACAUGAUAAUACCAUAUACUACUAUUAUUAAUAGCAUUUACCUAUAUAAUAUAAUAAUAUAUUAGUAGUAUAUACUAAUACUAAAUAGCAUUGAUCUAUAUAUUAUAUAAUUUUAUAAAUUAAUUUGGUAUUCGAAUGCAGUAAUGCGGUACCCUAUUUCAUUUUACCAAAUUUGAAUGCGAAAUCGAUUAUUACCAAAUUCUAUAAUCUCAUUACCUAUUUCAUACCAUAUUAGAAUUCGGUAAAUUCGGUACGUACCGAAUUUGUACCAAAUUACCAAAUACCCAAUUUCAAAUUACCAAAUUGAAUUUGAAUUCGGUUAUGAAUUCGGUAUGUACCGAAUUUGCUCACCCCUAACUGUAAUAUCACAUGACACCACAUACUAAUAACUUGUAAAUUUGUAUUUAUAAGGUCUAAAGAAUGAAUUACAAAAUUAAUCAUAAUAGAAAUUACAGUUUGAUUAAGGAUAAUAGAACUUACAUUUUGAUUAAGGUUAGCCGGAACAAGUUAAUGGGUAUGAUUGGCCCAUUUUUUGAGUUUUGUGAUUAAUUAAUUUUUUUUCUAAGAGAAUCAAUGUUCACCUACCCAUAUAUCUCAUAUUUUAAAUUAAAAAUUAAAAAGCUAAAGAAAAAUAAUAGAACAGAGUCAUGAAAAAAAUAUAAGAAAUUUUAGUACUAAAAAUUCAUUACCAUUAACUUGUUAAUCAUAGUUAUAACAAUCAUGAUUGAUGAAUUUUUAUCGUAUGAAUCCUAAAUUUACAAUAUUUUUCUCUCCUUAAAAAUGCCAAAAAAUAAAUAAAUAAAAAAAAACACACACACACACACAUUUUUGUUUUGCCAGCAACGAUACAUUAUAUAACCUACUCUAUCCUAAUUUAGGGGAGAGGGAGGCUAAGAAGGCUUGUGUUAGGAGCUAGUGGGUAUACAAACCCAACUAGACCAAGGGACUGCUAUGGCACUUCUUUUAGAUUUUUUUUGUUACAAGUGAAGUUUAAAUCCGCACCUACAAUCCAAUGAGGGAUUUAGGUUCCACCCUGGUGGCCACUGAGCUAAGCUCAGUGGGACCAGGGGCAGGAACGGUUUCGUGGCAAUUAUGUACAUUUUACAUAGCGCGUAAGUUUGUUUUCACACGACGUAACUUUGUUUGUACAAUGUGUAACUUUAGAACAAAUUUUUGUGAACCCCACAUACAUUGUAAAAAAUGAAGUACAAGAAGUGAUCUGAAUCAUACAAAUUUUUGGGGCCAAAUCUUGGCCAUGAACCGUCCCUGCCCCGUAUCCAAACUCGGUGGUUCACACAGACACACACAGCGGAUAAGCUUUGAGAGGAGUUUCAGCAGACUCUCAGUCCAAGUGGAUCGUUCUCCCAGACGGCGUCAGUCAACCCUUGACCAUUUGUUUCGUUGCCACCCAAGAUUUUCUACUUUUCUUCUUUCUAAUCUUCAGUUUCCUGUUAAAUCACGCCCAAAAAAAAAAAAAAGAUAAUCUUCAAUUUGGUUCAUCCUUUUUUCCUUACUUCUAGUUUGUUUUGUCCAAUAUGGUGCUUGCAUUUAAGAGAACCUAAAAUUAAAUAAUUGAUACACAAAAUUAUAUUUAGUAUGAGUAGUAGUAGUGGUAGUAUUACAUUGACUUUUAUUUUCUUACUAAUAAAUAACUAAAAAUAUUAGAAAAUUAUGUAAUCAAACUCUAUGUAAAUUACGAUUUCAUUAGCAUUUUAGAAUUUUGAGUAACAAAAUCAGAUCGAUAAAAUGACUAAAAAUAUGUAAGUAUUAGAAUAAACUAUUUUAACAAUUUACCUGCUAAAAUAGUUUUCUUCUACGUACAUAUAUUUACAUGAAAAAUGCAGUAAAAUAAUAGGAAAUGAUUUUUAAUUCCCCCAAAUUUCAGACAAACAAACGUACCUCAAAGUCUCAAACCUUUGACUUCUCCAUUAGAUAUUUUCUCAUUUUCCUUUUUCUCAAGAAUUAUUUCUUUAUAUUUUGAGCUCUUCUUGACCGCCUCUUCUUGCCUUUGCUGACCGAGACCUGCCUGAAACCCCAUAAAAAAGAAAUAAUAAUAAUAAUAAAAUUUUCAUAAAGUAAAUUCCCACCCAACACUCCGAUUUAUAAACUCCGAUCACCGGAGAUAUUUCCGGUGGAGAUCGGAAACUCUUGAAAAUCCUCAAUCCCACCACUAAUUGACUGCAUUUCCACCGCCCCUUUAUCCCUAUGGACUCCCCAGACAUCAAGGAAGAGCUAGAGGAGACUGAGGAGGAGGAGGUGGAGGUGGAGGUGGAGGUGGAGGUGGAAGUGGAGGUGGAGAAGAGAAAAAAGAGUUCUUUGUAUAUAUUUUUUGGUGCUCUUUUCAAAAUCCUUUUCACCACUUGGGCAACUUUUUCUGUAUCAUUUUUUGUGGUUUUUGUAGCUGUUGUUCUGGGCAACCUGUCAAUUUGGAACCCCAUUUCUGUUCCUUCUCACUGCAAGAUCCUGUCCAGUAGUAAGUACUUUCGUUACCCCUUUUCAUUCAUUUUCUGUGUACUUACAGCUAUUCUUAUUUUGGUUGCGGAAUUCUACUUCAUUUUGUUUUAUUUUUGGUUGCUGAAUUUUUGUUUGAUAUGAGGAUUUGGCUUACUUUUCAAGAAUCCUUCUAAGGAAUGGACGUUUUGGUACUGUUUGCUGGUUGGUUGAUGAGAUUGAAUAAUAUAUGAAAAUUUGAGAAAAUUGUUUUUUACCAUACACUAAGGGUUAUCUAUGAAAUUUCUUAUGCCCCAGCUGAGAAAAUGUUUGAUGGGGUUGAUGUUUUGGUGCAAAUUGGUGGAAGAUUGAUGAAAAGUUGGAGUGUGAGUGUAUGAUCAAGUCGUAGCUGUAAACACAAUUUUUUUAAAUAAAAUUUUUAAGGCAUGCUUUAGAUUAUUUAUGGGGGAGAAUUUAUGCAAGGCAGUGGAAAAUAUGCAAGUUUGAUUAACUAAAAAAUAGAAUGGAUGCCAGUAUGCAAGAAGUAAUCAGAAGUUUUGGUUGGUGCUGAUAGAAUGUGAGAUUCCUGCUUUUCAAACCUUAGGGUCUCUAGAUUUCCUUAUAAGAUGUUGCGAAUCAAUAAUGCCAGUAUUGAGCAUAGUUUCAGGCAAGCAUAUGUUGUCAGUGUUUAGGAAUUUGGUGGCUUAUGUUUCUUGUAACUGGAAAGGGAAGAUGGUGUUUUGAAGUUUUGAAUGCUGAAAAUGGCACAGAAAAUUUGAAUCGCUUGCUCAGUUUUGCAUGAAAAUUGUUUUGCAUUCAAUUUGUUGAACUGGCUUUAUGACUGAAAAUUUUGAAUUUUGCGUAUUGUCUGCUUACUCAGUUUAGUAUAUAAUUCCCUCAUUGUCCUUUUUCAGCUGCAUUUUUUGUUCUCGAUAAUUAUUUUGAGGAGUCCGUGUGCUGCUGUUGUCAACUAUUUAUGUUUGUUAAGUCAUUCUAGCUGUCAGGUAUAACGUUUCGUCACCUUUUAUAAUUUGGUAUCAAUGGCCUUUUUCAACUGAUGAAAAAUGAUACAAUGCAGAAAAAAAAGUGGAAAUAAUCAAAUUGGUAUACUAAUCUAUCGGUCUGAUCAUUUCUUGCUGCCAUCAGAUAACUUUUUUAGAUAAUUAUCAUGGCAUUCGCAAGAGCAUUAGUAACGCAUUGAGAAACAAAGUGAGCUGCGCGAAAGGGAACGAAUGGUUAAUGUUGAAUAUAUCUGUUUGUCGUUAAAUAUUUUGUUGGGGGCUCCACUCUGUGAAGCGUUAAUGCUCUAAAAUCCUGUUCUAACAUCGACUAACUUCCCUUGCUGCCUCAUUUAUAUAGACAAGAAUAGUCUCAUUGCCCAAUUUCGCAAAGAAAUCUGCCAUUUUUUGUCCCCUUCCUCAAGGUGUCUUGAAACCUUUUCAUUUGAUUGAUCAGACAAAUGCAAAAUUGAUAUAAAAUGUGGUCUUUUUUGCUUGUAUAAGUUUUGCUCGAGGAGUAGAUUCCUUGAGCUAUCAAGUACUGGUGAUGGAAAGGCACAUCCUCUACGAAAAAAAUAAGGAGCACCAAAUUGAAGAAACCUUUUAUAGUGAUCGCUUGAAGAAUCUCAUAAAUUAAUCUCUUUUUGAUAAAAAAAAAAAUGCAAGAAUUUUGGUGAAUGUGCCAAAGGGGAUGUCCGUUAGAUCCUCUUGUCAUCCUUGCGUCUCAUACAUUUGACAUUUCUCGAAGAUACUUUCAGGUAUCUGUGCAUGCUAAUGAGGGGCACAUGUUGCUUCAUUUCUUUUGCAGGUGUGGAUCUGAGAUCAUCCAAAGUCUGUGAGCUAGGAUUACUAAAUUAUAGAGCCAAGCAUGUGUUUUAUCCUUAUGAGAGGAAGAAGUUCCGAUGUCGUUAUGAUUAUUAUUGGGCAUCUGUUUUUGAGGUAUGGAAAAUUGUGAUUAAGUUUCCUAUCUGAUUUUGGCUUCUUAAUAUGUGGAUCUCUGAGUUAACCUCUUAAGUGGAGCCCAUGAUAGUUUGAUUAAAGACUUUGUCUUAAUGAGUUUCACCAUUGGCGUAAUCCUUUUACUUUCUGGAUAGCAAAUGGUCUGUUUCAGAGAAUUAGCAUUUGAUACAAGAAAUGUAGAACAUAUAACUUAAGUUUUCUUUCUGCCAAAAUAUUUUCUAAAAGUGGUGGACAAAGUUAUGUACUACUGUAAAGAAUGAAAUUUUGUUGCUUCUGGAGAGAAUAAGGUAUAAGUUCGCAACUACAUAGAUUUAAUGAUUUACACAUUUUAUCUUUUAUUGGACAAAAUUUAGUUGGAAGGUCAAUGUAUGGUUGUUUUACCAAGUAGUUGUGAUUACACUACUUUGAUAAUUGGAAAUAAGAAGUGCAUUAUAGCUUGACCAAUGAGUAAAACUAGUAAAAGCAUCUGUGGUUAUGUUAGUGAUAUAGAUGUAACUGAAAGAAAUGGUACCUAUAAGCUAAAGGACAGCAUCUAACAUAAAUCAAGAAAAGUUGUUUUGGAAAUCAAUCUGCUUUUCUUAUUUAGUCAGUAAAUAAAUUCUUAGAUUACUCAAUCAAAGUGUCUUAAAUAAAUGCCUCUAAGCCUUAAAAUGCAGAAAGGGACAAAAUACUUCUAUGACUAUGACUAGUUUUUUAUCUAGUUAAAGAAAAUCUUGCUCUUCCAAAUACUUUCAAGUAUGAUUAUUAUUGUGAACUUAAUAUUACCUAUUGCAGGCAGAAGAACCACAAAUGCACAGUCUUCAACUUGAAGUGCUCAAGCAUGUCUUGAAACUGCUUUUUUUUUUCCCUACCAACUUUCAACAAAUAAACAAGUUAGAAAAUUUAAAAUGAUUGAAUAAGGGUAGUAGAGAAAAUAAAAAUUAGAAUGAGGAAGUUGGUAUGUACCUGGGCGUUGCGCUAAAUAUCAUAAUUAAGUUAGGAAUGAGACUAAGGUCCAAUAAUUGUCACUGGUGGGAUGAAGCAUAUGGACUGACAUGUUACAUGUGCAAGGAUCUGUUGACAAAAGUUGUCCAGUUUUAGCUUUUAAUUCAACAUUUUGAAACGAAACAACUUCAUGAUCAUGUACAGUUCAUAUGUCUGACUUUUUCUUUUUUUCUUUUUGAAUGUCUCUUGCAUGUACUCUUUUAAGAAAAUGUUGGCCCUUUCUGUGAUAUAUUGUAGAUUUAUAUUCUCCAAACAACAGGUUGAAUAUGUAGAUCGGUCAGGCCAGCGGAGAAUUGCAUUAGCAGAGGCUCCAAAUGAAGCCCUUCCAUCCAAUUGUAGACCGACUUUUGGAGCUGCAUGGUUAACCAAAGAUAAAUUUAAGGUAGAGGUUGAAUUUGAAGCUUUCAGCGUGGAAAUUUACAACCUUCGACUAAUCUCCAUUGGAUUAAUUUACUUUGUCGUUUCAAUUUUAAUUGUGCAUUUCUCUCCAUAACAUCAUUACCUUCUGUUUUAGGUCAAUGAAACUUAUGAUUGCUGGUACACAUUGGGGAUUUCCAAGGUUGACAUACGUCAGGAUGGUCUUUUCAAUUGCCAGGCAAAUCAUCCAUCCAGUUUUGAGAUGCUUAGACGAUACUCUAUCCUGUGAGUAUACUCCUUUAAAAUGGUUUCUUGUCUAUUCUUCUUUAAUCCGCUUCUUAUAUACAUCUAGUCUAUUGAAAGAAGAUUAGCAAAAUCUAGAUGGUGAUUAUUCCUUAUUCCACCUGGAAAGAAAUGCUUUUAACUAUUUGCAGUCUACUGGUUAACUUAUGAGCACAUAGACCAAAGAUAAACUUCAUCCACUGUUUCUGCUUUCUGUAUGAUAAUCAUUGCAAUUUGUUGUCAGACUGGAUAAAUUUUAUUGUUCCAAUUCAAUCUCACACACACCCUACCUUUUUGUAAUCUCAGAAGUUAAUAUUCCAUGUUUUGAUCCUCUUUUAGUUUUGCAUUGCGCAUCAGUUUCUUCAACUAAAUCAUGACAGUUUGCUUUGUGUUUACCUCUUACUGAGAGACUUCUUUUAGCUGUAAGGAUCAAUGCUUUACUAAUUACUGUUGGCAUCCUGUUAUGUUGAUUUUAUGCUAAUUGUUGAACUAUCUACAUAGAUUUCUAUAUGCAACCCUGAUAUCAAUUUUUAAUCAGCUUCUUCGUUUCUGUGCCAGCUUUAUUCAGCAUUUAAUGUGAAUUUCUUUUGUAUCAAAUUUUGGAAAUUUUAACAAUGUCAGUAAGAAUGAAUUUGGCAUUAAAAAAUCAACUUGUUUCCAGUCCUUGUGUCAGACAACAUUAUGUCAUAUUUAGGUAGAGAUCCAUCUUUGUCUAAAGUCUGUUGUUCAUGGUAGCAAGACCAGGCAAUAUUCUUCCUAGUCUCUUAGAAAGUCACUUCCUUCCUUAUAAUUUGUACUUCAGGUUCUUCUUAACUAUGCUUUGCUGCAAUAUAUGGUUUUCCUUUAUGCAUACCUCUCUUACUGUGUUUGAAGUUCAUUUUGUUCUGGCAGGUCUAUUAGGAUACUGAAAUCCUGGAUUACAAGCAGCAGAUCACUUAAGCACUGGAGAUUGGAUGUUGUGGCUGGAGUUGUGACUGGGUUCUGUACCUCCUUGGUAACUGUUGGCUUGGCUAGAGUUGUCCACCAAUUAAAGUCUUCCUUGCACCGUUGCUCUGCGGAAAGGACGCAUCUAUCUUCAUGUGCUGUCUAUAUCAAGCGAGCUUGCUUCUUCAUAGCAUAUUUCUCCUUUAUGGGUUUCUUGGCCUUAAUGUAUUUAAGAAGAAUAGGCCUCCCUCAGAUGUCUGGGAUGUUUGCUACCUGGUAGCACUUCUUGAUUGAGGUUACUUACCACCCAGCCUCCUGAAUUCUGCCAAUUUUCACAUUGCAGAAUGAAGCAUAAUUAUGUAACAGCAAUGCACCAAUAUAGGUUUUGGCAAAUGAUCUACAUAUUAUAGAAUCUUUCUAGUCAGUAUGAUUGGAUAGUUUUCUUGUUUGCCCAAAGUUCAUCAAAGUCUAUAUAUUAUAGAAUCUAUCUAGUCAGUCAUCAAGCUUACAAACUCUUAUAUUGUCUGUAUAACUUUACAAUCAUUUGAAGUUAGCCGAUUUCAGCAAUACAAUCUUGCAGUCUUCCUAGUCAUUAUCCACAAGAAUUUCCAGCAUUUCAGUCAGUUUAGAUCUGCCAUCCUUGGACAGUAAUGAGGAUAAAUAUUCAACAGCCUCAGUACCCUGGCUAUCUUGAUAUUUGUUAGAAUAUGGCUGUAUAUCUAUCUUUUUCUUUAUUUGUUAAUCCAAUUUUAGGUGGGAAUCUUGAGUACAAGGCACUUGCAUGUUUAUUUCUUUGUUGGCUAUUUUUCUUUGCCUUUUUGUUUUCAUGCUUUUGAGGAAGUGAAAACGUCAACUUCAUGUAUGAAUACACCAUGUGAAGCAGGAUCCGUUGUGAAUAAUUUGUAAAUGGUUUUGUGUGCUCUUUCAAGUGAAAUCAAAGUUUUGUGAGUGAAUUCGAAUGUCUUUUUUAUAUUGCUCAUAAACUAAAUGCAUUAAUUCUAGCUACUAGUCUCGUGAAUAUUCCAUGUCCCUUCUUUUAAAAUAAGAACAAACUCGUAAGAAAUUCUAAGUGUCAUUUUAACUCUAGAAUUUUUUUAGAUCCCGCCACCAAAUCCUGGCAUAUUAUAUGUAAACAACUAUGGAUUUCAGAUUUCACGACAAAGACAACUAAUCAAAAAAUUAAAGAACCUCAGAAUUGAACCAAAGGCUUAAGAUAGAACCCCCAGAGCUUUUAGAAGAAUGUAUGCUAGAGUGCAAAAGAUUAUCAAUCUCUACCAUGUCGUUUCAUGUUUGAUAACUUUUGGCGAGUAGUAUAGACUUGAUUGUUAAAUUAUUGCAAAUUUAUUUCAAUACUUUUGUAACUUUGUUUUAACGUUAUAUUAUUUUACGAAAAUUCUAUGGUCUUUCCUUCGAUUUUGCAAAUUUUGCAAUUGAACUCUGGGAGCGUUUCAUUGGAGAUUACAUUUCUAAGUUAGGGCAACACCUUGUCCUCUUAUGCUGAAAUGGAAGUGGUAAUACAUGCCAAAACCGAGAUCCCGUCCUUGCACAUUUUGACAAAGGCUUAGGUAGAGGAAAUCAAAUGGAUUAAGGAGCACAAUGAGUUGUUGUCUCUAAUUGAUGAAAAAGAGGUUGAAUGUUUGUCAUGGACAAUGCUAUCAUCAAAUGAUGGUUCGUUAGAAAGACAAAUCUCGCUUAUUUGAAGUGAGGGAUAAGGUUUUGAAGUAAAUUUUUCCGAUUCAAGAGGAGGUUAAAGAAAAGUUUGCUCCAACUUGGCAAGGGCCAUUUAUUGUUCAAAGAGUGCUAUCCGGAGGAACGUCCAUUCUUACAGAACUGGAUGGACAGGUUUUUCCUUUGCCAAUCAAAGACAUGUGUAAUAAAUUUUUUAUCUGAUUAUGUGAUUUUUUCUUUUUGAAAUACCAUCUAUGGCGGAUCAAAGGCGAGCCUUCUUCUUUUCUCUUUGAACAUCUUAUCCCUAGUUUUCCCCAUUGAACCUCCAGAAUAAUUUAACCCUUUAUUUGAUAGCCCUCCUAAAGAUUGCAAACCCCAUACUGGGGUAAAAUUUUAUCUCAUAUUUGUCAUGAAAAAAAAAGAGAAAAAGAAAAAAGAAGUCAAAAGCCAAACUGGGGCAAUUUUUUCGGUCUUAAUACCCUCAUACAGGGACAAAUAUUGAUAAAAUGCGGUCUUAGGGUUUUUGAAACCUCUUUGAAAAUUUUUCUUUGAAGCCUUAACACUUUUUCUACACCCCACAUGACCCCAUCAUAAAAAUCAUAAAGUCUCGACCUCCGCCUUAGUGGUAUUUCUAAUAAAAAUCACUUAAUCAAAUGGCAAAUGAUGUCAAUAUACCUUCACCAUUUUUACAUGGGAAGGGUUGUCGCGCUGAUGCCAUCCUUUCUUUAAAUACAUUUCUGAGUUGAUAAAGGUCGUUAAAAAGAUUUGUUCAUUAGGUGAAAACCUGAAAGGGUGUCUUCAAAAGAAUGGAAGAAAGGAAAAGAAAAAAAAAAGAGAAAAAAAAAGGAUGAAAAGAAAAAAAAAGAAAAAAGGAAAAAUAAUAGAAAAUGAAAACAAAAUAAAAUAAAAAGGUGUGACCUUUGUGAAAAUCUAAAAGGUUAAGGUCAUCAAGGUGAGAUUUUGGAGCACAAGAGAAUCAUGAAUGAAAAGCGGGUUGCCGACACUUGAGAUACAGGCCAUUCAUUCAAAUCUGGUCAUUAGAAAAGUUGAUUUGUGGUACAAAGUGAGGUAUGGCUGACUGAUGCUAGAAAAUUGAGAAGAUUCAAAAUAAGUUGCAGCACAACUCUUGAGGAGCAGUCUUGACAUCGAAAGAUCAUGCUUGCAUAGUUCUCAGGGCCAAAAGGAGCACAAGGAAUCACAUGGUAUUCGUAUCAUAUGAUCAUUCAUUUUGUUUUUUCGAAAGCAUGAAAAAUGUGGCCUUCAUUAAACAUGAUUUACACUGGGGCAAAUAUCAAGAGGAAUGAGCUCCAAUUUUGGUAAUGCAUUUUAAAUCGGCUUUAAAGUCGAAAGAUAGUGACACAUGUAUGUACCUCUCAAAUCUCUUGAAAGGAGAGUUGUCAUUGGUAUUCUUCAAGUUUUAGAAUUUGUCACCUUUGUUUUUUUUCAAAAACAAAAAAAAAACAAAAAAAACAAAAAAACAAAAAAAGAUUACAAAUCCACCAACUUGAGCCACAAUGUCAAAAUGCAAAGCAGAUGAUUGGUUGAACAAAAUUGAUUCAAAUUGAGUCAAUUUCUGAAAUGAUUUUUCAGGUAAGUAUUCAAGAACUUUUUCAUGCAAUAACGUGUGUCAUGUCUUUUAUCACCAUUAGCAUCGAGUAUUGACUCACUAGCGUGUGUUUUGCUUUUUUAUAUCCGUUAGCAUCGGGUCCAACCCACUAACGUGUCUUUUAUCACCGUUAGCAUCGAGUAUUGACUCACUAAGGUGUGUUAUGUUUUUUUUCACAUCCGUUAGCAUCGGGUUCAACCCACUAACGUGUCUUUUGUAUAUCAUGUUGGGAUUCGGCAGGUUUGGGUGUUAUCCCACUGACCAUUUUAUUUUAUUGGAUUCGGGUUUUAUCCCACCAAUCUGUUAUUUCUUGACAAAUUUAAAUUUCUGUUGGUGAGUCUCAGCGUCCACCGCGCACCCUUCUAUCUCCCAUUCUUGGCAAAUUUAAUUUUCUGUUGGAGCGUAAUCGCGUCCCUCCGCGCAUCAAUUUAAAUUCCUGUUGGUGAGUCUCAGCGUCCACCGCGCACCCUUCUAUCUCCAAUUCUUGAUCAAUUUAAUUUUCUGUUGGAGCGUAAUCGCGUCCCUCCGCGCAUCAAUUUAAAUUCCUGUUGGUGAGUCUCAGCGUCCACCGCGCACCCUUCUAUCCCCCUUCUCGACAAUUUAAUUUCCUGUUGGAGCGUAAUCGCGUCCCUCCGCGCAUCUUUUUCUAAAUGACAAUUUAAAAUUUCUGUUGGUGAGUCUCAGCGUCCACCGCGCACCCUUCUAUCUCCCAUUCUUGACAAAUUUAAAUUCCUGUUGGAGCGUAAUCGCGUCCCUCCGCGCAUCAAUUUAAUUUCCUGUUGGUGAGUCUCAGCGUCCACCGCGCACCCUUCUAUCCCCCUUCUUGACAAUUUAAAUUUCUGUUGGUGAGUCUCAGCGUCCACCGCGCACCCUUCUACCUCCCUUUCUUGACAAAUUUAAUUUAAUUUUCUGUUGGUGAGUCUCAGCGUCCACCGCGCACCCUUCUAUCCCCCUUCUUGACAAUUUAAAUUUCUGUUGGUGAGUCUCAGCGUCCACCGCGCACCCAUCUAUCUCCCGUUCUUGACACUUUAAUUUUCUGUUGGUGAGUAUUAGCGUCCACCGCGCACCCUUCUAUCUCCCUUCUUGAUAAUUUAAUUUCCUGUUGGAGCGUAACCGCGUCCCUCCACGCAUCUUUUUUCAAAAAAAAAAAUCAAAAAUAAAAAAAAAUCAAAAAACUCAAAUUUAAUAUCUUGUUGGUGAGGUCUCAGCGUCCGCCGCGCACCCUUCUACCCCCAUUCUAAGCAAUCACAUUUAAUUUUCUGUUGGAGCGUAAUCGCGUCCCUCCGCGCAUCUUUUUCUAGUUAUGAGAAGUUAUUUUUCUUGACUGUUUUGAUUAAUAAUUGUGUUGUCUCAUUCAUUUUGUAUUUCAUGUUUAGAAGUUCUGAUAACUCAGACUUUUUCGACUUUGCAAAGACUACAGUUUGUCAAUGCACUUGUUUCAUUGUGGUUCACUUGCAUUCGAACUACGUUUGACCUGAUUCCCAUGGUGGGAUACGUAGGCAACUCUACAUGGGUUCGGUCACAUUUUCUACAAUGUUAUUGCAUCAUUUUGUCCAAUAAUUUCAGCCAAGUGUUGGCUUGUUUAUUUUAGCUCAGGUGCAGUUAAAAGAGACAGGUAAGCAAUUUAGUGUCUACGUCUUUGUCUUGAGUUUCUUUGAAACUCUAGACAAAGAGGGGCAAGCUGUAGACACCAAAUUUUUGUCAAUUUUUAAUAUUUUCUCAAGAUUUUUCUAUUUAAUGAAUUAUUUAUUUUCUAGCAUUUUAAUGUGCAUUUUUCUCAUUUUUGCGGGUUUGCUUGAAAAAAAGAAAAAAAAGUGAGAAAAGAAAAGAAAAAGAAACCAAACAAAACAAAAAAACAAAAACAACAAACAACAAAAAGAAAACAAAAAAAAAAUCAUCAUAAUCAUUUUCUCUACCAAAAUACAUUUAACCCAUUUCACACUCAAUUGCCAGGGACCUUUCUUUUCAUUGGCAGAAGUCAUCAUUUCGGAAAAUCCUACACACAAGCUCCAUUUUUGGCUACAAGUCCCUCUCGGCUCUCUCUGGAAAAAAGGAGGGGAAAAACAGACAAGGAAAAGAAGGGAGGCUCUCGGCUCUCUCUCUGGGCUCUCAACCGAAAAAAAAGAAAAAAUUUUCCCUCCCUCUCUCGGCUAGCUCUUAACAGACAGGGGACAAGCCACAAAAAAAGGCACUCCAAUCCCUCUGGGCUCACUUGGCAGAGGCAGAAAAAAAAAGGAAACGCACGAGAGAAGUGGAAGGGAAGCUCUCGGAAUUUUGCAGCCUGACCCCUCACUCUCACUCUCUCGGACUUGGGUGGAGGAAAGAAACAGAGAAAAAAAAUCUUCCCCAACUCCUCUCGGUUCCAUCUCAACCUCACACACACCUACAUUGAGGUAAUUUUUAGUUUUGUCUAGCACAUUAAAUCAAUGCUUCAUUGUUUAGUUUUCUUUCGUUUCUGCUUGCUACUUUGCAUUGUUGUUGUGGUAUUGCUGAAAUUUGGGAAAUAGCAUGAACCAGAUAAAGGAAAAGGAAAUGUUUCUUGUGAAUGCAUGUUAAUUGUUUGAAAAAAUGCCAAAAAGAAUUUUAGGGGCUGUUUUGCUUUAUUUUGUCCAUUUUAUGUUGUUUUCUUGUCAAAAUAAAAUCAUAUUUGUAUUGUAGAAGAUGCAAGAGUGUUGUGGCAUAAUUUUUAUGAUUUUUGGUGAAGGGUAUGUUGUUUUGAAAAAUCAAAACUGGACUGAUUUCUUGUCAUUUUGGCCACUUUCGAUUCCUUUUUUGUUAAAACUAAGCCCAAAAUUGGAAUCUACGCGAAAAAUCGAGUUGGGGUGUAUAUUUUGAUAAUUUUUUGUGACCGGAAAAAAAGUUCGCCGGCGACCGACGGCAGUCCGCGGUGGCGGCGGCGGCGGCGGCUAACAUGGCCGCCAGCUGAAGCUUCUUCGGCUGGCCGAAGAAGACAGAAACGUAUGGGGAAGAAAAGAGAAAGAAAAGAAAGAAAAGAAAAGAAAGAAAAGGAAAGUGGGUUGGGCUAAGUUAUUUUUUUUUAGUGGGCUUGUUUCUUUUUUUUUUGGUUGGGCUAGAAGGUAGGAGCCCAUGUUUCCGCCAGCUGAAGCUUCUUCGGCUGGCCGAAGAAGACAGAAACGUAUGGGGAAGAAAAGAGAAAGAAAAGAAAGAAAAGAAAAGAAAGAAAAGGAAAGUGGGUUGGGCUAAGUUAUUUUUUUUUAGUGGGUUUGUUUCUUUUUUUUUUGGUUGGGCUAGAAGGUAGGAGCCCAUGUUUUUUUUGGUUGGGUUUGAGGGAUAAAAAGACGGGCUGGCCUGCUCGUUUCUUUUGAGUUUCGGUUGGGCUUAGGUAGUAUCCGGCCCAAAUAAAUAAAAAUAACGGCCCGAUGGCCUUUCUUCUCCCAAAUCAGAAACCGAAUUUUGCACUUUAGCCCCCUGAUCUCUGGAGUAGUUCACUUCGGCCCAGAAUAUUUUAAAUUCCUUUCACUUAGGUACUUAAUUUAAUUUCACUUUGGUCCUUGAAUUUUAUCUUUCAUUUAAUUUUGACCCUUAAACUUUGGAAAAAUAUAACUUCUGUCCCUAAAAGUUUUCAAUCUUUGCAAUUCAGUCCCUGAUGAAUUUUGACUCUCUUUAUUAUGAUUGUUUCUUUUCUUUAAUAACUAAUUAUGUUAUUUUUGAACAUAUUCAACUUGCAAUUUUUAGAUGUUCUUAAAUUUCUUUGCGUUUGACAUGUUAAUGUGAAUUUAGUAUUUUAACAUUAUUAUUAUUUUCAAUUAAAGUGGUGCCAUGAUUCUUUUGUUCAUUGUGAGUAUAAAUAGGACAAUUUAACUCCAUUUAGUCACCACUUCAAACGGGAGGUACCCCUAUUUUUAUUAUUUCAAUGUCAAUUACGUGCUCUUAUGUGCUCUUAUGUGUUCCUAUGUGUUUAUAUUUUUAUAUGCUUUAUUUAUUUGAAUUAAAUAUUCAUUCAAAUUUUCUUAUAUAUGUUUUAAUUAAUUUUUACAAUGAUUCAAGAGGCAUUUAAAUACCUCAAAAAUGUAAUAGAUAGGAUAAUUAGAUUUGUUUUAUUAUAUUUUUCCCUUCUAGAUUGUAGUUAGGCGCUCUCCGAUGUAAUAGAUAGGUUGCGUGUUUAUGUGGCUUAUGUGUUAUGUGUUUUAUCCGUUUUUCUUAGGAUUUUGGCAUCUAGAUAUUAUGUUUACGUGUUAUGUGCUACGUGCUCUUAUGUGUUUAUUUGUUUUAAUUUAUGUUUUAUUUGUUUCACUAUGAAUUGUUGAUGCAUGACGUCACCACACUAGUCCAACGUUAGUUGUGGUUUCUCCCUCCGCUUACUUGCUAGUCCAACGCUAGUAAGGAUUUUUAGAAAUGGGCUAGUCCAACGCUAGACCCUUUAGGUUAUCUUGCGCUAGAUUCAUCUUUGUGUGCUAUUCACUACAUUUUCAUGUAUAUUUUUAUUUUUAGGAUCUUUUCUCAUUUGCAUGAUAUUCCCUAUUAUAUUAUCCCCUACCCGCUAUAGGUGCUAAUCAUGUCAUUUAGAAUUGCAUCCCAUUUAAGCUAGUUCAUUUGCUUGUUCAUGUUAGGAUAAUUAUUUUUCAAACAUGGGAAAUGGGUGAUUAUAACUUUCUAGUUUAAAUACCCUAUUAAUCCAUGUAUAAGAAAAUUAUGUCACGAAUUUUUUUUUUGCCUCCCGUACCCUUUAUGUUGCAUUCCCUUUUUCUUUGAUCACUUAUAUAUAUGUAUAUAAUUUAAUUUAAUUUCUUUUAUUUUCUUUUCUUUUUCAUCAUUUGCAUCCUUGUGACACCUUCGAGGAUUUAUUUUGACCUUCGCAAUUAAUGCGAUUGGUUCAAUUAAACCCUUGAAUGAACAUGUUGUCCCUUGCGAUAUUUUUUAGAUUUGCAUUCAUAUAGAAAACAUCCAAAUGUGAUAAAUUAAGGGUUAGAUUAGGAAAAUUUUGACUAAACCUCGCAACUAGCUUAGACUAGGUUGAAAGGGUGCCUUAGAUUUGAGUUAAUCGAAUCUUUGCCUUCCCUUUCUUCAACCGUGACUCCCGAAUCCAUUUUCUCUUGUUUUCAAAGACCUGGAGUUGUCAAAAAGGGUUUUAUUUUGUUUUACUUUAUUUUUUGGGUGACUUGGUACACCAAAACUCCAUACCAAGUGGCGACUCCUGUUUUUUCUUAAAAACCCUUUUUAGACUAAAUUUUGGACCCAAAUUGUCGCAUUCUUUUUAAGUCCCAUUCUAGGUCCCUUUUAACUUGUUUAAAAAUAAAAUCAUAUCUUUUAUAAACCUCACACUUUAUUUUUCUUUUCCAUCGCGAAAAAUGGGGCGCGACAGCUUUGUUAAUGCAAUUGGAAUUCUUUGGUUACUUUUGUUAGUAAAGUUGCAAAACAUUCGAAUUGCAUUUCAUAAAAUACUUGGAUGCCAAACUAAUAACUAGUGAAACAACAUGGAUAACUCCCAAAACACUAUUCAAGCUUUGCCAAAUUAAGCAAAUGUACAUGUUAUAUCAAGCAAAUAGAGUUGAGAGCAACUAUAUAUGUAGCAUAAAAGGUAAAACUAUUAAAAAAAAAUGAAAACAAGCUCUACUACUACAAAUGCUCCAUUUGGAUUAGUUGUUUUUUGGUGUUUUUGAAAUAUUUUAUUGUAAUAAUAUAUAUCAAAAACUUUUACUAUAUAUGCUUUUUGAAAUAUUGAUAUAUUGUAUGGAUGAGAUGUUUUUUGAAUUGUUUUUGUUUGUGUAUUAUUAUAGUAUUGUAUUUAAAAAAUUUGUUUUUGAAAAAUAGGCGAAUCCAAACAGAGAGUUUUUAGGUAAAACAAGCUCUUUUCUUUGGAAAGAUGUACAAGGACAAAUAUUUCCAUGAUCUUCUGAAAUCCUAGUAAGUAUAAAAUUCAUGAAUUUUAGUAUGAAAAAAAAUUCUUAUUUGAGGAAGAUUGUAUUAAACCAUGGUCUUUCUUCUUUACAAAAUCCUGGCUUAAAAGAAAGCAAUAGAUUUUGUGGAUUUAGUGCAAUAAUAGGGAUGAGAUUGUUGAAGAGAGAAAGCACUUACUUGGCACCCGGUUUAGCAACAUUCUUGAAGAUCAUCUUGGCACAAUUUCUUGCCUCCCAUUCACUAGCAAUCUCCAUUGUCCCAAAUUCAUCAACACUCCUAGAAAUGGUGGACAGGCCAAAAGACCUAACAUAGUUAACCAACCUCUUCACGUUCCAAGCAGAAGCUCUACUUUGCAUGCUCAAUUUCCUCAGCUUCUCCAUAUCAAUCCUCCUCGUCCCAACCCUUUUGAACUUCAAACUCUUGGAUUUACUCAGCUUCGCCGGCAGCGAUUUCGAUGCAGUCAAGGUCUUAUGAUGUGCUUUUUGAUAAGCUACAUCAUCCAUGGGAGGCCCUGAAAGAGUAUCCAAAACAUAGUGAUGGAAAACACUCUCCUUCAUACGAUCAAAAUAUGUUGCCACGUGAAAUGAUGAGGCCAAAACUUUUACUAGCACAAUUUUGAUGAGCCAAAUUGUUGCCCCGAUUAAUACAGCCACCAAAGCUUGGAAAACUUUUUUGAGCAUUUUGUUGUUUUUCUGGACUUCCAUGUUGAACAUAAAUGUUCAUGCUAGUAAAACCAGGCCUAGCCAUACACAGUUUUGGAAGCUCCUUCGAAGGCCAUAGACGAAAUACAAGACUUUUUCCUUUAACAUGAAAUUUCUUUCGAUGAGAAAAACUAGGAAUUUGAUUAGCCAUCCAGAGACUAAUCUGCCACUGAAAACUACCAUGAUCAUCAAGCACCAUUUCCAUAUCUCAAGACCCCAUUUGAGUUUAUUCUUGAGAGAUGAAAUUGUGAGAGAACAUAUUAAGCAAGUCAAGAUAAUGAUAAACAAUAUCCAUUCAACCAAAACCCUGCAAUGACUCUUGAUCUUCUUCUUUUUGAGCAUCUUGACUUGGCCAUUUCCAUCUUCUUCCCCUUCUUCAAAUUCUUCUUCAUCUUCGGAGCUUUCUUCAUCACUAUCACAAUCAUCAAUAGGAGAAGGAUUUUGUCCACUUGGCUUAUUCAAGGGUUCAUUUUCAGUACCGGAUAAUUGAGAUAAAGAACGAUGAUAGACUGGAUUAAGGUUGAAUUCUACUGAUCUUGCUUUCGGUUUCGAAAAGCUGAGACCACGUAAGGUUUGAACUCUUGUGCGGAUUGGAGAAGGGGGCUUGUUUUCUCCAAUUAUGUUGUCAUUUUGUUCAUUGAUUAACACAACAUGGUCAGAGACAGGUUUUUCCAUCCUUAUGGUUUCUACACUACACACUACACCUCUGUGGUUUGGUUUUGCUUGUUCUUUAACAUCUUUUCAUGGUAAUAUAUAUAGGAAAAGUCUAUAUACGUGAGUGGGAUUGAGACCUCACAACCCUACAUUACAUUUUUUUUAAAACUCAAAUUUGCAUGAAUGUUUACAGGAUCAAAGUUCGAUUUUCAGUUCCAAUUGCUCAAAAUUUUGCGAAUAUAGAUAUUAGAAUUACAUCAUGUUAAACCAGCACACUACGUUGAAUUGUUAAAUCAACAUACUACAUUGAAUUUUAAAUUUGGUAGAGCCAUACAGAAAUUGAACAUUUCAUGAACAGUAAAUUUAACAGUCUUAAAAAAAAAAAAGAUUAAAAAAACUAUCUCAUAUUUUCUAACAUGCGUGCCAACUGAAUCUGAAUACAAACUAAAGAAAAUAAGUGUGUUCUAUAGACACACCUGCAGUUUUUACCAUAUUUUUAGAUUUUUUUUAAGUGACAAUCUUCAUUGCAUAAUCUUCUCAGAGUGGAAUCACCAUUCACCACCAUAAACUUUUGUAAUUGUAUACAUUUAGGAAAAUACAUCAGUCUAAAUCCGAAUAAAUAAAUCUCAGCCUCGCCUAGCUAGUAGUUUUUGUUGAUGCCAAAAUUGGGAUUAAUUGUCAAAUUAGGUAAUACUAGUUGAUAAAAUAUGAGGGUUUAUGUCCAGAGAAAGCUCUCAAAUAACUUCUCAAGUGUGGAAAUUUCCGUGUAAAUAUGGAAUGAAUUCAAAUUUGAAAACUAACCUCCCUUAAAUUUUUGGGAUAAUUUCAGAAACCUCCUUCAGGUUUCUGACAAUUUCAGUCAGCUCCCCUUAGGUUUAUAUAAUUACAUUGACCUCCCUUGUUGCAACAAAAUUACUAGAAUGUCCUUCACUUAAUUAGUUGAUCCAUAAAGAAAGAUACCAUUCCACUACAACCAGCAAAACAUUCCCAAUUGCCGUAUAAUCUAAAGAAUAAAUUUGAAACCAAUAACUGAAAUCAUGAGGGACCGGAUGAUUGAUGAUUGGUUAUUGUUGUGUCUAUUUAUUCAAAAAAAUUUAUUAGAUAUUCGUAAAAAAAUUUAAUAGAUAUCCAUAACUGCAUUUGUUGCCUAAAAAAUGAAAAGCAAAAAUGAAAAAUGCAUCUUUCUGUUUUUGAUUUGCUACUAUGAACAGUGUUUUUUUUAUAAUGGAAAUAGGAUUAGUCUCUAACAGAGAUUAUGGAGUAAUAAUGGGUUAUUCUUUGGAUCACGGUGGGGUUGCUUCUAGUAUCCAUAUAGGUGGUGAUGGGCUAGAUUAGCUAUUGUUAGUAGGUUGAGAAAGUUGCAAGUAAGUUUUUAGGUUUUUUAAAUGGGGGUUAUAUUUGAUCUCGUAAUUUCUAGUGAAAGCCUUUGGGAUGCCAAAUGAUUCUAAGGCUGCAAAUAUUGUUAAAAUCACUUGAAAUGAAGACUGAGUUAUAAAUAAUAGUUUGCUCGAUUGGUUUGGUAUAGUGGCAGGUUUGCGGUGGUUUAAGAAAACGAAAAUUUACAUGAUUAUAUUAACUUUUUCUCUUUGUUGUUAUGUCAAUAAGGGUAUAUUAGGAUUUUUGAAGAAAAAUGUAGUAUAUUGGGUCUAUAUAGUUACCUAAACAGUAAAAGUAAGGGAGGUAGGUGUAAUUUUUAAAACUUAAGGGGAGGUGAUUGCAAUUGUUGUAAAUCUCAGGAGAGGUUUGUGAAAUUAUCCCUAAAUUUUUUGACGAAUCUUAAUGGCCUCGAAAAUAUUUCUAAAUCAAAGCCAAAAGUUUUUUUUUUAAAUUUAAACCCAGCAAGAAGAUUUAUUUUUGACCAAACAGUUGCCUCCCACUCUUGGCCGAGAAGGUCCAUCUCACUUCAUGAAAACAUGGGGAUGUUUAUUAGUAAAAUACAAAAAAGUCCACACGGUUAAGUGAACCUACAAAAAAGUUCUCUAUAGUUUCAAAACAUAUACUCUGGUACCUCAUAGUUUGAAUUAAUUUACAAAUUAAUGGAAAUUGUCUGAGUUAAUAGGUUUGAAAUACACGCUCGUCUUUUGUGAGUAUUUGUACUGGAAACAAAUAAAAUUUCAAUUGAUAUACCUAUUAUACCCUUAAAAAUGUAAUGCAAAUAAACCCCUAUGGUUAAACAAAUCUACAGAAAAAGCCUCUAUGAUUUUUUCUUUAACAAACGCCUCUAUAGUUUCAAAUCAUAUAAUUCAGUAUCUCAUGAUUUGAACUAAUAUGAAAAAUUAUAAAAAUCAUUUAAAUUAACAAGUUUGAGGGUGCUUGACCUGAAAAAUAAUUUUUAAAUCAAAUUUUUAGCUGAUAUACUUAUUAAACCCUUUAGAGUUCAUAAAAUUCUCAAAAACAAUCCAAAACUCCUAAAUACAACUCAUCUUAUUUCUAUACAUAAAAUAAAUAAAUAAAAACUCCCAACUACAACUCACCUUAUUUCUAUACACUAAAUAAAAAAAUUUUCAAAUACAAUUCACCUUAUUUCUAUAUACAAAAUAAAUAAAUAAAAGAUCCUAAAUAAAUUCACCUUAUUUCUAUACACAAAAUAAACAAAUAAAAAUAAAAUACCACCCCCUCCACCACCAGCCCCAACUCUUGCCACCGUUACUCUCCACCUUCCACCACCAUCCUUCCCUUCAUCGCCACCCCUCCCUCUCUUUCUUCCUUUUCCCUCCCUUACAUCCCGCUGUCUCUCCACCUUCAAGGCCACUCUCCUACACUUUCUCUCAUUCCAGUGAUCAUGGCCAGUCAUGGGAGAUAGGGCAAGGGUAUGGGGAAGGUGUCACGACCAAAUUGCCUAUUCCCCGCAUCCUCUUUCCUCCCUUCUAUGAUAAAUUAGGUCAUGGGAAGGAGGUGAGAAAGUGCAAAAUAGGGUUGCAAUGGGAGGGAAGGGGGUGCAAGGGAGGAAAAGGAGUGAAGAGAGAGGGGGAAAAAGGAAAGGGAUGGGGGUUGUGAUGGUGACAAAGGUGGCGCUAGAAAGGGGUGAAUGAUGGUGGUAGCAAUAGAUAAUCAUACGGAGAUUUUCCAUAAGUUUGCAUAACCAUAGGAAAUUUUUUCAUAGAUUUGCUUAGUCAGGAUGAUUGUUAGGUGGUCUAUUUUUGCUCUUAUAUAUAAGGGUAAUUGUAUCAUUUCACCUGUCUCUGUUAGUUUUGAUGAUUUGCAUUGUUGUUUCAAAGAUUUUCAUUGUUGUUUCAAAUCAGUGUUCAAAUCACAAGGAGUCGAAAUGUAUGGUUUGAAACUAUAAGGGACUUUUCCGUAAGUUAGCUUAACCAUAGGGAGUUUUUCUAUAUUUUACCCUUUUUUUUUUUAAGAAAUAGUUGCAAGUAUGAAGGGAAAUAAAUUUGCAAUCUUUUAUGUACGAGUUCCGACUCCUUGUAAACUCCGGUUCUGCUUGUGAGCUUUGGCUAUGAUAAGAGCUUUUAUUUUUUUUCCAAAAACUACUAGAAAUUGUUCCCCAACUACUUUAUAGCCUUGCUCUCGAUUGCUUUAAGUUUUACAAAAUCUAAUUAUAGAAACCGAUUAUGGAGAAUAAUAAGAAUCAACAAAAGCUACCCUUUGAAUAAUUAUAGUCAACAAAAGCUACCCUUUGAAUAAUUAUAGAUUUUAGCAUUUUUUAUUAUUAAAAAACCAAUAACCAAAAUACAAAAGUAAUCAUGAACAUCACAAAAACUAAUUAUCUGAAAUCAGAAUCUAUAAUCAGUUAAAAUGAUCAAUCAAAAACAAGCCUAUAUUCCCAAUCCUCACAAGUUAAGAUUAAGAGUGUGAUAAUGGGUGUUUCUGGAUAGUAGAUUACUUGAGAUAAUUUUUUUUAAAAAAAAUAUUAUUUGAAUAGUUGGAUCCAAAAUUAUCAACCUAUUGGAUCUAAAUGCUAAGAUUUUGAUCCCAAAAUAAAUGUAGGUCUAAAUUGAUCAUAUUGGGUAAUACCAUUAAAUUAAUAUUGCAAUAAUCAAUCUUAUUAUCCUAGUAACAUAAAAUUUAUUUUACAAAUCUCACCUAGAUUUAUGUCACAUGAUCUUUAUAAAAUUUUAAAAAUUCUUCAUCGAAAUUCAAAAGUUGUUUAAGUUAUUCUCUACACUUGAUACGGCUAUAGAUCAAGCAAUGUAGAAGUUUUUGUACCCCCAUUGCAUAUGAAAAUGAUUCUUCAAUAAGCACAAGAUUCCAGAAUCCAACAUGAGAAAAAUUAAUUAAAAAAUCAACAACUAAUAGUUUUAGACAAUUACAAAAAGAGAGAACAAGAAGCCAAAAAAAAAAUAAUCAACUUAUGGUUAGAUAAGGUGGCUUACUAGAAAACAGAAACACAAAUAUCACAAGCCAAAACCUAUGUAUAAAAAGAAAAAAUUAUUACCAUAUAAAAAUCCAAGGAAUAAAAAAUCUAUUGGUGAUGCCAUAUCUUAGAUUUUAUUUUCACAACAAUUCUUUUACAAAAUACCAAAGUUGCCAUUUCCAAGUUCAAAUGUGUUUUGUAUUUAAAAUGGAUACUUUUUGUCAUUUUAAGAAGAGUUAAUAAAGAAAUAAAAUAUGUGAUGUGACAAUAUUGUUUGCCGAAUAUAAAAAAAAAAGCGAGGUCGCUCCAAUGGUUAAAAAAGAACUGUUAGGUCUUCUCCGUUAGUGGAUUCACGAUUCGAAUUCCGUGCUUGACAGUUGAGAUUGAGAAGAAUAUAAGAAAAAGUGAAAUGACUAAAAAAGAAAAAAUGAAAGCCUACAAUGACAACGUGAAGUAUUAAAGCCCAUGCCAUAGCCCUAAAUUUAGACCCAAACAAAGCCCAUUGGUCAAACCUCCACACCCCCAAACAACAUAGCGAGUGAGACUAGGAUUUGCAACCGUGUGGAACAAGGAUUAGGAUUUGCCCAUUGUUGCUAUGUAAACAUACUAGCAUGGUUCUAGCCGCGCUAUGCAGCGGCCUACCCACUGGUAUGAACAGCUUAAUCCGUGACAAUGAGGAUAAUUUCCUAAAACAUCAUCAUGUAUAUAUAAGCUCAAGAGGUAAAUACUAUGCAAAUCACAAUAAUACAUUACAUAAACUCAAUCAUUCAUGUCUUAGUAGAAUAGAUACUUGGAUGCCAGCCACAGUUACAUAUUAGGAGGCUUAAAUAAGCUUCAUUGCCCAAUGAAGUACAGCAUUGAUGGUUAAACUAUUACUAAGUAUAUUACGAUCCAUUACUUUUUAAGUCAAAAGAAUAAUGGAUCAUAAUAUAAUUCAAAAGAUAUUGUCUAAGCAAUGGAGGAAAGGCAAUGAACAAAAGAUUUAACAAAAGUACAGAAAUAGGCCAUAUUAGUCUUCCUUUGCUUUAGCUUUCUUGGUUGGACUAUCUUUGAUAUUUGCAGGUGGACCAUACAGUUUUGCAGGUUCUUUGGCAAACUCUUCAGGAGCCUUUGUUGGAUGUUUAGCAUGUGUGUCUGCUGGUAAAUCUUCUGGAAACUCAAGGCUUCAUUUUGCUCCACUGGUUGCAGAUGUCUGGCUGUCUUUGUAAGAACUGGCUCCAGCAAUUUCUUCAAGUACCAACUUUGUGCUUGGUGUGAACAAUUGAAGCUUAUUUAAGUCAGCAUAUUUAAGUUUGUCUUUUUGUUUCUUUCCAACAUUCUUAGAUCAGGGGAAUCAUCAAACAUUUCAUCUAUCAAUCUAAAACCUGUACUAAAUUUUCUCUUUUUUUUUUCAUUUUGAAACACAAAAAAUCAAAAUCUAAUUUUACUAUAAACAAAGCAAAAUGCUAAUCCAAAGGCACACAAAAUGACAGAAUCAAAGCAUCCUAGAAUAGCUAAAACUAAGUAAUAUAUAUAAAAUGACAACCUUAAUAAGCCAAAGGACAAUGAUACUAAAUGAUGUAAUUAUUGAAUAGAUAAGCAGCUAACAGCAUCAUGCAACAUUUGAAAUAAAAAACAGAGGGAAAAGUAAACUAUCAUAGCAUAACAUCAAACACAUUGCAUUCCUUAAUUAAGAGAAAGCAAUAAACAGAGGCAACAACAGUGAAAAAAAAACUUGCAGUUCAAAAUAGAAGGUGAUAAAAUAGAAACAUACCUAUAUUUUCUUUGCUCGCCUGAAUGUUGGCAAAAGUCCGGCAGCAUUUGAAAAUAAUAUAAAAACAGAGAAAAAAAGUAAACGUAAGCUAAUCGAAAAAAUAGCAUCAUAAUUAUUCUUUUAUUUAUAAUAUCAAACACAUGGCAGUCUUUAAUUAACGGAAGGUAAGAACAUGGCAAUAAAUAUAAAUAAUAAAUAAACAGAAGGUAAGAACAUUCAUCAAACUAAAAAAUUGCAACUUAAUAUGCUGACUGAAAAAUUGACAGAAACUAAAAUUAGUUGCUCAAACUAAAAUUUGCAGCUCAGUCAUCAAACUAAAACUAAAAAAUUGCAGCUCGAAAUAGAAGGAAAGAGAAUAGGAAUUACCUAGAUUUUCUUCGCUCGUCUGCUGAAUACCGGCAAAACUGGGAAACAGAGGUAUAUAUAGAGUUGGAAAUAGUAAGUUCUGAAAGCUAUAGCAUAGAUGAUAAGGCGGUAGAACAGCCAUCCCUAAAAUGAGCUGAUUUUGGGGAAAAAGAGAUUUGAGUGAGCUGUUUUUUGGGGAAAAAGAAGAAUUCACGCGAAUGUGGAUGAUUUUUUGAGAGGUAAUCGAAAGGAAGUACAAUUAGUUGGUGGAAGUACAAUUAGUUGCUCGAGGAAUUGACAGAAAAUUGAAGAUUUUGCAGGCUUCUAGAUUUUGGGGGAAAAAAUUUUACUGACCUAAUUUUUGGGGCAGGACAAAAAUUCACGUGCGUGUGGAGGAUUUUGUGGGUUGCAAUCAAAAGGAAGGACAAUUGGUUGUUGAAGGAAUUGGUAGAAAACUGAAAAUUUUGCAGGCUGAUUCGACGGGAAGAAAGCGGCUAUUUGAGAGAAAGAAAGAGGCUACUCGCGGGAAAAAAGGGAAAGGGAAAAAGGGGGAAGGAAAUUCUGGUAAAUGAAGAAGAAGGAAGCUCGAUGACUAAUAAGACCAUUAAGCUACUGUUGACUAACUUACAUCAUGAGUCAUCAGUCAUACUAAUCAUGCUAACAGGCAGGAACAUUACUUCUAACGGGUAUGACUGCAUUAAUUUGUAUAAUUAUAUAAUUAAUAAUAUAAUGUAAUUCAAAACAGCCCAUGUGAUAAAAAAAUCCACAAAUAGUCUACAAUUAUUGCAUUUGACCAGAAAAUUAUCAAAGAGAUAUUUUCAAAUAUACAAAAAUAACACUAAAUAGUUAGCAACUAUUUAAUGAGCUAGUUUUCAUAAAAAGAUUCAAUUGACCUUUCAAACCAAUUAAAAACCAAUCAAAAGGAACAAAUAAAAAUAAUUAUAUAAUGUAAUUCAAAACAACCCAUAAUGUAAUUCAAAAGAACCCAUGUGAUAAAAAAACCCACAAAUAGUCUACAAUUAUUUGCAUUUGACCAGAAAAUUAUAAAAGAGAUAUUUUCAAAUAUACAAAAAUAACACUAAAUAGUUAGCAACUAUUUAAUGAGCUAGUUUUGAUAAAAAGAUUUAAUUGACCUUUCAAAUCAAUUAAAAACCAAUCAGAAGGAACAAAUGAAAAUAAUUAUAUAAUGUAUUAUAUAAUGUAAUUCAAAACAACCCAUGUGAUAAAAAGGUCCACAAAUAGUCUACAAUUAUUUGCAUCUGACCAGAAAAUUAUAAAAGAUAUAUUUUCAAAUAUACAAAAAUAACCCUAAAUAGUUAGCAACUAUUUAAUGAGGUAGUUUUCAUAAAAGGAUUCAAUUGACCUUUCAAACCAAUUAAAAACAAAACAAAAGGAACAAAUAAAAAUAAUUAAACCAUUGUUACCAAUUAGCCCCUAAAUAGUAAGGAACUAUUAAGACCUUUAAUUUCAAGACCAAGGCUCAAAUAGGCAUUUCUCACUCUUUGAAUCCCAAAAAUCAGAAAACAAACUCCUUCCUAACUCCUUCCUCUAACAAUAUAUUGACACUUGGCAUUAAAGGGAGAACUUGAGUUGUUCUCUUAUCUAGUAGGUAGAUAGGGGCGGAUACCCCCUGUAUCAGAAAAAAAAAAAAACAUAUAGGGGCGGAUAAAUCUUCGAACUUUUUCAUUCUUGAGCCUCUGUUUCCUAACUUCUUGUUUUUUUUAUUCUUCUUGAAAGAAUUUGGUACUGUAUGGAUUUUAUAUGGUUAUGAUGAUUAAGAAAUAAAUAAACAUUUCGGCAAAUACUUUUCAAAUUUUCUAAAUGUUGGACAUGAUGGUUGCGAAAUGAAUUGGCAUUUAGAUUUGUUAGCAAAUGUGAAGGAUAUGAUGGUUAAAAAUAAAUUAACAUUUCGGCAAAUAAUAUUUGAAUUUUCUAAAUGUUGGACAUAAUGGUUGCGAAAUGAAUUGUCAUUUAGAUAUAUUACAAUUUAAUAUGACAUGUUUUUUGUAUUGUGUUACAAAAAAAUUUCUUUUGUAAUGCAUGUUUGCACUAGGUAGACGGUAGCUAAUUUUUUUUUAAAUUUUUAAGCAAAAUGCGAGUAAAAUUUAUGAAGUGAAAAGGUGGAAGGGAUGACUACAAAUUAUUUAAAUAUUUCAUAGAUUAAGUUAUUAUUUAUAAAUUUCUAUAUUUUAUGUAUUUUCAUAUCUAUUUAUUUUUUAUAACAUUCUUUGUAACCGUGCAUAGCACGGAUUUCUAGACUAGCUAAAACAAAAGAGAGAAGAAGAAGAAGAAAAAAUACUCAACUUAUGAUUUAAUGAAGGUGGCUCUACUAGACAACAAAAAACACAAAUAUCACAAGCCAAAACCUAUAUAUAUAUAUAUAUAUAUAUAUAUAUAUAAAACUACUACCAGACAAAAACCCAAGGAAUAAAAAAUCUGUUGAUAAUGCCAUAUCUUAGAUUUUAUUUUCACAACAAUUCUUUUACAAAAUACCAAACCUACCCUUCCCAAGUCCAAGUGUAUUUUGUGUUUAGAAGGGGUACUUUUUUAUCAUUUUAAGAAAAGUUAACAAAGAAAUAAAAUAUGCGAUGCGGCAAUAUUGUUUGCCGAAUGUAAAAAUGUGGGAUCGGUGCAGUGCUUAAAAGAGAGUUCUUAGUAUCUUUUUCACUAUUAGAUUCACGAUUCGAAUCCAUUAUGUACUUGAAAGUUAGAGAUGAGAAGGUUGAAAGUUAGAAAUGAGAAGGGCAUGAGAAAAAGCGGGAGAAUUAAAAUAAAAAAAUGAAAACCUAAAAUGACAACAGGAAGUCUUAAAGCCCAAGCCAUAGGCCUAAAUUCAGACCCAAAGAAAGCCCAUUGGUCAAAUGACCACGCCCCUAGAAGACAUAUUGAGUGAGACUAGGAUUUACAACCGUGUCGAACAAGGAUUGUGAUUUGCCCGUUGUUGUUACGUAAACAUAUAGGGGUGGAUAAAUCUUCGAACUUUUUCAUUCUUGUGUCUCAGUUUCCUAACUUCUUUUCGCAACAAAACAGGAUGUGGAUCAGAGAAAAAACUCUCGGCAGUGGUAGCUUUGGCUUUGUGUCGAUAGCCAAGACUAUCCCAAGCAGCUUCCCGGACGAUGAAGAAGAUCAAUUGUUCUUUGAUCUUCCGCCCAUUAUCGCAGUCAAGUCAGCAGAGUUUUCCUGUUCUGAGUCUCUUCAGAGGGAGAGAUUAUUGCUUCAUGAAUUUCAGAACUGCCCACAAAUCAUCCAUUGUUAUGGUGCCGACGUAAGCGAAGAAGACGGUCAUUUACUGUAUAACAUGUUGCUUGAGUUUGCCUCUGGUGGAAGCUUGGCGGAUUACGUUCAUGGUUCUCAAUAUGGUUUGCUUGAGGAGGAAGUUAAACAGUUUACACGAUCGGUGCUUCUGGGAUUGAGUUACAUUCACGCAGAGGGUUAUGCGCAUUGUGAUAUAAAGCCGGCCAAUAUCCUACUGGUUGAUGACGAAGAGGGAAACAGAACGGCAAAGAUUUCUGAUUUUGGGCUCGCAACAAAGGUUUCGAAAAGGCGGACAGGGAGGAAAAGAAAGAAGGGUAACAGGGGAACGUUGUUUUAUAUGGCUCCUGAGUCAGUUAUGUUUGGUGAAUAUGAUUCUAAGGUGGAUAUUUGGGCACUUGGUUGUACUGUUAUAGAGAUGUUCACCAAGAAACCCGCCUGGGACUUUGAUUUUGGUCAAUGUACUGAUCUUGAUGAUUUCGACGAGUUUUUUGACCGGAUUAAGAAUGAAGAGGUGGAAAUUCCACGUGGGUUGUCGAAGGAUGCUCAGGAUUUCCUGGCAAAGUGUUUGAUCAAGAAUCCUGGAUUAAGGUGGACUGCAGAUAUGCUUUCGAGUCAUCCGUUUGUUUCAGGUUUGGACAAAGCUCCUGUUGAUCAGGAAAUCUCAGAGGAAUCAGCGUUUAGUCCAAUGUCAGACGAACCAAGGAUCGGAAGCUCUGAGGAUGAUGAAUCAAGUAAGGACAUGGAUUCGAUCAAGCCAAUGUUGCUGCUGAAGAAUCUUGCUAGACUGGAUAAAGUUGCAGCAGAGAACUCUGUUUCUGACAGGAGCUUGGGCCUGAAGCCAACACUGAAUGAAUCCGUAUCAGAGAAAUCCUAUGAAUUCCGACUCUUCAAGAGGAGAAAAGGAUUGGAUCCUGAAGUUCUUUAUGAAGGAAUCCAGUGCAAUGCCAAUUUUGGAUUUUUACAAGCCUGUUGAUUUGCUUGGGCAUGAACAGAGAAGUCACAAGACUGCAUCUCUUUUGGGGUUUCUUAAUCUUUUCAAUGAGGGAACUUACUUUUUUUUUUUUUUCUAAUUCAGAUACUGAUUAGUGAUUAGAGCGUACAUUCUUCAAAAAACACGUAGGUUUUAUACUUUGUUAUUCAGGCUAAGCUUAUAAGGUGGUUGUUUUUUUGACCUUUUUGAGCCUCAAAAUUUGAGGAUAUUCAAUUACAUACUUGAGCAUGUGAAUGACUCUUAUUCUGCAAUUGUAACUGGCAGUCGUUUCUGAAAUCGAUUCAGGAUUUCAAGCUGUGCUGCAAUUUGUCUUUUCUUCCUUCUACUGAAAAUAUUCAAUAUGCCAUGUUGGUUUUACUCCAGAUUUUUGGCUUUAUAGUGGUUAAAUUGUACUGGAACACUAUUGUCAGAAUACUGAAGACCUUUUUUUUUUUUUUUUUUUAAUUUCUAGCUGGGAACUUCAGCAUUGUUCAUUAAGCAAUUUCUGAUUCUUUGGGAUAUCCAUUUGUUUCAUAGUGGAUGAUGUCUAUCCUUUUUAGUCAUAUCCAGAUGAUGCCUCUGUUAUUUGGGGUAUAUCACAAGUCUUCUAUUUGUCCAUCUGUUUCAAUUUUUUUUUUUGUCGAAACGAUAGCUUUGUAUUUCAUUUCUAAAACUUUACAGUAAAUGGACAAAGGUCCAAUCAAAAGGACAACAGUCGUACAUAUGACAAUGAUGCAUUAGCAUCUAAAAGUGGGAUUAACCCACUCUUCAUCUACCCAAAUGUUAAGAGCAUGCAUGCUCAGUUUAAUGCUAUCUACCUUCCCCGAAACUGCAAAAGAGAAAGAGCACUGAUGAAACAGAUUACAAAUGGACUUGAUAUCCUCAAUAAGAGUAGCUACUCGCCAGUUGCUGUACCUUGAUUCCAUAAUAUCUUCCACUAGUCUUUGAUUGUCCAGCUCUACUGUGAUUCUCCUCCAUCCUUGGUUGGCCGCUUUUAGUAAAGCCAGUCUCACUGCUUCUGCUUGAUCUUGCACUUGUCCAUCUGUUUCACGAUUAGAUGACUUCUGUAUUUUAGGGUAUAAGAUUUCUGUUAUUGGUUCUAAAUCUCCAAACAGAUAGGCCCAUCUUAAUGCAUUUUAUGAUUUGUUCUUGUAACUUUUUUGGUUGCUGCAACUUCUUUUUUCUUACAAGAAUAUCACUGUUUUCUUCUUUUGUGGAAGUUGUAGCAGCCAUGAGAUGAAAGACUAGUGAAGUUAGAUCUUUCCUAACAAAAUUGCAUUCUCAUUCUAAGUUUUUGGAGCACUUUUAUUGACCUAAAAGCCUCUUAAGAAAUGAAUGUAAAAUGCAAAAUGUGAUUGAAAGUUGGAAACUUGAAUAUGAGAGCAAAUUUCAUUACUAAAUGAGCCAAUGAGCUGAGAUGAUAUGCAUACAACACAUUACAUUACCACAUCUGGCCUUGGCAUGGGAAAAAAAAGAGUAAAAAGGAGAAAAAUUAGAAAUACAAGAAAACCUAAACAUUGAACCUAAUAAAGAAUAUAGUAUGGUUUACAAUACACUAAGAAAAAAAAUCAGGAAAAAAUUAUUGGGAUAUAGCCAAUUCUCCAAUUGAAAAUUGUGUUCAUAUUUUCUCAAACAAAUAUCUUCUGUGGUUUGUAUGGGACAUUGUCUCCUAUGGUUGGUGUAUAUAUAUCUGAUCUCCUUUGAGACUCUUCACCAGAACUAUAGUAUCUUUUGUUCUUUGCAUGUUUCAUCAUCUUUGUCAUGAAGUCUGCUUAGUGGAAGAAUACCAGAGCUUCUUCUGGCAAAUCAAUAUCUUCUCCUUGUCAACACCAUACUCUGUAUCUUCUUUACGGCAUCCCCAUUUCAUGCCCUUAGCUAUGGCUGCAACAGCAUCAACAUAAAAGCUGGACUCACGGACGAUUGCAUACCCGUUAGGCCGCAAUAUGCGAUCCAUCUCCAGCAAGAUGUACUUCAUUUCACAUCUGCACAUAUAAAGAAGUGAUAAUGAGGAACAACAGAAUCAGCAACUGAGUCUUAGAUUAUAUGCACCAUUUCUACCAUUUUCGUUUAGUAUCGCAAAAGUUCAGCAACCCACAAGUUUGUAGCUGGUAUUAUAAGGACCAAGGACCGGUAUUAUAAUCACGUCACAUAUAUCAGCCAAAUGCAGGCCAAACACAAAUCUAACAACAUAAAAUUCUCCUGUAUAAUCUAAGACUUCAUGGAUUGCUAUGACUUGUAUAUUGGCACAAGAAUGCACACACAUGCACAGACACAAAGAGAGCAAGGAGGUAGCAAAAUGAACUCCAAAUGCUUCUGCAGCUACAUACAGUGGUAUACUUACCCCCAAGCAAUGCCUGUGUUUCAAAAGCAACGGCCGAAACUUAAACAUAAAAAAGCAUUACUUGAACAUCAAAGAAAAUCCUAACAAAUACUCUUCAGAACCAGCAAAGAAGAAACAGGCCCAAGCUGUUUCUUCCAACUUAUUUCAGGUCCAGAUGGCUAAGAACUACAAUUAUAUUGCCGCAUAAUUGACCCACAUCAACAGCAAUGAAGAUAUGUGCAGACAACUAGCAGAAGGAAUCAUAAAGAUGCCCAUACCUGUGGCUUUCAGCAGUGAAGAGGCCAUCUACAUGAAGUAUAUCGUAAGUUCUUGGAUAUGUUGAAAAAGCCUCGCACCUUCAAAUUCACAGAAAAGUAAAUAAGAGAAACAACAACCCAGAACAAAAUUUAUGCUGCAAUACUUGCAAACCAGGAUAAUACACAUUUUGCUUCACACAUUACCAGUCAUGGUAGGUUCCAAUAAGGCCCCGGUCAAACACCACAGCAAGUGUAUUGCUUGCAUAUGAGGAAACCACAUUCAUCACCCACAAGGGAUCAUCAAUCAAAGCCGCCGCAAAACCUCCAUACAAUGUGUUCAUAUCCAUCACAUUUCUUAUCUUAUCCGUCCCGAUUGCAGGCAACAACUUCUUAUAGUGCUUAGCUCGUGCCUUCCAUUUACUAUCAUCAUGAUUGAAAGCACCAUCACUGCCACCACGAACAUCUGUAACACGUUCAGGAGCAACAUGCAGUCUUUGGGGCCAUUUGGGAAUUGAUUUCAACCCCAAUUUCUUGUACUUAUUAUCAGGAACAACAGCACAAGGCCGAAGUGGAGUGUACCAAGCUGAAUCUGGCUCAGUACCAUCAUCACACUUUGUUGGGUAGUUAUCUGGAGAAUCAAGCUUCUUGUAGCAGUUAUUAUCUGAAGAUUUCUGCCACACAGCAAUAUCAUCCUUCUUCUUGUAAAAUGUGAAGCACAUGGAAGUAAGCAAUUCUUGCAAUUUUUCAUAGUCUGAUUUCUGCUCUUCAAUAGUAGUAUUCCAUCCUCUCCAGCGGUUUUCAUAGUUCACAGGUGGGCCAGAGAGAACCCAAAAACCCCCAGGACGAAGUAUACGAUGUAUUUCAAGAAGGUAAAUUCCACCUGAAAUAAAAAGGAGAUACCCAUCAUCCAAUAAUGCCUUGGAAAUCAUUGCAGCAUUCCCUAUACCUACAGCUAUAAAUACAAUGCUGAAGAAUUGCAGUGAUCAAUUUUUAUUGCUGAAAAAAAAAAUGAGAUUCCCAUCAUCCAAUAAUGCCUUGGAAAUCAAUGCAGCAUUCCCUAUAUCCACAGCUAUAAACACAAUGCUGAAGAAUUGCAGUGAUCAAUUUUUAUUGCUGGUCAAAUUAACAGACAUUAUUCUGUCAAACUUUGACUCUCAAAUGAUAGCUAGAUAAUUCGGGGGAUUCUAUAUCCGAACAUUUGCUUAAUACUACUCACCGAAUUCAGUCCAUGGGAUAAGGCAUCUUGAGCAAUGAGCCAUGUCAAAUGAAUUUGAUGGAAAAGGAAGUCUCUGUGUUGAAAUGAUUCCCAAAAUCGCAGGAAUCCCACGUUCAAGAGCAAACUGAACUUGAGCCUCAUGAUUAUCUCUUGGUGCAAGGGAGACUGUCAAAAUAUUGUGGUCUAGUAAAUCACCUCCCCAGCUUGCAACCUAGAGAUAGCAAUGAAAUUUAAAAGAAUAAGAAAUCAAGUCUUAACCAUUUACUCGAAAAUAUUGCACGAAAGCAACAUGCCUAACACCUUUACAAUCAUUAGUUUUCUUAUGUUAAACUAUUGUUUAUUCUAGUAGAUCACAACACUCCUCACCUCAUCCCUACCAAAGCCCAAAAGGAUAAUAAAACUAGAACAGCUUCAAAACCCGUUUGUACAAUUUUCUUCAUCAGGAUAAAAAAACAGACUGUUGUACUGAAUCAGAAUGUAGAAGUCUUUACUUAUGAUCCCUAAAGGAAAAGUUAAAAGCACAGUUUACCAUAGGGGCUCCGAUCUCUGGACAACUUGAAGCAUAAAAGUUACCGUUGAAGCAAGAAGGACUGUAUCCAAUUAUUAGAAUUAAAUUACAUCAACAACUUAAGAGAACAUCAAAAUUCCUUUCGAUAGACCAUUGAUGAAAAUAAUAGCUUUCCAGAUAUUUUAUAAUCCAACGGAAAAAGGGGACAAUGAAAAAGGAAAAACAAUAUUGGUAGUGUUGGUAGUGUUGAUACAGAAACCAAACACAUAAUAAGUAACACAGACUCACCCCACACCCAGUAUCAAUGGCAGUGCGGAUAGUCCCAUCCUUCAUUCCGGGAAUGAGUUUCUGCAUCCGAUCAACAUACUCUCCAACUCCGUUGGGGAACAUGGUACCUCCACCAGGAAAGAGGAACUUGUCCCCUUCUUUCUUCAGCCAAUGUUGAUUGGACUUUUGUUUGUUAAUCCAGUCAUAUGGAACAUUUCUAAAUAGCAACCCCAUUUAGGAAUGUCAGAACAAGACAAAACGUUCAAAAUUUGAACUGCCAAGCAAAUAGAUGCAAAGAUGAAAUUAUAUCAUGCACUAUUACCUGUACCAACACUGAUCUCGGCUCUUAGGCCAUCUGAUGGGCAACUUAUAGCCAUCUGGCGGGGGAACCAAGCAUUCUUUCCUUUCAAAUGCUGGAGGGCAAUGCCUUUCUAGAAAAGUCAGCCGAUGCAAACCAUACUUCUUCCAUCUCUGUUACACUAAUCGUUAUUAGUGUCACUCAAUCAAUGGAGCACAGGCAAGUAAAUUUCAAUUACCAGCUCCUAAAAUGCUCAAUAACAUGAGAUAGUAGUUAAAAAUUUACCCUUGGAUCAGUGCAUGGAGUGUAGUCCUGAUAAUCGAGGCCACAUUCAGGAAAGGAAACAUCAUUUAUUUGGAGAGGGCCUGCAGCAAUUGACUUGGUUGAUUCAAUUGCAUCUUCAACAGUUUCAUAUCUGUCCUUCUCAGAACAAAAGAUUCCUCCAAGAUAAAAUGAAAAGCCACAUAGCACGAUAAACAUUAUUGCCAUGGGAACUGUCCUUGAACUUUUAUCUGGAUGAGAUGACGGUUUUCCAUCUUUCUCCCUGUGCUUCAUGAUCCCAAAAAUUGAUCAACUAACUGCAAGUGGAAGAACAAGGGUUAAAAUCAAAACCAGAAUAUAACUACACAGCCUGCUCUAUCGUUGCCAAGAACUCCAAAUCAACUUCUUCACUUUUCUCUUUGAUUAGCAAUUAGGAGGGGUGGUGGAAGGGGUGAAGAAGCUAACUGGAAGCUACUACUAGCACUAGAAACUACCGAAGGAAUUCCAGAAUUUGAUCCAAAGGAAUCUUAUAGAUCACAAAAAUUUUCGGGCAAAAGAAUAAGAAUUCAUUGAAAGAAAACAAUUUGGUAGCUUCAGAUAAUCUAUAUGAAUAGCAGAGCUGAUAUCUCUUUACCAAUCCAAGCAAUUACUUAAGCAUGGAAUCUUCUAAAUUAGAACCAAGAAACUGAUGCAAACAGAACCUAAACUUUACCAACAGCUUCAGUUCAUGAAUGCAAUUGACUGUCUCAAAAAAGAAAAAUAGGGACUGCAGAGUUCAAUGCAUGCAGAUCUAGUCAAAAACUAGGAGAUCUGAUUGCAUCUACUAUGGAAGAAUAGAACUUUGAUGUUACUUUAAAGACUUAAAAUUCCACAUGAUAUGGGCCCAAAUGCCUGGCCUUUUAUAAAAUUCCGCCGUCCUAAAACUAACUGAGGGCCCUCUUGGCCAAUAAGUCAGCAAAAGAUAAUGGGGAAGAAAAGGGGAUGCUGAAUCAAUCAGUCUCACACAAACAACUCAACUAAACCAUGCAAAACCCUCCGAAAGGAAGAAAAAGAAAACUACUCCUAUCAUAUUCAUUAACUGGUAGGAAAAUCAAAUAAAACAACAUAUAAAUAUUUACUGGUUGAUAAAAUCAUCACUUUAAAUUAACGAAAAGUUGCUACUUUCUAAUGAUCACUAUAACCUGAAUCACAAGAAUUCAAUCAAGACACAGGCAAAGCAAAUCUUCCGACACACACCUUCCCAACUCCCAAGAAUGCAUAAAUUUUAGAUCAAAAUCAUGUCUUUGCAGUUCAUUUCCUAUAAAUUGCAUAAAACUUUUCUACAUGCAUUGACAUGUUAAUUUUUAAAUGAAAAUCAAAGAAAGCUGCGAGUGUUUCUUGAAACCCAAUUUUUUAAAAAACAAAUCUUGAGCUAUGCAUUCAUCUAUAGUAACAGAAAACAAAGAACCAAGAAUGAAAAGAGUCCAAAACUCGAUCUAUUUCAGGUAAUUGAGGAGAUCCCUUUUCGGAAAAUAGGCAAAAAUUAUCAAUCGAAACCAAACAAACAACAAACAGGGCCAUAAACAGAAGACUAGGUAAUGUGAAGGAGAAAGAACAAUGCAAAUGAUCUGCCAGAGAUCUGACAAAUGAUAAAGCACUAAACAGCGAGUAUAAAACAGAGCAUGAAAGAGAAAAGGACCAUACAAUGCAGGUUCAGAGAUAAUCAACAAAGAUGAGAAAGUACCUCUGUAUUAUGUAUACAAGUAUCUCUAUAAAAAAUUUCUCUAUAUCCAAUUUUCCCUCUGCCGACUCUUGCAGAAUUCUACUUAACACUCGUAGGCUAAGAAAGAUCUAUAUUCAGAGAGGAAGAAGAGGAGAAUAAAGGCAAAGGGUCUUAUUCUUUCUUAUAUGAAAAGUGAGAAAUGGGAGAGAGGCAAAAGAGUGAGAGAUAUAUAUUUCUGUCCUCGGUCUCAGCCUCAGAAGAAGGACAAGAGAUCAAGAAACAUAUCAAAUUCAAGAUAGAGAUAGCGAGAGAGGAAGAGAUGUGAAGCAGAGACGGGGUGAAGGGGUGGAGGCCUUAUAAUAGGGAAGGAAAAUCAGAAAAAAACAAUUUUAAUGUGAAUCUGUUUCUAAAUCAAUCCAUUUCUAGCUAUCCAUUUGGUUUUUUCACGUGCAUGUAUGUCAAAUCUUUUUCUCUUCAAAUUUUAAAGAAAAAGAAAAAACACACCAUAUAUUUUUUUUUUGUCAAUAAACUAUUUUUCUCUCCUCUCUGGUUUUAUGCCUUGUGUCUUGCUAUCUCUCUCUCUCUCUCUCUCUCUCUCUCUCACACACACACACAGUAGGCUUCCUGCCUUUCUUGGUCCCUUCCGUGAGAUUUCUCUCUCUGGGAUGAAUUGCAUGUCAUGAUUAUGAUUAUCAGGUGAAGUGUGAGAAAGCAAUGAUUUCUAUUUUCUACCAGUUUACUAGUAUUAAUCAGGUAGGCUAAACUCUUCUGUAGUUAUCACAAGUUUGUCCCUCUGGAGUUUUCUAACUUCUAAGCUGGGGAGUGGUUUUUUUGCUAUUGACCAAAAAAUAAAAAAUAAAAAAAAGGAGAAAGAGUAGAUUUUGUUAAUCUUUAUGGGUUUUUUCUCUCUUUUUUUUUUUUAACAUUGCUUAAAGGUUUUAUAAAUGUUUUAGGAAUCUUGUUCCUCUUAGACUCUACCAACUGUUUAACAGAGGUUAAGUUAGCCAAUGAACGGUUUCCACGUAGGCAGUUGGAGAAAAGUUUGUACUUUGUAGGACUACUGAGUGUAGGUAAAGGUUCAGGUGGCUAAUCACGAACUGCCACGUAAGUUGCUGGGGGGAAAAGGUUUAGUUAAUGCGGUAUUUGUAAACGAGUGAGGUCCACGAUAAGGAUUUGAUGCAUGGGGAAAGGUAUAAAGGUCUGACCCAUUGUAAAUCCAAAGGCCAAUUAUUGGUUCUGAAUUUUAUCUUUUCUUUUUUCUUUUAUUCUUUUCUUGUCUUCGUUUCUCCCCAUUGUCAAUUGCAUGCAUGGAUAAAAGCUCCUCAAUAUUGUGAAAUCAUAGUCAUGUGUGUAUAUAUAUACACAUAGGUAUAUAUAUAUAUGGGUGAGAUUUAAGAAGCUAGAGGGGAUAAGGGAUUAAAAUUCAGGAUAUCCAAUUUUUGGUAUUACAAUUUUAACCAUUAGAUCAAAAUUUUCUCGACCAUGCAAAAUUGAUUUUGCAUAUUUGUAUUGUCAAUUAAUGUGAAAUCAUAUAGUCAUACAAUUUUUUUUGCUAGAUAUUCAAGUUUGAGUGGUUGAAUUUGGAUGAGAAAGAAAAAUAAAAGUGUCGAUCACUCUUGGGCAAUAAGUAGUGAGAUGAUCUAGAAAAUUCUAGUUGCAAUUAUUAAGAAGUGCACUAGACGUUGUUCUUUUUCACAAAAAGGUAAAAUUUUCUUUUGCAAAAGUGUUGCAUUUUAGAAAAUAAUUCUAAAAUUAUCAUUGUUUUUUUUUUGUGUGCUUAUCAUUUAACCACAGAAAUGAAAAAAAAAAGCCUUAUUAAAAUAUUUGACAUGAUGAAAAGACAAAAGUAAAUAAUUGCAAAAAAGUUUGGGUUGCUAGACACCAAACAAGAUGAAAAAUAUUGAUUUAUUUUUCUUUGAUGAGCAAGAAAAUCUCUUCCUUGAAUUAUUGCAUAACAAAAUUCAUUGCAUUAUGAAAUUAAGAUAUUUAUACAUAUUAAACAUCCUAAUUGAGUUGACCAUAAAACAUUGAAAAACAAAAAAAAAAAAAAAAUAAGGCUGCUAAGAAUUUAUAUCAUCAAAGUGAGUGAGAGCCAGCCAAGUCAUUGACGGUGCUGCAGCUGCAGAUCAGCAAUGCCAAGGCAAGUACCAUAAAGGACAUUAAUUAUUGAAUUCUCUUUUAAUAAUUUUCUUGUUGAAAUUAUCCUUUUUUGAUAGAUCAAUAAACAAUUAAUAUAGGGUUUUUUUUUCAUAAUAGUCACAGUAUUAAAUAUUGUACUUAUUGAAUUAAAAUAGGUUUUUUGUUUCAUAAUACUUAAAUAUUGUACUUAUUGAAAAAAAACAUUUGUACUUAUUAUUGUUUAAGUCUUUGAAUUCUGAAGUUGACGCCCUUCACAUGGUUUUCCUUCCACCGCUAGAUUUAAGGGGCUUUCAUGGAAACAGUCAACGCGGCUUUGAGUUUGACCUUUUGUUCCACGUUUUCACCUCGUCGGUUGUCCCCUCGGAUCUUAUUUAUAUUCUGACAAGAGAAUAAACGCUAGGGGACAAAAGACCCUUACAAAGAAAGGAAAUGUAAUUUAAUAUUUUUUAAUCGUCGGUGUAAGUGGAAAAUCGUUAGGCCAUGCUUGAAUAUCGUCGUUUUCCGUGAUCACAUUUCCCUAUCACCUUUUUUCUUUACAUAUAUCAAAUCGCUACAGUAAUUUUUCCAUGAAAAAUGACGGAAAAUGCAAUCCAAACAUAAUUCCGUCUCACUUUGAUAGGAUUGAUAUUUGUUUUUGACACAGUUUAAGAAAAGUUAUAAAUAAAUCUAACUUGUUAUCUAUCUAAAAUGCUCUUACAUUAAAUGGAAAAGGGCUAAUUAGCUUUGCAUCAACUUAGGUUAUACUUAAUAUUAAUUUACAUUAGACAAGAGUAUUUUAGAGAAGUUACAAGUUAAUUACAUUUUUCAAUUGAAAAAUGGAGUAUAAUUUGGGAUGGAUGAAAAAAAGGAAAACAAACCUAUCGAAGUGGAAUAGAGAGAGUUUUUUUUUUUUUAAGGGAUGGAUUGACUAGUUUGGGGGAUGGAGUGUAAGUGACAGAUUUUGAAUUCGAGUCCUCCUAUUAACGCAUAAAAAAAUUAUAAAAAAUUAUAAAAAACUUACUAUAUUUUAUUUUUUUUAAUGAGGGAUGGAUGAGAUUUAAAAAGUGAGAAAGUGUAGAGGGAUUAGAAUUCAGAACCUCUAUAUUCUAGGGUCCCAACCUUACUUUACUUAAAUUAGCAUUUGAAUGUGUACAUAGACAUAUAUUUUUCCAUUAACAUUUAGAUACUUACCCCACUUUAAUUUUAUUUAUUCAAAAACUAAGAGCUAGUUUUGAAUUUGACUUAUACUCUUUGAGAGCUUUUUAGAAAAAUAGUAUUAUAAAUUUUUUUUUUGAAAUAUGAUAUACGUCACAUAAAAAAUGUGAUUGAAAAAUUAAAAAAUUUUAUCAUGGUCCGCACGAACCGGUUGACAAGUCCAUUAUUUGAUUUUUGACUAAUAAAAAUGCUCUAAAUAAGACUGUGGAACCAACUAAUUCCACAUUAAACACAAUACAAAUAAAAUUUAUGGAUUCGUUAAAAGAAGAAAUCAUGACGCCCACAUUUUAUGAGUCUACCAAGAAGCAAAAAGGACGUUACUUGCACUAAAAACGAAGAGGAAAUAACUCAUGAUCAGAGCAGUACUCAGCACCCAAGCAUUAACUUUUUAUACUUAAAGCUGCUGCAGUAGUCAAGUGUCUAUAGCAUUAAAAAAGGGUUUGCAGGCCCAGCACUUAAGAGAUAUAUUAUAGUACUUAAAUUAAUUAAGUAGUAUUGACUAUUGAGAAAGGGAAUCUUAUAUUUAUUACAUCCAUCCACUCUAACUCUAUGAGUAGUAAUUUGUCGGUCAUAGGCUUGUAGCAUGAAGGUGCAAUUCAAUCCUUCCAUUAAAUUUCUUUUAAAGGGAUAAUUUCAUAAACCUCCCCUGAAAUUUAUGAUAAUUGCAGACAUACCCUUUAGGUUUAAAUAAUUACAGAAACCUCCCUUGAAAAAUACUUUGAAGCUCACUUUGCUGAUGUAAGCAAAAACUCUCCAUUGAAAAUCUUAAAAUGCCAUUAGAUGAUUUUCCUCCAGAAAAAUAGAAUUCCUUAGUUAUGUUAAAGCUCAAAACAUUACUCAUAUACUUUUAUAAAGUUCUCUAGUAAAUUUGUUCCAUUCCGCUAAAAAAAUGUUGAUGCCUACUUGACCAACAAAACUAAUUGAAUAAGAAUCUAUGUGUGGAGGAAAUUAAAGUUUUUAUUUACUCUAAAAUCACUACUAUAUGGAGUAAGAUUGGGUUUAGGUUUUGUAGGUGUUAAUGACAAGAUAGAAGUUCAUCACUCUUGUUCUUCUUUGUUUACUUUUUUCAAAGGAUUUACUAAAUUUCAUUUAAAAUGCAUUAGUUCUCUUCAUGGAGACUUUAAAUUCAACAUUGGAUGAAGGUUAAUUUUGUCAUUUUAAACAAUGAGGGGAGGUACGUGUAAUUUUUAAACUUGAAGAGUAUUGCCUGAAAUUGUUAUAAACCUCAGGGGAGGCUCGUGAAAUUAUCCCUGAGGCUAAUGGGGGACAAGAAUUGAGCUUAGAGGGUAUAAUAAUAGUUGCUUAAAAUUUAUCUAAAGUUUGUUUGCUUCAUCAGGCGGCAAAAUGCCAAAAUGUAAUUAUGAUCUCUCAGUUAUUGGAUUACGAAAAAUUUGCUUGUCGGGAAGAGAAUGAUAAUCCUUAUUAGUAGUAAUUACCCCUUAACAGUAGCACAAAACCAUUUAAAGAGGAAGAAAGGUUUAUGUAGGGAUAUACCAAUACUUUCUUGAAUUAAUUAUGACUCAUCCUAUAGAAUUUUGCAUGGAAAGUCUCAAAAGAUGAUUGAAUUGCUACUUUUUUGUUUAAUUGCAAUUGGAUUAUACUCCCUCCGUCCCGUUUUGUUAGUCUUGGUUUUUUUUUCACACAGAUUAAGAAAGUGUAAUUAAUUUGGUUGGAAACAUAAAUUUAGAUUAAUAAUUUCCUAAAAUACCCUUAUGCUAAUCACGAAGAGUGCCAAUUAAUAUCAGUUACAACUAAUGAAUUAGUAUUGGAAAAACUCAAUGUAUUCAAUGUAGUGGGUUAGUAUUUAAUAACAAUGUAUUAAUAACAAGAUAUUUAAUAAGGGUAUUUUAGACAAUUUGAAAGAUUACUACAUUUCUUAAUGGGAAAGUGGACUACAAUUUGGGACAGACGAAAAAGGAAAACAAGACUAUCAAAGUGGGACGGAGGGAGUAACUCAAUAGUCCCUUGUUGCAUUUAAGAAGAAUAAAUUUGGAAACUUUUAACUUGUUAAGUAAAAUAUGUAUUUUGCACUUAGAAAUACGAAUAUGUUACAAAAAAAAAAGAAAAUAAAAAAUGUACUGAGUAACAGGACCACUAGCAAAUAACUAAAUCUUAUAACUCAAUAAAAAAUAGUUAACAUUAAAUUAAUUGCCUCUAUUAUCCAUGCAUGUAAUGCAAUUAUAAAUUACCAUUCUAAAUUUUUCUUCCUCUGGAUUUUGCAUUAGCAGGAAAUGAUUGAAUAAUACUUCCAUUAAAGGGACCAUUUUGCAUUACCAUUCUUGUAAGUACCAUUUCUUUACUUGUAAUUUUCCUCUUCCGGCUGUAUUUUUUUUCCAGAAAAAUUGGCUUACUUGAUAAGCCACCCUUUGAAGAAACUUAAGCCAAGGAUAAUUGUAUUCCCCCUUCAGAAUUUAUCUUAUUAUAGAAAAUUCUCAGCUGGAGUUUAUGAAAUUUGUCCUUAUCAUCCCAGAGUAAAAGGGGACAAAAGUAAGCUGAUAUAUCAAAUGGGGAAGUUUGAUUUGCUUUUUGGGUUAUCUAACCAUGUUUUAUGGGCAUCUAACACAAUUGCUUCUUAAGAACAAGUUCGUAAAAACAACUUCAGUUUGUACAUUAUUUUUGUUUUGACAUUCUUAGUCUAACAAAAAAAUGUUUUUUCUGAAAACUUGUUUUCUUGUUUGUUUGUUUUUUUGGUUAUGGAGUUUUGAUCACUGCAUCUUCUUGGUUUUUUAUGAUGUAGUUGAACUAGGGUUUGCCUCUUUAGUUGUAUGCUCGUUUCUUGCUGAACAAUGAAAAAUUGCAAGUUUACAAAAAUAUUUUAGGUUUUAACAAAGUUCGAAUUCGCAAAAGGGUUUGAACCUUUGGAGUAAUAAAGCUCGUGUUAGAUUUUAUUUGGAGUUAAAGUGUUUUUGCUAAAAAAAAAAAGUCUUCCUAAUAGAAGAAUUUUUAGAGUGCUUGGAGUUUAACACUUUUGGUUUUAGAGACACUUUUAGAACAAAUUCAUAAUUGGUGCUUAACUAUUUUGUUCUAAAAAUAUUAAAAAUAAAGUUGUGCUGUAUUGUCAUAAAAUUAAAACUAAAUAACUAAGAGUAAAUCUUAUAUACAUUGACAGUGCAUACAUUAUCACCGUUAGAUUCAUGACACAUGUGUAAAAAUUAAAUUUUAAAUUCAAAUUUUGUAUAGUUGUUAUUAAUCCAACGCUGACAGUGUAUACACUAUCAGUGUAGGAAAGAUUACUUCAAUAAAAAAUAUAAAAUCCCAAUACAAAAGAUUCAUGUAUGUACGUUCCAGAAACUAUAGGAUUAGAUAUUAUUAAUUGCUUUUGUUGUAAGUUUCAGUGAAUAAAGUGUGUUACAAUAAACCAACACAAUCCCAAACAUUACUCUCAAUUUCAACCCUGAACCAUUUCAAGUACAUUUACUUUCACUUAUCCUUAAAUUUUCCUAAUGAGGACGAAUUUUUGUUGUUAAUUUCAACUAAUACAGCGUAAACUUACUAUUUCAGGAUUAAGUCAACUGAUUUGAAGUUUACACACCGAAAAUGAACCUUCUCAAAAAGUUCCAACUAAUACCUUCAACGGUAAUUAACCCUUGUUCAUGAAAGUGAUGUAUAGUUACUGGUUUGUGCCGAAUUUUAUCCACAUAAAGUGUUUAAUCACAAUAAUAUAUUCAGUCUUCCUGUUAAGCAUGGCUCCAUAAUCCAAAAAGAUACAGCUUGAAAUGAGCAUAAUAACUAGAUUUAGGGUGUGUCUAACGGGUGCCUUAUGGGUACUCGUUAAGAUAUAUUUUCACGUGUCGUAUUUUUUAAAAUAUAAGAUUAAUUAGAGAGUAAAUAAAUACAAGGGAGGGUAGGUAAGGUUAAAUAGGAAAAAUAUAUAAAUAUAAGGGAGGGUAAUAAUUUUGAGUAUUUGCAUAUACAUGGUAGGUUAGGUGAAUUUUAAGUGUGUUAACGAGUGACUUAUGGACACCCAUUACAAAAAAAUCCCUAGAUUUAUAUAUUUAACGAAAUAUAAAAUGUAUUAUAUUAGUCAAUCUAAAAUUAUCUCAGAUUUUCUGGUUUAAUUCCAAUGUUAUUCAGUAGGGUUGAAAGACUAAUCAAACUAUUCAAUAGUUGAAUUGAACUUGACUCGUUGAGAGUUCAUUUGAAUUUAGUUCACCAAUUAAUUUAACCAAACUUGACCAAUAAUCUGUGUUUGAUAAACUUUUAAGUUCAAUUCAAACUUGAUUCAAUUAGCAUGUAAAUGAAAUUUAUAUGUAAAGAGUUCAACCUAUUCAAUCUCGUCUCGAGUUCGGCUCGACGAAAGUUCGUUUGGGUUUGACUCGAGAAGUAAACAAGCCAAAUUUAAACUUGUUAAAAUAAUUAAACAAUCCAAACUUGGGUGUUUGGCUUAUUUUAGCUCGUUUACAUCCCUAUUUUUAAGACCUACCAUAGUUUAUAAUUUUUUUUUUAAAAAAUCUGUCAUAUAAUGUUUUCAAUUUUUUUUGGAUUCCAAGUUUAAAUUUUCAAAAACCAACUUUUACAAAAAUUCAGUUAAAAACAGGCCUUUCUAGGCUAAUCUACUCCACCUAUCUGCUAUUGCUAAUCUUGGUUCAUGAAGGCAUUCUCAGAAAUUUAUGGAAAUUGUGCAUUUAAUUCUAGUAGUACAAUGCAGUUUUCCAUCAAUUUCAUCAUAUGGGUACAAACAUUGAAUGCUGUACCUAACUUGUCAAGAAUAGAAACAUGUCAUAUGUGAGAUUCAACAAACUUCAUAUAAUCAUAUUUCCCUUUCAAACUCCCUUCUUUCAAAUCAGUAAAUUGAAAUUGUGAAAACCCUUUUGGGACUAUUAUCUAAUAUUAAUUGCAUGUUUUGAAAAGAUUGAUACAACUCAAAAUCACAUGGAGUCAACAUCAGAAUUUACAAACUCCAGCUACCCCAACUGGACAGGAACCUUUUUAACAGUCGAGCAAAAUACAUGCAGUGCGAUGUCGUUUUCUUAUGUUAUUAAUAUCUUUCUUGUGAAUUGUGAUCAACAUAAAAUUAAGUGGUAACGGAAAAUAAUAAGAAUUGACUAGUAAGAAAGUGAAAUCUGCAUCACCGACGCAUUUUUUUUUCUGACUUUAUUCUUUGCUUUAGGCAUUGUCAUUACAGCUAACCCUACUAAAAAGUAUUAGCUUUAUCAAGCAAAUUUUAUUUUUAUUUUACAUACUAUAUAUAGUACUCCUUCCGUCCCACUUUGGUAGUCCUAUUUUUCUUUUUUAUCUGUCCCAAAUUGUAGUCCACUUUUCAAUUGAAGAACGUAGUUGUAUUUUAAUUUUUCUAAAAUACCCUUAUUCAAUGUAAGUUAUUAUUACUAUAAACCUACCCCAUUUAAUGAGAGUUGAUUUUUUUUUUACCAUCAAUUCAAGUUCUCAUAAAGUUGUACUCUAAUUAAUGUGAGGGUAUUUUAGGAAAAUAGCUACAUAAAUUGAUUGUUCCAACAAAGUUAACUAUUUUUUUUAAACUGUGUGAAAAAAAAAAUCAGAACUAUCAAAGUGGGACGGAGGGAGUAUUUACACAUUGGAAAAGUACACUUUUAAUCUCUCAAGGUGUUUUCACGUACACAUUUAGUCCCUUGUACUUGAAUUUUUAUUGCAUAUGGUCCUUUGCUUGGUUUUCAUCUCAAUUGGGUCCUACAUGGCUACAUGUAUGAAAUACUUUACUUGGUCCAUUAUGUUUCAACAAUUAAUUUCUUUAUACUAAUUUAGUAUAAAUUGUUAACAAUUCAAGAAAAUUAAGGGAGCCAUGAAUACGUUACGAGACAAAAACACAAAUGAUCAAAUGUGUGGAAAAUAAAACAUGAGGGGCUAAAUUAAAGUUAGUACGUACUUACGAACCCCCAAAAAAAAACAAAGAAGAAGUUCCCCAUGCUCUUAUAAUUCUUUUUUAUACCAGAAAAAAAAUAAAUAAAUAAAAUGAAAUCUUGCAUUUUUUCCCCCAUUGAUAUUUAACUAUUUGAAGCUGCCAAGAGCAAAGAGCAAACAGACUUCAUUAUUUGUUCAUGUGAUUAUUCUAUUAUUGCAAAACAUAGGACCUGAGUUUCUUGUUUUGCCUGAAUGAGAACUAUUAAAUAUAUAUAACCCAUAGGCCACAUCUAACCAUUUUUUGGCAUGACAAGUUUACUACUAGUUCAUACUUGUAAAAGACAAAAAGUCGGCAACAAUUUUCCGAGUUGGCAAGAUAUUCAUCUACUAGGGAAGUUUGGUGGGCAAAAAGGGAUUUGUCAAAAAGAAUUAGCAGCAUUUUUUUCUCAAAUUGCAUGGGACAUUCCCACACAAGGAAUCAAGAGGGGAGUUUAGAGGGGCCCUUAGUUCUGAAAAUUUUUAGUAACAUUGGCGGUAUUUGCACUCAUGGAGACCCCGCAGUUGAAUUUGUAGUUCAAGUAGAUUUUUCCAUUUGUCAAAAAUAUCUAUUUGAGUCAAAAGGUUAUGCAAAAAGUUGUGUCAACUCUUGGAAAUCUAUUCAAAGCAAAGCUUGUUUUGAAGUAAUAUAACGGGAAAGAAAGAAAAGGACGUGGAAGGAUAAAGUUUUCAUGGGAUUGGAUAGAUUUUAGAGAGGAGGGAGUAAAGGAUUGGAAAGGAAAUGUUGAAAUUUAUUCUAGUUAUUUUGGAUUAGGUUGUUUUUCUUGCAAAAGUGGAUGGCAAGGAAGGGAAAAGAGACUAUGAUAAAUGAUACAAUUUAUAAUUUCUUAAAUUAUCCUUUUUCUUUCCAUGUUUACAAUUAAUAUAACUUUUCUUUAAUACAAUCUCCACACAAUGAUAAAACUUAAAUCUAGUUUUUUCUAUUAGUAAUAUUUGGGAAUUUUGAAUAUCAAAAUUAUUGAUGAGAUAUGUUAAUAUCUAAUUUUUUUUAUUUUAGUAGUUUUUUAAUAUCUUCCUAAAAAAAAUCAAUAUACAUUAAUUCAUUCUGGCACAUUAAUAUUUCAUAUAUUUUUAUGAGAAUGACAAGAUGGAAAAAAAUUAAGAGGUUAAGUUUUUAAAUUAUAUUCACAAGUUAGAUUUUAUUAAGUUGUGCAACAAUGUAAACAAUACAUAAUCCUUUCCUUUCUUUUCUUUUUCCUCUCAAUUUCAAAUAAUAUACCUAAUGUUUCCUUUCUUGUGUUUCUAUAUGAAAUUUAAAAUAAGAUGGAUGGAAAUCGCUUUCUUGUUCUUUUCCAUCCUUUCUUUUCCAAAGUGCUUUUCUUUCUGUUCCUUUCCUUCAAACCUAAUCGGUGCCUAAGACGCAUUUUGAAAUCAAUCCUCUUUGUUUUUCACUUUUCUUUUUGGUUGGUUGUUUUCUCCCCUUUGCCUCAAUCAGUGCACUAGUAACGGUCUAUAUACUUCACCAAUAGUCAAAAACGUCUGGACCAAUGCUAUGUUUCUCCAAUAAUAUCAAUUGGCCGACCUAAGUUGGUGUAUACAUUUGUCUCCAAAGAUUACACUAAACAACUAAAAUGCUUAGUGAAAUUUAAAAACAAAUAAUCACUUAAAGAAGAUGGCCAGUGUAAUUUUUACAUCCCAAAUUUUAUUCUCACAAUAGUUUUUGAAUAGCAUGUCAUAUUUAUCCUUCUCAAGUCCAAACGUAAUUUGGAUUUGAAAAGGGUAGUUUUAUCAUUUUAACAAAAAUAUUGGGAUAUCUCCGAUCAUGACAUACGUAUGCUGUUAUUAUUGCAUCGACUGAAAACCUUACUAAUUGAUCUUUACGGUGCUUCCUGUAUCAAUUAGAUCCUUUUUUAUUCAUAAAAAAGUAGCUAGAUAUAUUAUAUAUUUCUCGAUGAAUUGGCAAUAUCAUUCACCAAAGAGGAUGCUCAUGUGACUAUUAAUGACCACAUCACAAUUGUUGUUGAAGUAACGUCACUGUUCCUUUGAUUUAUAAUUCCUUCAAUGUGCAUGCGUAUGCAAAAUUGAGAAAAAAAAAUAAACAAAUAAGGCAAGAGACAGAUAUUCAUCAAUGAAAUUGAAGAGGGAUUGCGGGCUAGAAGAGUAGUCUAUUAUUUGGACUCAUCACCAUCAUGCUACGAUUAGUCUAGUGACCACUCAACAAUCAAAAUAAUGCAACUUGAGCGAAACCGUGUCCAAAAGGCGAUUAUGAAAGGUAAUGUCAAGGCGGAAAGUAGAGUUUUUUUUUUUUUUUUUUUUCCAGAGAACGCGGUGUAAUCUAUUUCAGACCUACUCCUAUUUUACACUGCGUGGAGAGGAGGACCUAAAGAGAUCCAAAGAGAAUACGGAGGGGACUAAACCACCACCAUCCAAAUGAGUGCCUACGCACUCGCUUGCAAACUUUUCCAGAAAAGUCUUAAGUUUUUAGAAUGCAGCGAAAUUGUGGUUCUUAAACAUCUAUCUCCAAUCAAUUUCUAAGUUGAUUUCAACGGCAAUCCUUCUUAAAACUACAAAAUUUCCCCGUUUAGAUUUAAAUUCCAUUCAAACUCGAGAAUGACAAGUUUGAUAUUUUAUCCAAAAACUGCGAUAGAACUGAAAUCUGAAUUAGGUAACGCUCGUCGUCAACUAUAGUUGAUCAAUUAGCUAUUGACACGCACAUUUGGCAAAAAUUUCUUCUUUUUGAUCUAGAGACUGACAAAAUUAAACCUUCCGCUGCUAAAAAAACUUAGUUGUUUGAUUGGUUAUUCAUUGAAAACUUUACAAGAUUUCGAUUGUUGUACUUAACUUGAUUUUAGUACACGAAAGAGAAGCAGUAGCCAUUAAGGCAAGUUAGGGGGUAGGAGCUGUCUCCAUGAACAUCAAAGGAGGAGGAAUCACGAGAAUGGGGAAAAUCAUUCCACAUGGGCAUGUGACAGUUUGCUUGGGGCAUGUGAGAUUGCCUCAUAGUCAUGGGCCACAGUUGCCUGUUCAACGAUAGACUAACGACCACGUUUCCGUUUCAACACGAUGACGUAUUAUUGACCAUUGUACUAGCAAACAAAUAGCAAUGGAUUCCUCAAUAUUCAAGCAGACUUUGGGGCGUGACAAGUUGCAAUUAAUCGAAUUAUAGGGUAGAAAAAAAACAAAAGAAAAGAAAAGAACCAUGAACAAAUUCCGAGCCAUAACGGGAAAUUUGUAAAGAAAAUUUCAAUUAUUAGAUAGUUUAAUUAUGAAUUUAGAAGAUCAAUGUGAAAAGAAAACGAUCUAAACGAAGCAUUAACUAUUCCUGUAAUCGGAGAACAACUUCAUAGUAUUAAGGUUAUAAUACAGAACAAAUAAUAAAGAUAUAGAUCUUACCUGCACCAAACAACUAUUUCAAUGAAAUCACAAACAAAAAGUUCUCAUUUAAAACAAAAACUGAUUCAAACAUAAACUACAAAUGAAAAAGAAAAAUAAAAUUAGAAAUAAUCUACUGUAAGCUCCACAAAAAUCCCCACUUAACAGUUAGCUAUAUGACUAGACAAAAAAUUGGAGACGUCAAAUCUACCUCCAGUUAUUUGCAUUUGCAUGAGCAAGAAGACACUAAUAUAUCAUUGCAUCAUUUGCUAUCAUGACUAAUUAGGAAUAUAGAUUGUGCAAGAUCAAAUCCUGGCUGAUCUUCUUGUACGCAAAAAGCUCAAUUUUUCAGCAAAUACAAAAGACAUGCAAUGAUUAGCAUAAAAAUUUGAUGGCUUGAGUGGAAAAGUUUGCAACAAUUGCAUAUGGCAGUGCUUUUAAGAAAAUUUACAACAAUUAAGGUUGGAUCAAUAGUUAUGUCAACUUUUGUUAAGGAGAAAAAAAGGUCAAGUUGAUGCAAAUUCUUAUACUUGGCUUGUGCCUCAUCUUUUCAUGGAUGGACUUGACGGCUUGCAAUUUAUUCAAUUAACUUGCGUGUUGAAUAUCUAUGCAAUAAUCCCUAAAAACGAAAACGAAAACUACUAACCAAACCAAUUUAAUUUUUACAUGCAGACCUUCUAAAAAGAAGAAUCCUCCGGUCCAUAACGGCAAGUCGGUUCGUAAAUACAUUCAGCUAAAUAAUAAUUAGUAUUUGACCUGAAUAAAAACCUUAAAAGUCACAAUUUGAUGGAAGAGACGAAAUGAAGAGUAAUAGCUCGAGAACCAUAUAUAUGAGUAAAAAUGCAGGAUAUCUUGGAUAAUGAUACUCUAAUAUUUGAAUUGAUUUUUCGAACUUUUGAGUUGAAGAUGUGAGAGAGUUAAAAACAUAAUUCAAAAUUAUAUAUAGCAAUCCCAAGAAAUUUUGGCUUGAAGAUUAGAUUAGGAUUAGGAUUAAGGGAAAAAAAAUCGAAAGAAUGGAAGAGAUAAUUAUGGAAGGAUUAUCUAAAAUUUCAUCGAAAAACUAUGGGACAACAUAUGUUGUUUGGCUAUUUCACAAAAUGCGUUGCAACCACUUGCUAUAUCGUUAAGCCAUAUAGGAACGAGACAAAAUAAAGGAAUAAGAAUGAAAGUACGACUUUAUAUAUGUAUAUAUAUAUCUUUCCUGCAUUUCCAACAUGGGCCGUUCAGAAACUGUUGAGCCUCUUCCUUAUGCAUUACUACAUCAUGAGCAUUCCAUUUAUUCAAUGGCUUGUGGGUCAGCUAGAAUACGUGGGGUUGGAUCGGCCCAACCACCCAAUAGCGGUUCAACUCUUCCGCCAUGAAAGUUAAUGAGCAAUCUGCUGAUUUGUUUCCCUGGUCCCCUCCCUAGCGCCUCCCAAAAACAAUUUCCUUCAUUUUUGUGAUCCAAAGAAAUUAAAGUCACUAUUCCAAGUGCUUUUGUUUUGAUAUACCUUUGAUCCAACGUUAUUAAGGUCACUAUCCCAAUUCCCAAGUACUUUUGCAUAGGCAUGUGGAACAAGGAAGGAAAAGGCAUUUGCUAACGAAACUUCCAUGUGCAAAACUUAGGUACUUUGUUCUAUUGUGGUGUAGCAUAUUCUUAGAGCCCUUUAUUGGACUCACUACAGUCUCAAGUGACCUUUUUUCUUUGGGAUGAUGGCUAUGGGUUUGCUCCUAAGCUUUUACCAAAUAAAUUAAUACAAGUGCAUGUACAGGCAUAAUUCUAGAAUAUAAGAACAAAAACUUCAUAUAUCUCGUUAGUCAUGUUUUCUCAUAUUAAGGACCAUGGAGAGUAGUACAUCUAGUAUUUAAAUUAAGGGUGUGUUUAAUAAAACUAAAGUCUGAAAACUGAAAUCUGAAUUUAUUAAGUUAUUGAAUUCUUAAGUAUUAAAUCUAAUACUCCAUCCGUCCCGUUUUGUUAGUCUUGUUUUCCUUUUUUGUCUGUCCCAAAUUAUAAUCCACUUUCCCAUUAAGGAAUGUAGUAAUCUUUCAAAUUGUCUAAAAUACCCUUAUUAAAUAUCUUGUUAUUAAUACAUUGUUAUUAAAUACUAACCCACUACAUUGAAUACAUUGAGUUUUUCCAAUACAUAGAUAAAUGAAAAGUCUAUCUUUGUUAUUUAUUGGCACUAUUGGCGGUAAUUAAAACAAUCAGGGUGCACUAUUGGCGGUAACUGAUAUUUAUUGGCACCAUUAACUGUAACUGAUAUUAAUUGGCACUCUUCGUGAUUAGCAUAAGGGUAUUUUAGGAAAUUAUUAAUCUAAAUUUAUGUUUCCAACCAAAUUAAUUACACUUUCUUAAUCUGUGUGAAAAAAAAACCAAGACUAACAAAACGGAACGGAGGGAGUAUAUUUGAGUACAUAUCACAUUCAGUGAUAAGUGAAUAGUUUAUUACUUAAUUUUAGAAAUAAAUUUAUUUAAGAAAUUCAGCGCUAAUUAAUUAAUUCAAAUAUUUAAUUUUUUGUUAUCAAACGGUUUGAAUAUGUUAAGAUCUGAAUUUAUUAAAUUUAAGUAUCAAAUUGGGUUAUCAAAAUAAGACUCAAGAGUCUUGAAAGUUGGCGCAAUUGUUGAGGUGCGUGGAAAAUUGUUCAUCGCUUUGGUUGUUCUCUUAUUCAACGCAUCAACUUCAACAUUCUUUCCAUGAGUUGCAACUAUUUCACUAUUUCUGCUGCGAUGACGUCGAAUUCUUGUCCAUCUUUGAUGUCUUGAUGUUUCAAGUAGUUGCAAGUUGCAACGCUUAAUUAGCCCCUCGCGUUCCUAGUUUAUCAUUUUUUCGUUAUAUUUUUUUGUUUGUUGAAAAAAAAUGAAAAAAAAAAUGAAGCUCCUCGCUAUUUUUUUGAUUGUCAGAUAAUGUUUUAAUUUUCCAAAAUUGCCCUCAUUUUAAGCGUAAGAAAAAUAUUUAUAUGCAAUUUAAUUAUCCCCAUGAACUAUGACUAUAGUUGUAUUAUGUCCCCUAAGGAAUUUUACAGGCAAUUGACCCCUACUAAUUUAAUUAUAUUUAUGUUUUUGUGUUAGAAAGCAAAUUUAAUUCAAAAAAUAAAUCUUUCGACACGUAUAUAUAUUGAAGUUUGCUAUUAACUAAUCAUUAAAAAUACUAUAUAGCUUAGUAAUGACAAGUGUGAUGGGAAAAAGAAGGAGAAAACAAAAAAAAUAAGAGAGAGAGAGGAAAUAAGAGAACAAAAUUAAAAAGGUUUGUUUGGAUAGAGUAUUAUUUGGAAUAAUUACUGUAUCACUUUUUGUGAUGUGAUGUAUGUGAGAUAAAAAUGUGAUUAGAAAUAUAAAAAGAUGGAUUGGAAAAUGUGUUUAUGAUACAAGCGAAAUAUUAUUUGAGAUAAUUUCACUGUCCAAAUAAAUCCAUAAAUAUCAAUGACGAAUUCAUCCUUGAACAUGAGGUAAGAGAUACACUGAGUAAGAGAUUAAAAGAGAGAGAAUAGAAAAAAAAAAUAGAAGAAUAAAAAUAAAAAUAAGUAUAUCAAUGGUGAUUUCAUUCCUAAACAUGAGUUUGGAGGUGAAUUGAGCACAAGGAAACUGCAAUUGCGAACUAAAGACUAGUUAUGCCAUCUUUUCAUUUCAAUGUUCUUUCGGGGGUCAAAAUGCAAAAAAGAUAAAGUUAGGGGCACAGUAGUUUUAGGGCCAAAAUAAUUUAGGAGGGUCUGCUGAAAUUGACCCGAACAGAAAUAUCAAAUCCCAAGUUCCCAACAACCGCCAACCAAUUUUGUGCUCUGGGCUGUGCUCUCCACACGUUUCUCUCGCUCGCAGCUUUACUAGGCCAACCAAACCUGCUCCAACUUUCCCCGCCGAGUCAUUCACCGGAAAAUCCACCUACUCCGUCGGUAACCCAUUUGCCCUCUCUUCUCAAUUCUCUAAAGUUUACGACUUUCUCUGCUUUUUAUUCCUCUGAAAAUCUGGAUUCACAUGUUUAGUUUCUAGAAUAUUCUCAUUAAAGUUUGUAUAAGAUUUAUUUAGUUCUUGGGAAAAAUCAUGAUUAUUAGUAGCUAAUUGGGGGGUUUUUUUUUUGCUUGUUUUGGGCUUUUGGUUUUGCAUUUAAUGUUAUUUAGCCGCUGAGAGAGAAAUCUUGUUGAGGUAAACGAUGAAUUUGUGACCUAAUAAUAUGUGGUUUUGAACUGUUCGAAGUUAAGCCCAUGUUAAGGUUUCAAGCAUUUAAUUGCUGUAGACGGACUAGAAAGUUGGUUAGCAUUAUAAAUUUUUUUUUCUUGUAGUUUUUUUCCGGGGGAAAACAUAGCUGCUCGCUAAAUGGGAAAAUUAUACAAAAUACAUGGGUAGAUAUAUGGGAAAUAAUGAGGAGGCAUUUUCUUGUUACAUGUGAUCGAAGAUGUAUGCUUGGUGGUGCUUUUAAACUAUUAAAAGUUCUUUUCAUCAACCCAAGGAGUGAUAAAGCAUAUGUUCCUUUCGCUUGAUUUUAUGGUAGCGUUCCUUGAGGUGGAUUAGCCCAAUUGGGGUUUGGGGAGUGUCCCAUGGUAAACUCUCCCUACUUGUAGGUGGGAGUUUGAUUGGCUAUCCUGUCACCAAUUAAUUGCAGAGAGCAUGGAAAUGUGCUGUUCUUGACUAGAGAUCGGGCAUGAAUCCAUCUAGUUCCCUUUUCCCCAAAAUCCCAGUUGGGCUCUGCUUAGGUGUGGGUUAAUGUUGUUAGUGCUGCUAGAAAGGUUGCAGAAUACUAAAUUACACACAGGUCUUUGUAUGUAUUUUGUGGUUGUAGGGGUCUUAGUCUACUGAAUUGAGUUGAGUGCGCAUUAUGUGUCAACAUGUGUAUUAGGAUCCUUUUGGUGGUUAACUGCACAAAGAUUGCUUCAAUUGGGAAUGUUGAAGAGAAAACUGUCCCUGGUGGGGGUUGUAAAUGAGCCAAAUCAGCCCACAUACUCUAAGCUUAGCUUGUUUAUUUGCCAAGCCAAACUCAAUUAACUAAAUUUGACUGAAAGUGAACGAUAAAAAUUUUGUCCGUCGCCUUGUGAACAAAAAUAUACUGGAUAAUAAGAUGUUAGAAUCUAAAAAGUGGGAAAUAGAGUUUGAGGCAUAUUAAUAUACUCUUGAGUUUCCUGCUGUUUACCACUUUAAGUGGUUGUUGAUGGUUUUUGGGGGUCAUAAACAUUUCAAUGCUUAUAUAUUUCUUGCAACACACUUUCCAAGUUUUCUAUCUGAUCAGCUUUCUGCUGACUAGUUUCCUGCCGUUAUUAUGCUGUGACUGGUUAGUGCCCUAGCUGGUUUUGGAUUCUUAACCCUGUGCUAACCACUAAAUCUGUUCCACUAUAGCUUCACCUGAUCAGAAGAUGCAAUACAUCUUGAGUUCUAACUCAGCUUGAGUUGCCAAAUAGGUGUAUUUUUGCUUGUAAUACUAAUUAAACCUGUUUUCAAAAUCUUGGAACAAUCAAAACAAUAAAGAUCGUUGUUAUCUCAUGUUUCUCUGCAAUUAUUGCCUGCUUUGUGCCAUCAGAAGAGUAGGUUCCAGUUCAUGUUUUAUAUGCAUUUCCUUUCUUCAUUUGAUGAAUGGUACUUUCUACAGCUCUAUCUACUGUCAUCCGUUCGUGCUUGCAUGACCAUUAUACUAGACAUGAAUUACUAGAUAAUGUUUCAUUUAAAUUAUCUUGAUCUUCUCCAACUAUAUGAGUUCUGCAAAUAUGAACUGUGGUAAAUGCUGUGUUGCAGAAACCGGUUUGGAGGUAGAAAGAAUGGAAUUUUUCUUCAAGUCAUUGAAUGAGGAGUCACGUGACUGCUCCUUUGAAGAGCAGGACAUCCAGAAAUGUCCAUUCUUGAGGAACGUCAGCAAACCAACCAAUUUCUCUUUCUCUUCGCUGAACCUCUCUCUUCACGUAAGAUGUUUAUUCCUUGCUUUGAUGAUUUGAAGGCUUCCUACUAAUUUACUUGGAGAAGCUAAUUGAGGUGAAUGUCUUUUGGAGGAUUGUGAUGCUCUGGCUAUUUGCUUUGAGCUCCAUGGAUAGUAUGCUUACCAUACCUUUGCCUUUAAUUUUCAGGUAAGAGGAUCCAAAGGACCAAUAUUUGAAGAUGGCCCCAGCUUCGAGACGGCCUUUAGACUUUUCCAUGGAAAAGAUGGAAUUGUCCCACUAUCUGGGAAGCCUCAGCUGCAAUUUGAGAAAAUUGAAGCAGAGCCUGCACCUAAAUUUGACCCUUUGGCUGCCAAAGCUGCGACCAUCAGUUUGUCAUCAUUUGGACCAGGUGGUCCAUUCGGUUUUGAUUUUUUCUCAGAAAAAUGGAAAAAGCAGAAAAAGAGUUCAGGAACAUCUAAAAAGAAGAAUUCACAUCAAGUAUGUUUCUUUGAACUUUGCAAAUAUUAUUGUUUCUGAAAGGGGAUUGACAUAAUUUAGUUCCCCAUUUCCAUAUCCAUAACAUGAACUUUUAUGAAAUUGAACCCUGAGGGCUUGCACAUGAUUUGCUGUGGUUUUGUUGUGAAACUGGUCCUUUGAAUAUUUAGUAAUAUUUAAUCGUCUUCCAGGGAGAUCCUUCAAAACAUGAGGCACUGGGAAAUGAAUGGUUGGAAACAGGCAAUUGUCCAAUUGCCAAGUCAUACCGUGCUGUGAGUGGUGUCCUCCCACUUGUAGCAGCAGCUCUCCGGCCGCCACCCGGAAUCAAGCUUAAAUGUCCACCUGCAGUGGUUGCAGCGAGGGCUGCCCUUGCAAGAACUGCUCUUGUCAGGACUCUUCGGCCACAGCCACUAACUUCAAAGAUGCUCGCCAUUGGUGCUUUGGGCAUGGCAGCUAAUGUUCCGUUAGGCAUCUGGAGAGAACACACUAAGAAGUUCUCAUUAUCAUGGUUUGUUGCAGUGCAUGCUGCAGUCCCAUUUAUAGCCAUGCUCAGGAAGUCUGUUGUUAUGCCCAAGACUGCCAUGGCAUUAACCAUUGCAGCUUCUGUCUUAGGCCAGGUUAUUGGUUCAAGAGCAGAGCGCCUUCGAUUGAAAGCCAAUGCUGAGAACGUAAAGAUGACAGCACUGAUAGUUCCAGCUAGUGUUAGUACUGGUUAUAACCUACUGCAGGCUGAUGGUGUACCCUCUGCUCAUUGUGGUAAGCAAGAGUUUAUGAGAGAUCAACUCCCCGACAAGGAUAUUAGCAUAUCUUCACCAGCCAGUGUCUGUUUCUGAAGUGGCACGGCAACAAUCUAGUAUAGUUACAUAAAUAAGAAUGGAGUAUUGCAUAUGCUAAGACAAUGUACUAAGAUACAAGUAAAUUGGACUUGGAAACUAUGAUGGCAAGCGGAUAAUGUGCUAUUUAUGAGAAUAAAAUAUGUAAUUUGUAUGCCGCGUGUGAUAUGAUGUUUUUGGUUGUUAGGAUGGGAUAAACUAAGACUUGAAGGUGUGCUGCAGCCUGUCAUUGUAUUGCUUUAAAGCAAUUAGUGCUUUGCUGAUUUUAUCUUUCUCCUGUUCCUUUUCAUACUUGAAUUAUAUCAAGAAACAUAUGGUGAACUGCUAAAAAUUGCUUAGGUUGUGAUUCUGAGCACGGUAGCAAAAUGUUUUCAAAGUGCAGCUGUGCUCAAAGCUGAAAACUGGUAGACUUUUUUCUUUAAACUUAUGAAAUGAUGAUCAGGGCCCUUCCCCAACACUUAAAACCACCGCUGGUCGUUAAGUUCAUGCCUGUUAUGACUGUAACUGAUUAUUAGCUAAGGAAUUUUACCACUCUCAACUGCAAGCGUUACUGCAACAGCUGAAUUUCCGACUGUACUGAAAAGGGGUUAAACGAAAAUCUACCUUAUAUUUGGCCUAAGUUACCUUUAAACUGACUACAUGCAGAUGGCUAAAAGUGUAAAAAUCUCAAGGUUGGAACUAAUUGAUUGCGGAGACAUGGUUUGGCAAGAGAAAUGCUAUGUUAAAAAAGCAAUCACAGCUUCUGCAUUUUUAUGUUUGGAUUAUAUUUUUCUGGAUUUUUUUUUGUAGAAAAAUUACUAUAGCGAUUUGAUAUAUUUGAGGUAAAAAAUUGAUUGAAAAAUGUGUUCACGGAAAAAGUAACAAUUUUCUCCAAACAAGACCAAUCAUUGAGACUGUGACAGCCCCACCUUCCCCUAAGGCGAACCAAAGAGGUUAGUGGACUGCCUGCCCAACUCUCGCCAGGACUAACGGUGCAGUUUAGAGCGAUCUAUUGCGUUCCGGGACUUAUAAACGCGCGUAAACAAGGCAAAAGGGCAAAAUAACCCAAAAUAAAAAAAAUGAAGUUCGGAGUCAGCCAUAAAUAGUAACCGACCCGUCAAAACGCAACCAAAUAUCAAACAAACAUUCACAUCUUGAACUUUAGCAAUUACAAUCCAAAGUGACAUACAAAAGUUUUCAAAAGUUAAUAUAUACACGGUUUGCCAAAUUGAAAGUGAAAACGGCCCUAAAGAUACAUUUAGGCUUUCAUUUCAUAUACAAUACAAAAGAGUUAUACAUCUAGUUCAUUCGGCAACCAUCUAUCAAGAUUCAUUCCAAAAAGAGUCAUAUUCCUGUAAGGAAAACAAAAGGAACGGUGUGAGCUAAUUGCCCAGUGAGAUACUAUCACUUACGCACCCAAGUGCAUAUAAGUAUCAAGCUUUCAUUCAAUAUUGUAAAAUAAGCAAAGACACACGUCAAAUAUAGUGAUAAAAGGAUACAGAUGGCUCUCAAGAGCCCUUUCCUCGUUUGCAUUUCUUGAUCGGACGUCAUUGACUCUCCGUCAAUGUUCAAAAGUACCAACCGUAGACUCCACUUUACUUCCACUCCUUCCACCUAACAUACCCCUACCGGGCCCGAAAUCCAAACACUUGCACUUUGGUUUUACUCGAGUAAACCGGAAUCGAGAGUCUCGCAUACUACAAGAUUCCAUAUAACACUUCCCCAAGGCAUAUCAAUUGGCACGACCAAGCCCUCGCCGACUCGAUUCAAUCAACUACCAAUGGGGUUGAACUCAAAAAUAACAAUUGUAGUCGUUGGAUACUCGUCCAAACGACACCAAGCCAUGUAUUUUAUUUCAAGUAACACUUCGUGUAACAUUCCAAUCACAUGAUAACAAUGAUAUAAAGCACAUAGUGAGAGUGAUAAAGUACACUUUCACUUCAAGCAAUUAACAUUCAAAGCACCAAGUUUAAGUAUCAAAGCCAUAUAUUAACAUACAAGUGAGUAGUACACUCACCAAGCUCGCAAAUGUGGUUUCAUGCACUUCCGUCAAAAGAACGUUGUGCACCACGGUCACGCCCUAAAACAUGCAAACAAAUACAAUGAGACUCGAUAACGAGUCAUAAACCAAGGCCAAACAUGACCCCAAUAGGAUUCCAUAAGCAUAUACAAACAUUAAAGGAAACCAGAAAAUUCGGAAAUGCAAUUAGCUUUGGCCCUGAAAAAAACAGUUUUUGUCCUCGUUUUGCGGUAAUGAUACCAAUUUCACUACGAUUAUCGGAUGAAGGUGUACGACCCACCGAUUCGAAGCUAAAAGACAGGGCUACAACAUCACAGAAGGUCACUCAACCCAGUUUUGAGUGAAAAUAGGUCAAAAAUGCAAGAUACUACAUCAAAACCGUAAAAACAGAUUCACAGAACGCAUUCUAGCGGAAACAUCAUAACUCAGGCUCUCCAAGUCCAAAUCCAGAAAUUCCAAAACUAGAUAAAAGCUAAGAAACAGGGCUACAUUUCAUUAGAAGGCCUCAAUAACCAAUUCGGAAGCAAUUCCAGCCAAAACAACCAAUUACAGGCGCAAUUCUUACAUUCGGGUAAAACCAGAACAGCUCUAGUAAUUUCGACUUUUCUCAUUCUACACUACUCCGAUUGACCUGAAAUUUUGUAGGCACCUCUAAAAUGUCAUUCCCUACAACUUUCAUGUUUUAAGCCAAGGCCAAUUCGGCCUCUAACUAGGAGCUAAAAAUUCGGGCAGAAUGCUCCCACUAGAACCCUAAUUUUCUGAAAUUUCUUCCAAACCAGAAAUUGGUUGCAAUUAAUCACUUUUUCCACCUCCUAGUGUCAUUAUAUACCAUUUCCAAUCAUCAUAGAUAGCCACACAAUCAUGCUUAUAUUAAAACAGAAAAAUCCCCAAAAAUAAUAAAACUUCAUCACUUCAACCACAAAUCAAGAAAUAAUCCAUAAACUUGCAUCUCAUACUACCACUAAGCAUGAUUUAAGCAUCAAUUAAAGGAGGAGGGUGGUUCUUCACAACUCACCUUAGAAACAAGAGAGAGUGAGCAAUUGGUCACCUUAACUUUCCAAAUAACUUCACACAACAACUCACCACCACUUCCUUAAGUGGUUUUAUGGAGCAAAAUCAAGGUUGGAUGGUUGGUUUUGAUGAUUUGGAGCAAGCUUGAAGAGUUUUCUUCCUUGUGCUUAGAGUAAGAGAGAGAGAAAGAGAGAAAGAAAGGGCCGGCCACUUCUUGAUGAUUUUUUGGUCAUUUUUGGUUUAUUUAAGUCAAAUGGUAAGAUCAUGAAUAGUGGUCUUAAGGUAAGAAGCAAUCACAUGGUGACACUUGUCACUUUUUAUUAAAUGCCUACCUAACUUCUCUCUCUUAUACCAAUCCACUUAUCAUCUCUUAACACCCGGUAAAUUAAUUUUAGUAUCCAAAACUUAACCUAAUUGGCCGAAUUUCUCCGAACUUUUCGCACUAUUGGGUCCCACGUCCGGUAUACGCUCUUAAUUUCUCAAAACCUAUUCGAUACUAGAAAAAUCAUCUAACAAUUAUAUCUGCUCCUUAAAAUUAUCUAGAAAUUUUUCUAAGCACGAAAAUGCAGAAAACAAGCCAUAAAAAUACGAGAAACCUAGAAAAUGAAAAUUACGGGUUCUCACACUCUCUCCCCCUUAAAAGAAUUUCGCCCUCGAAAUUUCUCACCUUAACUCACGAAAAGGUUAGGGUAUUUCGUUCGCAUUUCUUCUUCCACUUCCCAGGUAGCUUCCUCUACCCCAUGGUUUCUCCACAGUAUCUUCACCAAUGGAAUCUGCUUGUUUCUUAGCUCUUUGACUUUCUGGUCAAGCACUUGGACAGGUUUCUCUUCGUAAGCAAGCGAUUCGUCUACGUCGAUCUCCUCUGGUUGUAAGACAUGGGUUGGGUCGGGAUAGUAUUUAUUUAGCAUCGAAACGUGAAAAACGUCGUGAAUUCGAGAGAGACUGGACGGCAGCUCUAAUCGAUACGCUACCGCUCCUAUUCUUUGAAGAAUCUUGUAGGGUCCAACGAACCACGGUUGGAGUUUCUUUCCUUUGCCCGCUGUGACACUCCGUAAAGGGGUGACUUUAAGAAAUACAUGGUCUCCAACCUCGAACUCCAAAUCUUUUCUUCUAUUGUCUGCGUAGCUCUUUUGUCGGCUUUGAGCUGUUUGGAGUCGUUGCCGUAUCAACUUGACCUUUUCUCGAGCUUCCUCCAUCCAAGGAAUAGUUGCUGGAUCCAGUGCCUUCCUCUCGCCAAUUUCAUCCCAAUGAAUUGGUGAUCGACAUUUUCGUCCAUAUAAUGCUUCAUAUGGAGCCAUUUGAAUCGACGAAUGGUAACUAUUGUUGUACGCAAACUCUACUAAGGUCAUGUGUUGACCCCAGUUGCCUCCAAAAUCCAGAAUGCAAGUUCGUAACAUGUCCUCGAGAGUUUGGAUUGUUCGCUCCGAUUGUCCAUCCGUCUGAGGGUGAUAGGUUGUGCUUAAGUUGAGUUUCAUCCCUAGAGUCUCCUGGAACUUUUGCCAAAAUCGAGAUACAAACCGGGGAUCUCUAUCGAAGACGAUGCUCACCGGAACACCGUGCAACUUUACAAUCUCGUCCAUGUACAGUUGAGCCAACUUAUCCAUGGAAUACUUCAUGUUCACCGAUAAGAAAUGGGCCGACUUGGUUAAUCGAUCGACGAUCACCCAAACGGCAUCGUGUCCUCGCUGCGUUCGCGGCAAACCUGAAACGAAAUCCAUGGUGAUGUUUUCCCACUUCCAUUCAGGUAUCUCAAGGGGUUGUAACAAGUCCGAUGGUUUUUUAUGCUCUGCUUUAACUUGUUGGCAAACGAGACAUUUUUGCACGUACAGAGCGAUUUCCUUCUUCAUAUUAUCCCACCAAUAAUUUCCUUUCAGGUCUUGAUACAUCUUAUUACUACCCGGAUGGAUUGUAUACUUGGAUCGAUGGACUUCCUCUAGAAUCUCCAUUUUCAAUGAUUCAUCCUUCGACACCACUAUUCGGUUUUCAGGACCAAAAUUGAAAUCAGUGGUUUCUCUUUUUUUCACUUUCUCUCCCCACUUCCGUAUCAUCUGAUCCUCCUUUUGAGCUUCUUUAAUUUUUUCCAAGAGAGUGGAAGUCACUUUAAUAUUGCCAAAAAUCACCUUAUGGCUCCCAGGGCAGGGUUUCCAUUCACACACGGAGUCUAAUAAUGCCCACUCUUUGAUCAUUAGACUCGCGACCUGAGCUUUGCGAUUUAGGGCAUCGGCCACCACGUUUGCUUUUCCCGGAUGGUAGUUGAUGGUACAGUCGUAAUCUUCUAGAAAUUCCAUCCAUCGCCGUUGCCUCAUGUUCAAUUCCUUCUGGGAGAAGAGGUACCUCAGGCUUUUGUGAUCGGAGUAAACCUCGAAGGUUACCCCAUAUAGGUAGUGUCUCCACUUUUUAAGAGCGAAAACAACUGCAGCUAGCUCCAGAUCGUGGGUUGGAUAGUUCUGCUCGUGGGGUUUUAACUUCCUCGAGGCAAAAGAGAUCACAUUUCGGUUUUGCAUUAAUACACAACCCAGGCCUUCUCGGGAUGCAUCAGUGUACACAACAUAUCCGUCCACCCCGUUUGGUAAGACUAGAACUGGAGCCAUGGUCAAUCUCUUCUUUAACUCUUGAAAACUUGUCUCACUUCGAGCAUUCCAAAUGAACCGACCAUGUUUCUUUGUCAAAUCAGUUAGAGGACCGGCUAGUUUGGAAAAGUCCUUGAUGAAACGCCGGUAAUAUCCAGCCAGUCCUAGAAAGCUGGGGACCUCUGUGGGAGUUUCUGGCCUCUUCCAAUUAGUCACAGCUUCUAUGUGAGAACCCGUAUUUUUCCCAUUUUCUAGGUUUAUUUAUUUUCCGUGGCUUAUUUUCUGCAUUUUCGUGAUUAGAAAAAUUGCUAGAUGAAUUUAAGGAGCAGAUAUAAUUUUUCGAUGAUUUUUCUAGUAUCGAAUAGGUUUUGAGAAAUUAAGAGCGUAUACUGGACGUGGGACCCACUAGUGCGAAAAGUUCGGAAAAAUUCGGCCAACUAGGUUAAGUUUUGGAUACUGGAAUUAAUUUAUCGGGUGUUAAGAGAUAAGUAGAGGUUGCAAUUUGGAUUGAUAUGAGAGAGACAAGUUAGGUAAAUAGUUAAUAAAAGGUGACAAGUGUCACCAUUGGAUUGGUCUUGAAGUAAGACCACUAUUUCUUUUCUUACCAUUGACCAAAUAAAUAAAAAACUAACCAAAAAAUUCACCAUUUUCUCUUCUUCUUGGCCGACUCCUUUCAAGCACAAAGGAAAGAAAACUCUCCACAAUUUUGGUCUCCAACCUUGCUCAAUCUCCAACUUCAACCGGUUAAAUUUGUAAUUGCUCCAUAAAACUCCUCUACUUAGUGAUUUUGAGGUGAUUGGUGAAGUUGUUUGGAAAGUUAAGGUGACCAAUAGCUCUCUCUCUCUUGUUUUAAGGGUAAGUUGUGAAGAACCACCCUCCUCCUUUAAUUGAUGCUUAAAUCAUACUUAGUGGUUGUAUGAGAUGCAAAUUUAUGGGUUAUUUCUUGAUUUAUGGUUGAAAUGAUGAAGUUUUAUUAUUUUUGGGGAUUUUUCUGUUUUAAUAUAAGCAUGAUUGUGUGGCUAUCUAUGAUGAUUGGAAAUGGUCUAUAUUGACUCUAGGAGGUGGAAAAGGUGAUUAAUUGCAACCAAUUUCUGUUUUGGAAGAAAAUUGAAAAACCUAGGGUUCUUAAGGGAGCAUUCUGUCCGAAUUUUUAGGUCCUAGAUAGAGGACGAAUUGGCCUUAGCUCAAAACAUGAAAAUUGUAGGGAAGGACAUUUUAGAGGUGCCUAAAAAAUUUCAGGUCAAUCGGAGUAGUGUAGAAUGAGAUAAGUCAAAAUUACUAUUGUUGUUCUGGUUUUACCCGAAAUUGAGAAGUGCGUCUGUAAUGGGUUGUUUUGGCUGGAAUUGCUUCCGAAUUGGUUGUUGAGGCCUUCUGAUGAAAUUUAGCCUUUUGUCUUAGCUUUCAUUUGGUUUUGGAAUUUCUGGAUUUGGACUUGGAGAGCCUGAGUUAUGAUGUUUCCUCUAGAAUGCGUUUUGGUGAAUCUAUUUUACGUUUUUGAUGUAGUAUCUUGCAUUUUUGACCUGUUUGCACUCAAAACUGGGUUGAGUGACCUUCUGUGAUGUUGUAGCCCUAUCUUUUAGCUUCGAAACAGUGGAUUUUACACCUUCAUCCGAUCAUCGUAGUGCCUUUGGCACCAUUACAGCAAAAUGAGGACACAAUCUGUUUUGUUUCAGGGCUAAAGCUAAAUCAUUUCUGGAUUUUUCUGGUUUUCUCUAUUGUUUGUGUAUGCUUAGGGAACCCUGUUUUGGUAGUAUGUAGAUCUUGGUUUUAGUUUCGAAAUAGUAUAAAGUGCGUCGAAAUCCAAGUUCUGUAGCUUCCGUUAUGACUAAAACAAGAUUGAUCGUCAGAACUGCCUUUGAUCUGGACAGUUCUGACGGGUACUUUGGCACUCAAUUUUCGUUCUGUUCUGAGUGGAUUCAGGUCUUGACCAAAACAUCAAAGUUUUAGCCUUAUGUCUCAGCUUUCUAAUGCCUUUGGAAUUUCCUGAUUUGAAUUUGUGAGCUGGGAGUUAUGGUCCAGCAAACAUACCCUGUCCGUCACUCUAAAGUGCGAAUUUAUGGAACGAUUUUCCAUACUUUCGACCUAUUUCUGUUCAGAUCCGGAUUUAGGUGUCUUCAUGAAAAUUGUAGCCCUUCCUCUUAGCUUCGUAACGGUACCUCAUGUACCUUGAUCCGACAUUCCUAGUCUAACUUUUGAUCAAAACGGUUUGAGAAGGCAGAUUUGGCCAUUUCCGUUUGCCGUUCCGCGCGGGCGCGUUUGCCCAUUUUGCCGUUUCCGCACUUGCAUGUGCCAAUUUUGCCAUUUUGCUUGUUUUAAGUAUGUUAGUAGCCGUUUGUGAUAUAUUGUGACACAAUCUUCAAUUUCAGACGUUGGUGAGUUAGGUGGAGCUGGUUGAGCCUACUAGCUACUCCUCGCGGCACGAAUUUUGUACUUUUGCUCUUUUGUUCGUUGUGUAAGUAUUCAGGCCGCUCUUAUGUGUUAGUUGCUUAUGUGUUUCGAUAUGUAUGAAAAGGGUACCUAGGCGAGGGUGUACUUUAUCGCACUCGACCUAAACCCUAAUUUGCGUACACAUUUGUACAUGACAUAUGUAUAUGAAUCAUUUUGAAACUAAACCCCUUAAGCUUGUGGCUCGGGGUGACUUUUGAAUAAAUUUUGUGAAGUUUGUGAGUUUGGGGCCCGAUCUCAUGACCUAGAUGGACUAUUCGAGCCGGUUAGGGCUUGGUUGAAGUUAGUCCAACCUGAUUUGAGGUCACCAAGUUUGUGAAUCCGGUUCACCGAUUAUGUGGACCAAGUUUGUGACCCGAGCUUGUGAACCAAGCUCAAUUUCGUUCGCUCGAGCAAGUUUGUGAGGUGCCUGGCUAGAGAGGGUGAUAAGGUGUACGGUGGGUGUACAAGUGAAGUUCUACGGACUAUUAUUUGAGGUCGACGGAGUGUCGGCAGGAGGUCACACAUGGCAAACGAUCUGGCUUUGGAGCCACAUGUAUCCUUAUUAUGUGAUGUUACUUUUCUGCUUUUGCUUUACUCUUACUAUGUAACUGUUGUUACGUGGAAUUUACGCUUUUGCCCCUGUUUACUUACUAAGCAUAUAGUUUACCGCUUUCCUUUUGUUUUCCUUAGCAGGGGCCGACGCGGGGACUUUUGAGACAUACACUAGUAUAGUUAGGUUUGAUUGUAACAGUCGGACAGUUGGGAUGUUUGUUUUGUUUUGGUGGUUUGUAUAAGAACCCUCCAUAGGGUCUACCUUCUGCUGGUUGUUAUUUUAAUGUAUUAGAGUGGUUUGACUCGAUACUUUUGAAGAUGUAAAUAGAACUCUUUUGGCGUUAGAUAUAUUGUGAAUAGUAUGCUUGUGGGUUUAUCAAAUUUUAUUGUUUUGAAAUUUUGAGUCCCGGCGAGAGUUGGGCAGGCGGCCCGCCGAACCCUCUGGUUCGCCUUAGGGGGAGGUGGGGCCGUCACAUUCUACUUUCGCCGGGUCGACUGAAAUACCCUCUUGAGAAAUUACGUGUCCCAGAAAAGUAAUUUUCUCCAGCCAAAAUUCGCACUUGCUGAACUUGGCAUACAGUUGAUGGUCUCUCAGGGUUUGCAAGACAGUCUUCAAGUGUUGCUCAUGCUCUUCACGGGUCUUGGAAUAGACCAGUAUAUCAUCGAUGAAGACCACGACAAAGCGAUCCAGGUAGGGCUUAAAAACCCUAUGUAUUAGGUCCAUAAAGGUGGCAGGAGCAUUGGUUAGUCCAAAGGGCUUCACUGCGAACUCGUAAUGCCCAUAUCUCGAGUUGAAGGCGGUCUUUGGAAUAUCCUCCUUCCUAAUUAGUAACUGGUAGUACCCUUGGCGGAGGUCCAGUUUCGAGAAAACCACCGCUCCUUGCAACUAAUCAAAUAACUCAUCGAUAUGGGGCAGUGGAUACUUAUUUUUAAUUGUAAUAUUAUUCAGGCCCCGAUAAUCAAUACACAUCCUCAAACCACCAUCUUUUUUCUUCACAAAAAGUACAGGAGCUCCCCAAGGAGACCCACUCUCUUGAAUGAAUUCCCGCUCCAGAAGGUCCUGUAAUUGCAGCUUUAGCUCCUUGAGCUCAGCAGGAGCCAUUCGGUAUGGUGUUUUUGAGAUAGGUGAGGAUCCCGGUAGCAGGUCUAUUUUGAAUUCAAUUUCUCUUUCCGGAGGUAAGGCUACUAAUUCAUCAGGAAACACGUCCGGAAAUUCCUUCACUAUGGCCACAUCCUCCACUUUCAACUUAUCUGUGGGGGUGUUAAUCAAAAAGGCCAAAAAUCCUUGCGCCUCUCGACUUAGCAAUUUCCUAGCCCGAAUGCCCGAAAUCAAAGCAGAUGAGGCUAACCGACCCCUUAUAUCCAACCUUAAGGUCGCCUCACCAGGAAUGCGGAAUUCGACCACUUUUGUUUUACAAUCCAGUUAGGCAUUGUACCUGGCUAGCCAAUCCAUACCCAAUAUCACAUCAUAGCCCUUAAUGACCAAGCUUAUCAAGUCCCCUAGCAAUUUCCUUUCUCCUACCCACACUUCACAAUUCCUAUAAACCAUACUAGUAACCAACCGUUGAUUUUCCGUAGGUGUACUAACUUCUAGGUCGUAUGGUAAACUAGCAGGUUUUAUAUCGAUGUCACACAUGAAAUCAGGGUUAACAAAGGAAUGGGUGGCACCAGGAUCAAUUAAAAUUUUGGCAAAAUGGUGAAAAAUAGGGAUCGUACCUUCUACGACCUCUGAGGAAUCUGGGACCUGUCGAGGUUCUAAGGAAUAGACUCGAGCUGGCACCUUAGGUUUCGCCUCAUUCCCCUUAUUCGGUCCCGUAUUGGUCUUUGGCAUGGUUUGAGUUCCCCUUCCGUCUUGCGUUAUGAGUGGGCAGGUAGCAAGCUGGUGGUCUGCGCUUCCGCAACGCAGACAUUUACCUCCCUUCUUCCAGCAAUUGUCUUCAGAGUGAUUUGGCUUUCCGCAGUACCCGCAAGGUCCACGAGACGCCGAACCUGAGCCCUUCUGGAAGUUUCCACCUUGGCCUCUCCCGGCUGGCCGCCCCUAGACUGAGCCCCUCUGCCGGAACCUGACUGUCGUCCACCUCCAGCUCCGCGUCCAAACUUGGAGGGAGUACCUUUGUCCCCUUGUCCGGAGCUGCUUCCAGGAAAGCCCCGCUUUUUAGCUUGGAAGUUCCGGACUUGCAAUCGAGCACUCUCUACCCUUUGAGCCUUUUCUACGACCUCGCUAAAAACAUUGAUUUGAGCCACUGUGAGGUCCUUUUGGAUUUCGACGUUCAAGCCCUGAAUGAAACGCCUAAUUUGCCGUUGCUCCGUCAUGAUCAGCUCAGGCGCAAAUUUGAACAAACGGGUGAACUGGCUCUCGUAUUCCGCAACCGAUUGAGUUCCUUGGCGGAGUCGGAUGAACUCGUCUUCCUUCAUCUCCUGAACUAGAGGAGGGAAGAAUUUCGCAUUGAAUUCCCUGAUAAAAUUCACCCAAGUCCCGGGCGUUUGUUCCCGUUCCCAUUUUUGGCGUAUGACGUUCCACCAGGAACGGGCCGCCCCUUCUAACUGGAAAACGGCAAAAGUCACCUGCCGUUCAUCGGUGUAAUGCAACGCCGCAAAAAUGUCGACCAUCUUCUCGAGCCAUCGCUCGGCAACAUCCGGAUCAGGUCCCCCAAUGAACUUGGGUGGAGCAAACUUUUGAAAGCGUUCGAGAGCUCUGUCUUCACUCUCGACAUGAUUGCCAGGGUUUCCAGGAUUAGGGUUUGGAUUCUGGCCUUGUUGCUGCACCACUUGUGCCAGCAAGUUAGUCAUUUGCUGUAUAGCGGCAGCGAUUUGCACAUUGGGGUCAGGGUUAGGUCCAGUAGAGGUUUCCCCAGUACCCCUAUCCGGUGUGGGUUGUCUAUUACCAUGCCCACGACCCCGUCCACUACGUGUUCCUUCCAUAAACUUUACUUGGUCUAGGCAAUGGUACUAAACCAAUAUAAAACAAUGCAUGUAAGUAAAACCCAAAGCUUUUCCAAACAAAGAUAUACAUUCCAAACAAGGCAAACAACACAUAUAUAUACAAUCAGUCAAGUCAAGUACAAGCAUGGACAAUCCCCAUGGGAAUGGCCUCAUCAAAAGAAAUAUACACGUAGCUAAUCUAGCCAUACAAAACGAUUAGCUAAGACCCUUCUCUCUAUCCGCCCUAUAUACAAAACCAAAACUAUCUAAAACAACUCUAGGAGUCAUAACCUAGACCGAUGACGAGCUAUGAGACCCACCCGACGGAGUGGAUCCAACCCCAGCCUCAGGACCCGCGCAUGAGUCCUCGUCACUCACGCCCUCAACCACGUCAGCGCAAAGAUUCAGGAUCGAUGCAGCUCGAACCUUCACCUUGCGAGCUCGCUUACUCUCGCGCUCUUGGACCUCCUUCAGCUGAGUGCAGAGGUCAUCAACCCUAUCCUCGGCCUCAAGUACAUCGUCCUUCAGGCCCUCAAUGCACUCGGCCUGUCUCUCAUUGGCCACCCUAAGUUGGGUCACCUCGGCCUCCAGUCGAGCAUUCUCUCCGGCCAACUCCUUACGCUCCAUGUCCACUGCAAACACGAGAGCGUUCGGAUAGGCAUACUUAUGUUUACACUCACACCGUCGGAGACGGUUAGACGGGUUCCAGCGCACGAUGGCCCCUCCUGGCCGUAUCUGGUACGGGAUCACUGGGAGCGCUACACGAGGUCGCUCGCCUGCAGGGUCACCACUCGGUCCACUAGAUCCGUCCAUCCUACACCAAAAGCAAUUAACCAUAAAUAAUCUUAAAGGCCAUAAACAAUAAACCCUCAAAUCAAGCAUUCCCAUAACACCCAGGCUAAUUCAAACCUAGGCUCUGAUACCAC
Molecule: long non-coding RNA, 92160 nt
Filed under: Coffea arabica (coffee)
Lineage: Eukaryota; Viridiplantae; Streptophyta; Magnoliopsida; Gentianales; Rubiaceae
Description: long non-coding RNA (CARA_LNC005564)
Rfam family: U2 spliceosomal RNA (bases 14056-14251)
Source: RNAcentral